This 116535-nucleotide long non-coding RNA is filed under the name Olea europaea (common olive). RNAcentral describes it as "long non-coding RNA (OEUR_LNC012173)". Lineage: Eukaryota; Viridiplantae; Streptophyta; Magnoliopsida; Lamiales; Oleaceae. The record is from RNAcentral.
AUGAAACCCUAAGAAUCUUCUUCGAAACAAUGGCUAAUCCUGCACUGUGAUUCAACAGUUCCGCCCUUCCCUCAGCGCAUUUGCAUAGCAAAUUCAGCGCCAUAAGCAUCAAUUCGGAAGCCCUUUUGUCAGAAGAAUCGAGUAAAAGGUCAAUCAACAAGGGCACUGCUCCAGCUUCCACUGCUUUAAUCCUGUUUUUUUCCCAUGGACAUACCUUGAUAAGAACUUUCAGUGUGGCUUUGGAGACCUUCCGAGAGAUUUGAUCGUUCAAGAUAUCUACUAAUUCGUGGAAGAAUUCGGGUCUGAGACUGAUCGGUUGAUUUGGAUCAGCCACUUCGAACAUGGAUUUCAGAAACAUGACAGCAUAGACACGAGAAUCAUAGCUCCCGGAUUGCAUGACGCUCGUUAAGGACUGGAUUAACUCGAUAUUAUUCUGCAAGAGGGAUUUUAGCCCGGAUCCCGAUAGAUGGAGAUUAUAGAGAAUGCUCAAGGCUUCAGAUUGGAUAAACCGCCGGAGAAUAAUGUUUGGGAUCAAUUCUGAAUCCAUAACCACUUGCUUUGUUACCGGGCAAGUAUUAUUAUUCUGAGAAAACAGCCAUUUUUCGAUGCUCUCCCGAUCAUAUGUUAUACCGGUAGAGAGCGUAACAGGAUCCUUCAUAAUCUCUAGACUGAUGGGGCAGAGAAAGUAGGAUGGAAUUUCAAUUUCAUCCAUAGAAGAAGAAGUAAUUACAAAGAUUUGAUAAACCUAAGAUCUGAUCCAAGAAAAAGGUGACUAUACAAUUUUAAGCAAGAAAAUUAAAGUGAAGAGAAGUACAAAAAUUUUGUAAGCUAUAGAUGAAAAUCGAAGAAAGUGAAGUUCUUGUGGAGUUGAGUGGAUUGGUUUAAGGAGGAUAUGGUUUUAUAUGUGUCUAUAAAGAGAGGUAAAGAUUCAAAAUGUCAAAGUCAAAACACGGAAAAUUUUGUGUGUUCAGUUUGUGUGAAGGAAAGAGUAUUAUUGUUUUUUUUUUAUUACAACAAAUAAAAUUUGGACUUGGACUUUUCUAACAUGCAAUUUGCAAAUGACAACUUUACAAAUAAUUUUCUUACUUAAAUUAAAACACGUGAUCAAGUCAUGUUUAAUUACCAUGAAGGAGUAAAACAGAAGAAUCUGAGUUUGGAAAAGUUCAAUUUUGGUUUAAUUAGUUCACGAAAGUAACUUCGACCCGUUAUUAUUAUAAUUAUUUUUAUAAAUUUUUAUUCAAUUCAGUUGAACCGACGUAGUACUUUUAUCUUAACAAAAAGAAAAAUUGCUAAUCUAUGAGGUGAGUUGUCGAAAAUAAAGUAUAGAGAAAUAAAUUUAUUUCCUCUUUAAAAGUUUCAAGAUAAGAUAAUUCAAUGUCGAGUAUUGUGUUUGUAAGUCUUUUCGCAAACAUAAUUUUAACAAGAAAUCAUAUAUUUAAGAGAAAAAUGAAUUAUUUCUUGUCUUUCAAAAAUAUGUAUGGUACUUCUAAUUUUAUGACUGAAACAUAUCUCAAAAUCUAGUUCCUUUUGAAAAUAUAAAAUAUAAGUAAAUAAAUCCAUUUCUCUCUUUAAUCAUCGAAAACUUUUAUACAAUGUGAAUUAUUACCAAAAAGAAAUAAAAAAUCCUCACAAUUUUGAAUUUUUCAUUAUGUAGUUAUAUUCUGAGACUCCGAAUUAAAUAGAACAACACAAAUUCUUAGAUAUGGAUAGAUAAAGCAAACUGUCACACUAAAUUUAUUGUUAAUAAAUACGAUAACAAUAUUUCAUAAAAUAAUUUUUUCAAUCCAUUUUCGUACAAUAAUUCAAUACAAAACUAAAGUCGUUCUUAAUUUUUUUGGUUCGCGCAUUCCAUCACCGACACCAACUGAUCAUAAAUGCAGGAUGGACCUACCAGUAGGUUUGCAACACAUGUAUGUGUAUUAAUCCAUAGCUGGCUGCCGAUAUUGACCAAAGCUGGUUGGCAAUGGCUCGGACUACAUGGAGUUUUUAUUUAAUCUUGGCUCUAUUUGUUUCUCUUUGUUUAAGUCAACCCAAAAAAGUUAAAUUUUAUUGGAUUUUAAUUUCAUAAAAUAAUUUAUAGUCACAAAUAUUAUAUAUGUUUAUGGAACAAUAAAUUUCGAGACGAGUUUACUCAUACAAUGAUAGGAUGAACAAAGCUAUAGACGUAAAAGUCUAAGAUGAGGAAAAUAUUAUUUUCACAAUUAAUUAAUUAUUGAAAAUUCUGAGAAUAAGUAAUUACAGAAAUUUGAGAACGAAAGGUUGAGCUUUAAAGCAAAAUGGACCAAGUUUAAUAUUUGUUGACUAUUUUUAGUCAACCCCCCACAUGCCAAAUUGCGAGACUAUCAUCUUUUAUUGCUUAAAGGGAACUUUUCAAUUGCUUUAUGUGACCUUUGGGGCACUGAUUUACCAUUUGAAUAGUCCUAAUUCCAAGGUUUGGAUUCAUACUGGGGAAGCUCUUUUUGUUGUGAGAUACGGUAAUACCCCAAACUUCACGUUAGAUAUUUGGCUAAUAUGAUUCAUGUAUUUCAUGCUAAUUACAUUGUCAUUUGCAUCAAUUUUCUAAUUGCUUUAUCUUAAAACGGUAUAUUCGAUCAUUAAGUCUUUAAAAUCUUUACAUGGUGAUAAUCUUCGACUCCUCGACCUAGGUGGUGAACUUUACAUUGAGCUAUGAUAGAAAAUUAAGUUAACUAAAUGUUGGAGAUUGGCUUGGUAAGUAAUGAAAAAUCGAAAGUGUUGGAAAUUAGUAUCGACAAAGGUUCAAACUUUUCAUUCGGCUGAUCGAGGUCACUUUAAACCAUAGAUAGGUAAUUGCCAUAUUUGGGACAUGAUGCAUGAAGUGACAUGAUCAUGACAUAAUAAUAUAUGUCUCAUAUGACGUUAUAAAUUUUUAGGUGCGAAUUGUUGAAAUCGGUUGACAAUCGGUGUAAAUCGGGUAAGAAAUUAAAUGAACGGUUGAGGAAUUAGCUCUAUAAUAUAUUUUGGGAUCUUAGGGCAAGUGAAAUGGAUUAUAAACAUGUCAAAAUAAGCCAAGGAUUCUUGAUUUGUACCUGCAAAGAUAGAUAUAAAAUCAGAUUAUACAACAAGUGACCACCUCAUGCUUGAACACCUUGUGCUUAGGAUGUUUAUCAUUUUAACACUCAAUUUCUUCAACUUUAAGACAUCGAUCUCGUCUUUACUCCCUAAGAACUUAAUAUAGGAUGAAUAUAUAUCUUAAAGGUCACAAAUGGAUCCAAAUAUAAUGGUUGAAAGUCAAGUAUUUCUGCAAAGAUGACACAUCAUGUUUGGACAGCUCAUGCUUAAGGAUACUUGUCCUUUGUUCACAUUUUUCUUCACCCUUAAGCAAUAUGUGUGACCUCAACCACUUAAAGAUCACUCAUUCACCUCAUAGAUAAUAUAUUAACUCCCUUAGCUCGUCUCUAAGUGAUUCCAAGUGAAAAAGACGGUGAAAAAGUCAAAGAGAAAUAGAAACAAGAAACUGGAAUUUCCGGACAGCUUUGUUACUUCACGAUUUUGAGGUUUGUAUCCUUUGUAAGGAUUUAUAAUUUAUUGAAUAUUUGAACUUGCUUGUGAGUAGGUUGCAGUAUUGUUAACGAUUUUAUGAUCCCAAAAUAGGGGUAAUUAAUUACAAGAAUUUAAAAGAAAGUAAUCUGGACAGAGAUCAGGAUUUGCUAGAUUUGAAUGGUUUAAACUUGGAUUUUGGAUAAUACUUUAGAUAUAACUUGUAUCUAUGUAAAUGAAUGUUGUUGUAUGAGAGUUAGAAGAAUAGAAAUGGUCUUCUAAUAGCCUAGAAUCUGAUUGGUGACAUGCUCGUAAAAUGGAAACCGAAAACAGUCAUAGGAAAAUAAAACUGCCUGAUUUUGUGCAGUGGAAAAUGUACUGUUUUUGAAGCUCAAAACCCUUCAUUUGUUACAACCUUAUGAUCUGAUUAUCUUCACAUAUAUGUUAUAGGUCGGUGGUAAGAAUUUGGGAGUCAUCGGAUAUAGUUAAGGAGGUGAAAAAGGAUUGGAAAAAUAAUUGGAUAGUAAUGAAAAUCUGAAAACAGAUUCUGCCCAUUUGUGUUUUUAAUGUGAUUUCAACAUUUACAUAUCCAUUAAUUAUCUCUUGACCCUAGAAAAUAGAUUCUAAUGAGUACUAGGUUGUCGACAACAAUUGGAUGACAUUGACGUUCAUAACUGGACUUGAGAAAUAGCGAGACUUAUGGGAUUAGUUUGUAAUGCCAUCGGUAACUUGAAAUAAUGAUUUCAUCUAAAUUGUUUUGGCGUGAAUGGACACAUUUCGGGAUUGUGUGUGUUAAAGUUAUUAAAUGGAGGACUAUCUUUAAUAUUAGAUGGUAAUACAGGUGAUUUUUCGACGUUGAGCGAAAAGGAAAUUGAUAUACACUUCGUAGGAGUUUGCACACACAAAGGCGAAAGGUAAGUAAAAAUUCAUUUCCAGCUAUGAUACAAGAACCUAGUAUUUGUGAUAUGGUAAUGUUAAAAUAUCUACAUAACUUUGAUAAGAGGCAUAUAGCACAUUAUAUGAUGGUUAUAAUCGUUGAGUAUGAGGUUGUGGAACCUAUUGACAUCGAUUUUUAUUAAAUAUAUCAUUCAUGAGCAUUUUCAUAUGCAUGCAUGACAUGUGAUCAUGGUUCAAAUUCCUGCAUGCGAAACAUGAUUCCAAAGUGAGUUUUCUUUAUAAAUGUUUUAUUGAUCACUAUUAGGGCACCGAGGCAUGUGAGACAUGCUUAUGUAAUAUGUUAGACAUCUCGAGUGAUACUUCCUGAGUGAUUGCAAAGGUAGAUAGGGGAUGAACCUUUGGUGAUCACGGGAGGGUGAACCACUCAAUUGUACCCUUAUGAUAUUAUGAUUAUUAGCGCUGCCAGGUGGGAGACUUCUUGGGUGAUCAUAGGGGUAAUUAGGGGAUGAACCUCUAGUGAUCACGAGAGGAUGGUCUACUCGCAGGUGUCGAUUUCAUAUUGAGCAUUUGAUUAUUGAUAUUGAUAUUAUGCAGAGCUCUAUCCGAUGUAUAGUAGGUGGGUCAAGGGCCCUAUGAAAUGAAAUGUUUCAAAUGAAAUGAUUUCGAGUUGAUUUUGAUGAAUAUUUGAAUAUGAUGCUUCUUUAUCGUGAUAUUUAAAGUAAAUAGCAUAGUUGUAUAUAUCAUUAUUAUUCAUAUUCAUGACAUGCAUGAAUUUUGCUUACUAAGCAUUGGUUUAUGUAAUUCUUACAUUGUAGGUGAGUCUGGAACUACAUAGAGAGCACGACUAGUUGUGGAGCUCUUACGGGAUUCCAGAGUUCGAUGCACAUGGAUGAUGACUUGUAGGGUUAUUUUGUGGGUUGCUAUUUUGAGCUUAUGGCCUAUUGCGUUGUAUGUUGGGGAUCUUGUGUUGUAUAUCUUUUGGCAUGGCAUGUAGACAUGUUUAUAAUCUCAGAAUAUAUAUGUUUGAUUAUGACGAUAUGAUUUUGGUUUAGAGAUAUAGCUUAUGUUGUUUUGUCAGGUGAAAAAAAAUGUGUGAAACUCUAUGUCUAGGUGACAUAGAUUAAAUUUGAAGCAUAUAACUACAGAAAAUGAUCAAAACUGAUAUUAGGAUAAUCUUUUAAAAUAUUGUAAUGGUUAAUGCAUUAGAUUAACUUAAUAUUCUAUCACAUAACAGUCAUCAUUUAAUUAUAAAUUAUGAGGGUAUGUAGUUAAUGUUUUAAUGAACUAACAUGCAGUAAUUUUAGCUAAAGAUUACUUGAAUUGUGAAAAGCAAAAUGUUUAUAUUUAAUAUCUUAUUUUAGUUUAUGAAUUAAUAAUAAAAAGAAAUUUAUUGAUAAGUUUACAUUUAUUAAUAGUUUGAUUAGGUAUUAUUAUACAUCUAGUUCGCGUGGAGUCCACAUAUGAGAUAACUAGGAAUUAGACGCCAUGUUGGCUAUUGUCCUCUACCAUAUAUACGGAGGCCUAUCUUAAUUCCUACUUGCGUGCUUGGUUGGUGUGAUUGUAUGAUUCUAAAUAUCCAUUCAAAAUCUUAGACGAUCAAAAGAAGAUCCAGAAGAAUAAUCAUUAAAUAGGUAAUUCUUUUUUAAAGAAACAAUAUCAUAAUUAUGAUAACUGUGCGAUACGACAUGUACUAUUGACCUAAUUUAACCUAAAUUCAUCUAUAAAUACAUACGCUUGGUUCAAAGAAAAGAUACACAACAUUGGACUCUAGCCAAAGUUUUGUUCAUUUGUCUCUUUCACAUAAAAUUUAUUCUCUAAUAUUUUUUGACAACUGACUUGAUCGUUUGAAUGUAAAUGUACAAGAUAUGAUCCAAAAAAGUGACGUUGAAUUUUAAAGUGCAAAGAAGGUAUAAGUUGGAAGCAACAACUACAAAUUGUUCUGAAAUAAAAGUUGAAUAACGUAUACAUUUUUACUCAUAGAAGAUAGCGGAGUGCAUUUCUUACUAAGCAUUUUUUUUUUUUAUUUUUUAUAAAUAAUGUUAGUGGGAGAUCAUAAAUUUAUGGGGAAUACCAUGGUGAAUUUAUGAAUAUUAUUUCAAAAUAACUUUAAGGGGUACAAGGCACACCAGUUUACUACAUAAACCGAAUCAGGAUCCCAUUCUUCAUAUAUUUCAAUAUAACUAGUGAGUUAACGUAUGUUGCACGUUAAUUGAUUAAUGUUUAAAAUAAACGUAUGUAAAUUUUAGAAAAAUUCUUUUAUAAAUUUGAAAGAUAUUCAUAAAUUCGUUGAAAUUGACUUAUUAUUCAUCAAGUUUCUCUGUAUAUUUUUUAUUUUUCAUAUCAACAUUUGAGAAUUUGCAUAUAUUUGUACUAGACAUUUCCCUGUAGAAAAGUUUGUGGGAAAUUUUUUUAUGCGAAAUAUACUUCUCUAUAUAUAUUAGCUCAACCUAAAAUAUGAUUUAACACACUCAAACAUUGCCCCUAAUUCAUAUUAUGAGUAUAAUAAUUAAAUAUCACCAAGAUAUGCAACAUAACAAUAUCUACACUAUUGCAUUAAAAAUGAUUUUUCAUGAUGACAGGAAUUAUGCAGAAUCAUAAAUUAUGGCUUAAAAUGUUAAAUGCAAUUUCAUGUAUCAACCUUCUUCCAAAGACAUGAUUUUGUAAUAUUGCAAAAAUGUAAUUAGAACAUUAGAAAAUAAUGUAGACAUGGACAUAAAUAUAUAAAGGGAGAAAACUUCUUCAAACUUUUCAAAGUUCAAUUAAAAAGAAUUUUAAAUCGAACAAAAAAUUAUUUAUAAUAUGAAGAAAAAAGAAAUUUUAUAUUUUUUUCGAAAAAUAUAAUAAAAAAAACUAAGCAAAAGAAAAUUACAAAAAUUAAAUAAAGAAUAUAUAAAUAUUAUUUAAUUAAAAUUGAAAAAAUUAAGUUUUUUCAUGAAGAGAAAAUAAUUAAAUUUUUUUUAAAUCGAAUAAAAUUAUUUAUAACAUGAACAAAACAAAUUAAAAAAAGAAAAAAGAAAUGAAAAAAAAGAAAAAAGAAAAAUAAAAUCCAGGAUGGAGUUUUCUCCAUCCACAUGAUGGAGGUUUUCUCCUAUAUAAAAAAAAGAUUAUUAUAAAUUUUUUCAAUUAAAUUGAAAUAAUUAAAAUUAAAAUUAAAUAUUAUUUUUUAAUUAAAAUUGAUAAAAUUACAUUUUAUCAUAAAAUGGAAAUAAUUAAAAUAAUUUUAAAUCGAAAAAAAUAUUUGUAAGAUGAAGAAAAAAGAAAUUUUAAAAACAUUUUCAAAAAAAUAUAUAAUAAAAACAAAACAAAUUAAACAAAAAAAAUUAUGAAAAUUAAAUAAAGAAUAUAUAAAUAUUAUUUAAUUAAAAUUCAAAAAAUUAAAUUUUAUUAUGGAGAGAAAAGAAUUAAAAAGAACUUUAAAGCAAAAAAAAAAUUAUUUAGAACACAAACAAAACAAUUUAAAAAAAGAAAAAAUAAAUGAAAAAUGAAAAAUAAAAUCUAGGAGAACCCCAAACUUCCAUCUCCCCGUCCAGAUGAUGGAGGUUUUCUCCUAUCCUUUAAAAAAAAAAAAAAAAAAAAAAAAAAACCUUAANNNNNNNNNNNNNNNNNNNNNNNNNNNNNNNNNCUUAAACUUGAUGUAGCAGGCAAAAAUAGAAAAAAAAAGAAAAAGAAAAAGAAAGAUUAUCAUAAAGGUUUUUAAUUAAAUUGAAAAAAUUAAAAUUUAAAAUGAAUAUUAUUUUUUAAUUGAAACUGAAAAAAUUACAGUUUAUCAUAAAAUGAAAAUAAUUAAAAGAAUUUUAAAAAGAAAAAAAUAUUUAUAAUAUGAAGAAAAAAGAAAUUUUAAAACAAUUUUCAAAAAAUAUAUAAUAAAAACAAAAAAAAUUAAACAAAAGAAAAUUAUGAAAAUUAAAUAAAGAAUAUAUAAAUAUUAUUUAAUUAAAAUUGAGAAACUUAGGUUUUAUUACGGAGAGAAAAGAAUUAAAAAGAAAUUUAAAACGAAAAAUAUUAUAUGUAACAUGAACAAAACAAUUAAAAAAAAAGACAACUUAAAUGAGAAAAAAAAAAAGAAAAAAGAAAAAUAAAAUUGAGGAGAACCCCAAACCUCCAUCCUGGAUGGAGGUCUAAACCUUCCCAUCCAGAUGAUGGAAGUUUUCUCCUACCCUUAAAAAAAAUAAAUAAAAUAAAAAAUAAAAAAUCUUAAACUUAAUGCAACAGGCAAAAGUAGAAAAAAAAAAGAUUAUUAUAAAGUUUUUUCAUUAAAUUGAAAAAAAUUAAAAAUUAAAAUAAAUAUUAUUUUUAAUUAAAAUUGAAAAAAUUACAUUUUAUCAUAAAACGAAAAUAAUUAAAAGAAUUUUAAAUCGAAAAAAAUAUUUAUAAUAUGAAGAAAAAUAAAUUUUAAAAUAAUAAAAAAAACAAAUUGAACAAAAGAAAAUUACGAAAAUAAAUAAAGAACAUAUAAAUAUUAUUUAAUUAAAAUUGAAAAAAAUAAGUUUUAUUAUGAAGAGAAAAGAAUUAAAAAGAAAUUUCAGUUGAAAAAAAAAUAUUUAUAACAUGAACAAAACAAUUUAAAUAAAAACAAAUGUGGAAAUAAGAAAAAAGAAAAAUAAAAUCUAGGAGAACCCAAACCUCCAUCCUGGAUGGAGGUCUAAACCUCUCCAUCCAGAUGAUGGAGGUUUUUUCCUAUCCUUAAAAAAUAAAAAAAUAAAAAAAAAUUCUUAAACUUGAUGAAGCAAGCAAAAAUAGAAAAAAAAAAGACUAUUAUAAAGUUUUUUAAUUAAAUUGAAAAAAUUAAAAAUUAAAAAUUAAAAUGAAUAUUAUUUUUUAAUUAAAAUUGAAAGAAUUACAUAUUAUCAUAAAACGAAAAUAAUUAAAAGAAUUUUAAAUUGAAACAAAUAUUUAUAGUAUGAAGAAAAAAGAAAUUUUAAAACAAUUUCCAAAAAAUAUAUAAUGAAAACAAAAUAAAUUAAACAAAAGAAAGUUACGAAAAUUAAAUAGACAAUAUAUAAAUAUUAUUGAACUAAAAUUGAAAAAUUGAUUUUUAUCUUGGAGAGAAAAGAAUUAAAAAGAAUUUUAAAUCAAAAAAAAAUAUUUAUAACUUGAACAAAAUAAAUUAAAAAAGAAAAACGAAAAAUAAAAUUCUGGAACAGAUGGACUAAUCCAAAUGCUAUCUUUUCCAAGACAUAAACAUUAUAUACUGUUUGUGAUAUUGAAAAAUUUAGACAUAUAUGGACACGAAAUUUUGAAGCAUCAAAUCAAAAAUAAAAUAAACUAUUUGAUUGAAAAGAAGUCUCCAAACUUCAAAACAUUAAUUAUAUGAUAAAAAACCUAAAUAAACAAGAACUAGCAUCACGGAGCUCCUGCUCCUGCUCCUACUCCUGCUGGAUGGAACUUUGCUCUACUGCACUUAUUUUGAGUCACAUUCAUCAUUUUAAAAUCUAGACUUCUCUGCUAAUUCAAAUCAAACUAAAGUAUUAAAUUCUCCAAAAUUCUAUCAAUUCACAUAAAAAAAAAAGAAAAAGAAAAAGGAAAAGGAAAACCACAAAACGAAAAGAUAAAUAAAAAGAAACUUACAUUAAUCAGUAGUCUGCAACUCGAUUUCGAUUUGAUUUCAAGGAAGAAGAAGAAGGAAACUCAUGUAUAAAAAAGCUUGCAAUGUUAGUUUCAAUUAAAAAGAAAAAUGUAGUAGAUUAUACUUAAAAGAAUAGAACAAAAAUACCUAGAGUGCAAGUCGAUAUCUGAGGAAUUGAUGAUCCCGUAAUAAUAGCACGUGCAAUUGAGAAAUUAUAAUUUAGGAAUUUUUGAUUUUUGUAAAAAAAAAAAAAAAAAAAAAAGGGAAAAAAGGGGAAAAAAAAAAAAGCAAAGAGGGGUUUUUUUAAAAAAAGGGGAAACUNNNNNNNNNNNNNNNNNNNNNNNNNNNNNNNNNNNNNNNNNNNNNNNNNNNNNNNNNNNNNNNNNNNNNNNNNNNNNNNNNNNNNNNNNNNNNNNNNNNNNNNNNNNNNNNNNNNNNNNNNNNNNNNNNNNNNNNNNNNNNNNNNNNNNNNNNNNNNNNNNNNNNNNNNNNNNNNNNNNNNNNNNNNNNNNNNNNNNNNNNNNNNNNNNNNNNNNNNNNNNNNNNNNNNNNNNNNNNNNNNNNNNNNNNNNNNNNNNNNNNNNNNNNNNNNNNNNNNNNNNNNNNNNNNNNNNNNNNNNNNNNNNNNNNNNNNNNNNNNNNNNNNNNNNNNNNNNNNNNNNNNNNNNNNNNNNNNNNNNNNNNNNNNNNNNNAAAAAAAAAAAGUACAGACGAAAAUAAUUAAAAGAAUUUUAAAUUGAAGAAAAAAAUAUUUAUAAUAUGAAGAAAAAAAAUUUUAAGACAAUUUUAAUAAAUUUAUAAUAAAAAAAAAUAAAUUAAACAAAAAAAAGUUAUGAAAAUUAAAUAAAGAAUAUAUGAAUAUUAUUUAAUUAAAAUCAAAAAAAUAAGUUUUAUCAUGAAGAGAAAGAAAUAAAAUGAAUUUUAAAUCGAAAAAAAUUAUUUAUAAUAUGAACAAAAUAAAUUAAAAAAGAAAAAAUAAAAGAGAAAAAAAAAUAAAAACGAAAAAUAAAAUCCAAGAGAACCCUAAUCCUCUAUCCAUGAUAAAGAUUUUUUUUUUUCAAAACCUCCAUCUUGGAUGGAAGUCUAAAUUGGAACGGAUGAACUAAUCCAAAUGCCAUCUUCUCCAAGACAUAAAUUUUAUAUACUGUUUGUGAUAUUUAAUAAUUUAGACAUAUGUGGACAUGAAAAUUUGAAACAUCAAAUCAAAAAUCAAAUAAACUCUUUGAUUGAGAAGAAAUUUCCAAACUUGAAGAUAUUGAUUAUCUUACAAAAAACCUAAAUAAGCAAAAGCUAGUUGCAUGGAGCUUCUGCUCUUGUUGGAUGGAGCUUUGCUCAACUGCACUUAUUUUGAGUCAAAUUCAUCAUUUUAAAAUCUAUAUUUUUCUGCCAAUUCAAAUCAACCUAAAGUAUUAAAUUCUCCAAAAUUCCAUCAAUUCACAAAAAAGGAAAAUAAAAAAAAAAAGAAAAAGAAAAAGAAAAGGAAAAAGAAAAUCACAAAACGGAUUUUUAAAUAAAAAGAAACUUACAUAAAUCAGUAGUCUGCAACUCGAUUUCGAUUUGAUUUCCGGAAGAAGAAGAAGGAACCUCAUGUAUACAAAAGCUUGCAAUGCUAGUUUUAAUUAAAAAGAAAAAUGUAUUAUAUGUAUACAAUCUAUUUUAUUUUAGAUUAUACUUAAAAGAAUAUAACAAAAAUACCUAGAAUGCAAAUCGAUAUUCGAGGAACUGAUGAACCCAUAAUAAUAGCACGUGCAAUUGAGCAAAUUAUAAUUCAGAAUUUUUUGAUUUUUGUAAAGAAGAUGAAGAAGACCUGAGCAAUGGAGAGAAAUGGUCGAUUGAGUGAAAAAAUAGAGAAAUGGUAUGGCUACAUCUAGUUUGCCCAACACAAUAAAAAAUAAAUAAAAGUAGAGGACGAUAUAUAUUGGAGAUACGUGUCCAGCCAAUGCUUUCGCUCUUUUAUAUAUGUAGGAUAUUGACAAAAUAACGGUAGUUAGGUCAUCUCCAACGCAAGACAUGAAAUUUGUAAUACUUUCAUACAAUUUUGUAAAGUUACUUUCAAUCCAUUAUACCAAAUACUGCAUCAAAUGAAUAAUGUUUCAUUUAUUUCCUUAUCUUUUAAUUAUCAAAAAUUAAUUUAUUUCAAGAAUUAUUUAAUUAUAAAUUAUAUUCUACUGAAAUACCAGAUUAAAAAUUAAAUUAAAUUAACUAAACUAUUAAAUUUAUUAAUAAAUAUAAAAGGCUUUACACUUAAUACGACAAUUGAAAAAUUAUGACACUUAACACACAAAAUAAAUUUUUUACAUACAAUAAAAAAUUAUAUCAUAAAUUUUAUUAAAAGUAAUGAUCAAAUUAAAAUAAAUAAAAUUAAAGUUAAAUCAUCAAGGAUAAAAUUUGUUAGUACAAAAUGAAGAGGAAAAUGGGAAUUAUGAAAAACUCUAAAAGUCAUACUAAAUGAAUAGUGUUGUAGCAAAUUUAGUGCAACAUUGUUAAUUGUACCAACUUGAUGUAAAGAUUUAUGAAUAUUGCUAUUUAUACAUAAUGAUAUUAUAUAAUGAUUUACAUAUAGAUGAAGUGUCAAAAAGAGAUUGUGGAAGAUUUUUUUUAUUUAUUUAAUUGAAAAAUUCUAAAUCAAUUAUAUCAACUACAUUAAACCAUCAUAUAAAUCAUUAUGUAUAUAUAGCACAACUGUAAAUUUAAUAUUUGGUUUGAGUGAUAUUUGCACCAAUGCAAAGUGAUUUGAGAUAUAACUGUAGUAUUCUAGACAAGACAAGUGACGGGGCUUUGCUGCACCAAGUCUUUGAAAUUAUAGUAUAGAACAGAACUUAAACCCUUCAAAAAGAAUGAAAUAUUAUGUCUCAAUUUAUUGUUUGCAGUUUAGUUUUGAAAUUUAUUUCAUUUUAUGUUAUGUAAUUGUGAUCUCGUAGACAUAUUUUAAAGAAGAAUUGAUAAUUUUAAGGGGAUUCAAAGUUCAAUUAUUUAAUGAAAAAAUAUUUCUAGUUUACGUUUGGGCUCUAUUUUUUCAAAUUAUAAUGAUAGGAAUAGUAACUUUUUGAAGAAUUUGUGGUUAAAAAAAAAGGACAAUUUUUUAGGUUUACGAAUAAUAUUAUUUUAUUGGAGAAUGUGUGGUUGAUAAGAAAAGAGAGAAAAAUAAAUUUUAAUUUAAUGGAGACCGAACAGAAGUUAAAAGUGUUCGUUACGAUCAAAAGUCUCAAUUUAGUUAUACUAUGAUGUUACAAAUCAGCUAAUACUUAUUCUUGAUUAUUUUUAAAAAACCAGAAGAUUUUUAUUUUAAAUUCAUGAAGUGUGAACAUGUACAGAUUGAAUCAUAUUCACACACCUAUUUUUAAAAAUAAAUAAAGUGCUUUUAAUGGUAUUUACUUUAUAUAUUUAUUAUGACGCAAUUUUUUUAGCUUAAUUAAUCCAUAAGAAUAAAUAGUGGUUAGCUGUGUACAUGACAGCAUUAAUUAAAUUUAUCAAAAUGUCAUGACUUUUUGAGGAGAAGACGUGUUGGAGAUGAGCAUUCAGGCUCCAUUAUUAUUUAAAAAAUAAAAGUAAAAGAGAAGUAUAAUAUUAAAAAAAGAAUUUAAAAAGAUUAAGAAAAAACACAAUAAUCUUUCCAAGGUGGCUGCCCUCACACCACCACCACCAUCAUAAUCCCUCAUCAACCAUUAAUAUUGAUCGACGAAAUUCACCAAGUACACGAUAUCAUAGAUAAAUAAUAUAAUAAUAAAUAAAAUAUUGUCCCGCAAACAUAUGUACUUAAUCUAGUUUUGAUUAAUAUGUGUUCAAUUUGAUUAAUAAGAAUUCUAAUUGAAUAGCCAAGUUUUGACGAUGAAUUUCUAUAAAUAGUUAACUAACUAAUCUAAUUGAUGAGCAAUUAUUAAAGCUCUUGUUAAACCGAUUUAAAUAUGAACAAAGAUUUCAAAUCCCCAUUUAUUAAUUUAUUUUAUUACAAAGACCAUGACAAUAGUUAUUUAUUCUUGUUGAUUAAUGUUCCUAUUUUGUUUAUAAUCUCUUUCGAGUAUAAUCAAAUAUAUUCUCAAAUGUGACCCUCAUAUAUCUAUACGAAAGAUGCAAACAUGAAAGAAUAAAUUAAAAAUAUUCAAACAACUAUUGAAAUCAUGCAAGACAUAGUAUUAUAUUUUAUCUGUCCUCACAAGAAUUGUUACUAUUUUGCUAUCUUUCCUAUUAUUUAUCUUGGAUAUAAUAAAAAUCACUCAUCAAUCCAAUUAGCGAUCAAUUAAUUGAAAGCGUCAUAUAUAACAAUUUUUCAAGGAAAAGAAAUACUUAACAUCAAAAUCUUGAAAUUAAAAUAAAACUUCAUAAUAAAUGAUUUAUCUAUAUCUUAGCAACUAAAACUUUAGCCUAGCAUUACAAUGUUACAAGAAAUCAUAAAGGAAUAAUCAAACAUAAUCCAAAUUCAAAAUAUAUGAAGAAAGAAAAGAGAAGUCACGAAAUCUUGAAUUUCUUCAAUCUUCCUUGAUAUGUUACCUCUUGACUUACCACAAAAGAAUGAUAUUUUUUACCUCUCUUGAUUGCAAGAAUUUGUAUAGUGUAUGGUAUGAGAGGUGUCUUUAGUUAUUGGAUGAAGAUUUAUAUUUAAAAGCCAAAAUUAGGUCAAAAUCCGUGUUGAAAUUGGUUGAAUCAUCCAAGGAAAGUGUCUCGCCUGGCCAGACUACAGCCACGUGAUUGCAAUAUAUAAAUAUGUGCAAUCGCAUCGUUAAGCACUUUUAUCAUCUGCUUUUGCCAAAUAGAGCGUUGGGAUCACAUCACCUUGUUUCAUGCAAUCACGCCCCUAUAAGUUUAUCAAAUUCUCAAUUUGAUCCCGAAUUUCUUUAUUCAAUCUGAAUCCUUUUUUCAUGUAUGUUUAGUCUUUCAUCUUUUAAUUUUAUUCAGUUUGAUCUCUAUAAUCUGCAGACAUCAUUCUUUGGUUCGAAUUAACUUUUAUACAUUAGUUAGUUCCCAAACUUUGGAAUUCUUCCUUUUUCAUCCUUCUUUGAUUGAUUUUCACUUUUUUUUUUAUUUGAUAUUCGAUGGUAUGACAACCGUUUAUAAUGACCAACAAAAACAAGACACACCACAAUUCGCCUGGACUGUCGACCCAAAUGAGCACUGUAUGUCCAUGCACGACCAUCGACUCCCAUAAGCGCUCUAUGUCCAUGCUUCACUGUCGACUCUCAUGAACACUUUAUGUCUAUACCUGACUAUCGAUCCCCAUGAGUGCUCUACGUCCGUGCUAGGCUGUCGACUCCCAUGGGAUCAUCUACGACUACGUGGCUUGUCCAACACUUAGCCAUAAAAUCGUCAGUAGAUUGGAUGAAGAUCACUUGACGGGGGUCACAAACGCAACCAACUAUCAGAUAGUUGGAGGUCCCCCACUCAGAAUGUGGGAUAGUAGAAGAGGUUACGUGGGACACGUGGCACCGUAACCGCCCAACAUUCCCACGGCUUCAAUCACCUAUAAAUACAUCAAGGCGAAAUAGAUAUGGACAGAGAAAAAAUUUGGCUAUUUGAAUUCCAUUUUUGCUUUCCCUAACACCGUAUACUGAUUCUCAUGCCAGAGAUAAAACGGGGGACAAAGUCUUGCCUUCACUUUUAAGGCAACAUUGGUUCAUCGGAGUAGCAGGAAUACCUUGCGCCGCCAGAAGGGCAUGGAGGUAAUGUUCCACAACUACUUUAUUAUCUUUUUUUCAUCAAAUACAUUUCAAAUUUGAGUUUGUCUUUGAUCAUGAUUUAGAUAAUGUAAUACUUGUGUUUGGUGUUUCAAUUGAUAUUUCACCUAAUAUGUCCUUUGUACUAAGAGAAUGUGCAUCCGUGGAGACAUUUCUUAGUUGAGGCAAGUUAUAUGCAUUGAUGCUUUCUCCUAUGGACUGCAACAAAUCUUGAUCUUGUUUUCUAAAAUCUUCAGGCAUAUGUUCAAAGUAAAGAUCCCAUAAAUUUCUAAAAUCAGUAGGUUCACAAUAAAUCAACAGUGUAGUAAAGAAUCUUCUAAAUGCUCGAGGCAUCUGAAAGGCGACUGCUUCAUCUAAGUAUUUAAUGGUACUUCGAUCGGAUUCAAGAAGCCCUCUUUUUUGGGCCGCUUCUUCAAAAGUCCAAAAUUGACUCCCAUUAACAUUCAUGAGGUCCUCAAAAUACUAUGGUCCUCUUACAAGAUUUAGUAAUAAACAAUAAUAAUAUCUUUUCCCUUCAGUUGGAUUCGCUCCUGCAAUGCAUGAUAUCACUUCUCCUUUUUUCAUCUUUGUCCAUACAUGGGCUUGUCUAUUCCAUACGUAGUGUUCUGGACAUUCUCCAUAUAAGAACAUCGUUCCAUCUUUGUUCUUGUUACACAUUUUGAAAUAUUCAGUCAACAUUGUCCUUGAGACGUGAUCGAAUUGAAUAACUCUAUUUAGAUCUUGGGGUUCUCAAUAAGAUACCGUUUGUUGAUUAGGGAGUUGAAGUUGUAAGUUGAUGACAGCGGGUGACAUUUCAUUCAAUUGGAAUUCAUAAAUUUUCCAUACAGCUUCUUGUGCAAAUACCCAGUUUGCAUCUUGGAAUUCUCGUAUUUCAUUUAUUAUCCUAUUGUCAUCAUCAUGAGAUAUGUAGAUAGCUGUUCUGUCAUGACCUUUUUAGAUAUACUUAUAUAAGUAUUUAACAGCUUUCAAACCGGAACAAAUCUCUACACUAAUAUGAAAAUUAUAUUGUAGAAGCAAAUAUGGAUUGUAAGGAACAACCCAUCUGUUAUCAAAUGUUGCAUUUCAGACUUUCACCUAUGAAUUAGGAAUUGAAGAAAUUUGACUAAUUUUUACGUACGAAUAUCGUAAAUUAAGAAAACUAAUGUUAAUAAGAAUAAUAAUGGUAUUUACCUUAUAUCCAUAAUUUCUUCUUCUAUAUGUUGGAUAUGCAUCAUUUCCUUGCACUGUCUUCGAGGAAAAUGGUCUUGGAUAAUGGAAUCGACAUGUCCCGCUUACUAUACAUGGACAUUUGUUGUUAUAUUCUCCAUAGGGUCCAUGUAGCAUGUGUUUGACAACUACUUUGUAAAGAGUAAAUUUUGUUUCUUUGUCUGGGAUUUCUGCCUACAUAUAUUUGUCAUAUUGGUCAGCAUUUGUGAUUUUGUAACCACUUUUCAAUAUAAUUAAUAUGUGAGCACGUGGAAGUCCUCUUUUUUGAAAUUCAAUCACAUAAACAUAAGCCGCAACUUUGUUAAGAAUCUCUUUUUUCAAUAUUUGAUCUUUUAGGUCCAUUAGCUUUCCUCUAAAGACCCUUGUAGUGAGAUUGGGUCUAUCUUGAGGACGUUGACCUUCUUGGAGUUUGUCUUUUAUUUCUUUCCAUUCCGAAUUACAUGUCAUUGUUAAAAAAAAUCUGGCUUUUCAAAAUGUUGAACUAAUGCCAUAGCAUCCAAGUAAUGAUGUCGCAUGUCUCGUGGACCUCCAAUAAAUGAUGCAGGGAGAAUAAUUCUUUUUCCAACUUCAUCUCUUGUUUCGCCCGCAUUUAUAGUGUCAACGAUUUCCUGAUAUAGUUCUUAUCGAAUGCGUGAUUGUUGUGUUAAGCCUAGUAGUUUCGAGCUUUAUAUACAUGUCAACAAUAUAUUGUUGUAGCAGUCGUCCAAUCCAAAGAAUUAUCAAUUUGCUUGAUGGUCGAAUUUGGAGCUUAUGACAAUAAUGUUCUCGGAAAGAUACUUUUGAUGCUUGGGUUCGGGUAACUCCUGUUAAAAAAUACAAUAAUAUAUAUUAGAUCAUAGUUAUAUGAAAUAUUUUAGAUUAAAUAAAUGCAUUUGUAUGCAAAAAAUGAAUUUCACCAUAGCGUUCUUCUAUGAUGAUAUCCUUUGCAGAAUUAAAUUGAGAGAAAUCGUUGGUGGUUGCAGUUGUACAUACCAUUUUGCUCGUUACAUUAUUUUCAACUCUAUUUCUCUUAAUGUCUUGGUGUCAACCCGCCUCCCCAUUUGGAAAUAGCAGAGGAUAUUGAAGUGAAUCGUAACAACUGAAGUAGUGUCGAAUAAUAUGUCGAUUUCUAGAAUGUGCAUGAACAAUAAUAUUCCUUUCGAAAGGUAUGAGAUCAUCGUUUCUUUCUAUCCAUAGGGCAGCCACUUGAUUGAUGGUCGGUGUAUUGUAUACACGUUGAUCGAUAUUAACAUUGCUUGCAAUAUGUAUCUGUAUAUUGUCAAUGCAUGAUUGAUCCUUUAUGGUACGAAAAAAUUUAGCAUAAGGAUUGUGUUGUAGAAGUUGCAUCAAUUGUUGAACAAUGGUUUUUAUCAAGAUCGGCAUCUCUUAGUAUGUGAAUCAUGUUUUCCAAUUCGUGAUCAACAUUGUAAAAAUACAAUUGAAAAAAUAUAGGUCGUUUUUCUGGUAAAAAAGCUGGAAGAUCAUGGUAUAUUUGCCCGUGAGCUCUAAAUGUGUAAACUCCUUUGUUUGAUGUAGUGAGAUCUUUAUCAAAAUUUACAUCAAAUGAAAUGAAGGAAAAUAUGCUGUUAUAACCUCUCAGAUUUUUUUGACAUAAAAUCCUUUCACUGGACUGUGAAGUAAACAAAUGAUACAAUUCAUUUGGCACUUUGUUUUCAGCAAGUUGGAUCUAAUAAAUGUUGAAUGAAAAAUUUUUAACUGUUAAAUUAUACAAAUGUUUGAUAAUAGAAGGUAGAAACUAUUUGACCUAACCAUUUUGACAACAAAAUGCUGGAGUUUCAUACUCAUUUUGUUGUGCCCCAAAAAGUGCAUGAACGUAUUUUCUUAAGCUCGUGUAUUGGAGAACACCUGUACAAUAUUAAAUGAACUUUGACAACUAAUAUUGGUAAAAAAAUAAUGUAGAUGAUAGUCAAUCCAACGAUCCAAGAGUAAGACCUUGAAUUUUAUUCCGAUUUUGUUCUUGUUUGGUUUCAAUGGAAGAUGAGAUACAACACUUGUUGUCGGUGUCCUCUGUGUAUCUCUUCUUUCUGGAUUCAAUUGUAAGCUAAAUCUUUCUGAUCCUUUGUACUUUUGAGAGCCUUAAAUAUUUUGUUCUUUUAUGUUGGUUAUCAUAUCUAAGGAAUUAUUUCCUGAGACUCGACAACACGAAAAUAAAUGAAUUUAAAGAGUUAUUGAUUAGAGGAGUGUCUUAUAAAGUUAGAUUACAUUUUAUAUGCAUUUAAAUAAUGGAAAGAAUUGAAAUUAUUUAAUUAUAAAUUACUUGAACUUCUAGAAAAAUGAUUACAUGUUAGUAUAUAUGUAGAACCUGAUGAAUUUUUUAAAAUCAAUAUUUAAGUUGUUAAAAUCUCUACGAUUUUAGUGUUUGAAUAUGAAGUGUUUGAGUGUAAAUGUUAGUAAUAUUUGUAAAUGAAUAUACAGUAUAAUCAGAUGUAUAAAAGAACUUCGAGAGGUAAAUAAAAACAUUAAUAAUUAAUAAGUUGAAUAAAAAUAGAAAUGAAGAGGAAAAAUAUUUGUUACCAAACUAUCAGAAUAAUUUUAUUAUUACUAUUACUGUAUAAAUGAUAAACUAAGCCAGCAUAAGCACUAGCAAACAUUUUUCCUUUUUACAACUACCAAAAAAAUCGAUAAAGAAAAACCGAAGCCUGAUGAAUAUCUUUCUUCCUUUUUUCUUUUUUUUUUCCCCCCUCCCUAUUUUUGUGCUGGAAAAGAAUACUAAACAAAAAUAGAGAACAAAUUUAAAAAUCGAAAAAUAGUCAACUAAUAGCUUAAAGUGAAAUUAAUCAAACAAAAGAGAGCCUACUUGGACUUAGAGCGCAGAGAUUGAAGCCAUGAAAAACUUGGUAGAUCUAGGGUUGGCCAUUUGUGGAAGAGCAAAAGUAAAAAAAGUGAAUAUUUUCUGGCUUCAGAAUUUAAUGAAUCACAAUUUUUGGGUUUAAUUUGUUUACAAGUUUUGUUUACUCCACAAUACCACCUGCAUAAUAUGUGUUCGCCUGUGUGAGAGAGAGAGAGAGAGACGGUGUGACGAGAAAUUAAAUGACAAACUGCAGACCAGAAGCUAAAUGGAAAUGAAUGUUAAUUGGGAUACAUGCACGUAAAUACUAAUUAUUUUAGUAUUAAUGACAAUGAAUACAUACAUGAAGAUGAAUGUAAAUUCAUUUAUACUUAAUGAAUAUAAAUUAAUGUCCAAUGAAGUGAUUCAAAAUUCUUGAAUGGAUCGUAAUUAAAGGGUGUGUAUGUGAACCGAUAUAUGGGUACAUGAACUGAAGUUUUUAUUUCUUCUAAUGUUUGUGGAUUUGCGUGAGAUAUUUGGUUAUGAAAAUGAAAAAUUAAUGCUGCUGUAUAUCAGAUUUGAAAUUGCACAUAUAUUCAAUGUAGGUAAAUGUAUUCAAUAUAUAAUUAUGACUAUGUGUGCAUGCAUGCAUUUACGUUAAUGUUUCAGUAUAUUUUCUGGAUAAGAAUUGGAUAAAUAAUUUAUUAUAGCUCUAAAAUAUAUAAAGUGUAUAUGAACUUGAAGACUUCAUGUGGAAUUUAAUAUAUCUAUAAAUAAAUAAAUUAAUGUUUAUUAUUAUACACGUACAUAAAUAAAUAAUUGAAUUGUUGUACUUCUAUAGUAAUUGAAUAGCAUCAAGUUAUACACCAUUUUGUCUAAAUAAUUUUUCCAAGAUCAAAUUUAUAUAUUGAAUGUAUAAUUCUGUGCAUGCAUUUAGGUAAAUGUAUUCAAUUUAUAAUUAUCAUUGUAUGUAUGCAUGCAUGCAUGCAUUUCCGUAAAUUCUCAGACAUCAUUUUAUUCUGAUUUUUUUAUUUUAUUGAUUCAUGCCUAGAAGUUGUAAUAUAAAUCCAGAGUAUAGAAGUUUAGAGAAAGAGGAUUUACUUAUUUUAAAUAGCUUUUGGAAAUGUUGAGAGAGUGAGCUGGUGUUCCUCAGAAUUCUCAUUUUGGAUGGAUUUUAUGGGAGUUGCUUAUUUCGAUAAUAAGUGGAUCAAUUUUGGUUUCACAAGAAGACAACACAAUUAAUGCACAAAAAUUUAUUCCUCAAGUUUAAGAUUAAGAUUAAUCAUUAAUAUGAGGUUUAAAUUAAUUCUCCAAACUACCAUGCAUUUAUUUUAUUUUGUUUUCAAAAAUUAUUCUAUUAAUCUAUGGUUUAAAGUCAUUCUUGAAGUUCAAGUAUACAUUAUUUUGUCUAAAUUAAUUUUCCAAGAUUAUGUGUAUACAUAGCAUGCGUGUCUAGUUUCUUUUGUAAUAAUAAUUGUGAAGAUGAAUAUUAAUUAAAAUGCUUCUUCACUUUCAAGAUUAGUCAGUAAUGUGAGAUCUAAAAUAAAUCUCCAAAGUAUUGUUCAUUUAUUUUAUUUUUCCCCACAAUUUUAAUGAUACAGCAAAUUUGUUUUAAAUAUAAUAUAAACUUUCUCAUAUUAAAUUAUAACUUCAUUAAAUUAUAUAUGAUAAAAUAAUAGGUGUGUUUUGCGUCGAUGUUUCGAACAAAAAUAAUAAUAUGUCUCUUAAAUGAUAAAAUAACAGGUAUGUUUUGAGACGAUGUUUCGAACAAAAAUACUAACAUGUGUUUCUCUAAUCUAAAUCAAUAUUCAAUCUUCUAUUUUUAGUUUCUCGCUGGGAUGGUUCCUUCAAUUAUCUCCUUUGCAUCCACCUUGUAAACUUCUUCGACAAUCAAUUUCUUCCAUGUUCUUUCUUCUCUUUUCUUCACAUCCAUCUUCACCAAGAAUUUGAACUCUUUAUCUUCCGAGGACAUUAGCUUUUUGUAUUAUUUACACAGUUCUUUUUGUUGGUCUGAGAAGAAAAUACCAAUAUAUGUUUUUAUAAAGAUGAGUUAGUCACCUAAUUUUAGUUAGAAGCAAUAUAAUAUGUUGAAAACACAAAAUCUAAAUUAUAUGUUUACCUUUAAAGAGCCUCAGCAUAUUCAAUCACAGUACUUACUAUGAAAGAUUUGGCAGCAUAACAGAUUGUGACGAAACUUCUUGAUUACCAUCUAAAACUAUUAUUCUCAACAAAUACUUUCUAUUAAAAGCUAUGUCCUUAAUUUCACAUAUUGUACAUGUGACGAUUUUUUUAAUCUUCCUCUGGGUAAACUCUUGCACCACACUUGUUUUGAACCUUUAAAAUCUUGCCUAUAAAAGCACAAUACAAUUUAGUCACACUAUUUGUAAUAAUAUCAUCUAAUUUUACGAUACCAUCAUCCACCAUCCUCUUUGUAGGUCCCAAUAGUUUGUACAAUCCUUCACCACAUAGCAAUUUUUUAGUGCUGUAAAAAAAAAAAAAAAAAAAGCAAAAUAAAUCAUCUUUCAGCUAUAUUAAAAUCUGUUUUAAUUUAGUAGUAAUGUAAAUAUAAUCGUCAUGACUAAAUAAACCAUGCUCACCUAUUUUUAAUAGCAUUAGUUUCUUCAAGUUGCGGAUUGAUCUCAAUGAUACUAAUAUUUGAAGUGGAGAUGUUUAGUUCAUUUGUUUGAUAGACAUUAGUAAGAACGCGGCAUAGAUUGUUGAUUUUAGCAUACAACUCUUUUUAAUAUGAUAAUAAAAUAAUUAUAAAGUAUCACCUUCAUAGUAACUUGCUCUCACACUCAAAGUUGCAAUAAGUGGUAUUGAACAGCAUCUUCCAUAAACUUUCCUUCGUUGUUAGCCAAAUCUCCCCCACAAAUGUAAUUUCAUUGUAUUACACCUGUACUAAAAAAAAAAAAAAUUGUUGAGUAAAUAAUAUUAUAAAGUUUAUCUUCUUUUUAUUUGAUUAAAAAAAAUUGUUUGAUUUUAUGGAUGAUGUUUACCCAUUGUCUAGGAGAAUCACUUCCCGUUUCUUCGUUGUUCUUUCACUUGGCCUCUUAACGUUGAUGAUGAACGUAGGUUUUACUUUGACAGCAAAUCCUAUAAUAUCUGAAAACAAAAAAGAAAAAAAAUUUCCAGAAAGAAUUCAUUAGCCAAUGGAAAAAAAAACCUUAGAUAUCAUGAAUUUCUGUUUUCACUAAUGUCAUGUGGAGUGUUCCCUUUUUUUUCCCCCUUCUUCAAUAAAUAGCUUAAUAAAAUAGGACCUGAUAUAAAAUGUGGGUAGAGUUUUUUGAAUAUUAGAAUUAAUACUUAGUAAGACUCUCCGAACAUUAUUGUAAACUAUGCAUUUGACUAAAAAAUAUAAUUACAAUGACGAUAUCUCCGCUAGCAAAAUUUGGUACUUCAUUGAAUUGAAGAUAAGAGUUUGAUAUCUUAUAGCAUAUGUGUUCUUCAAUCUCUUCUACUUUCGUUGUAGUUGUGAAAGACAAUUCGAUUUCACCAUUCACAUUUUGGUAUUGACAGGUCAUACGUUUUUAUUUCGUAUAAUGUAAGAUUUCCCCUUUUCAAUUAUAGCAUCGAGCUUUUGAACUGCAUCAUUGAAUAACAUGGCUUGAAUUUUAUAUCCCUAUAGAGAAAUCACUAUGUUACUUCUAAUAUACCCGAUUGAAUAAACUCAAACAUGAAUAUACCACAUAAUCAUUACUCCAUUACCAUCAAAACUAAAUUCAAAUAAUCCAGUGUAGCAUAAAUAUUCAGUGUAUAUCAAGAGCAAAUAUUUAUUCACUACAACCUAAGUCGUCAGAUUAGAACCUAAGUCAUCAAAUUAGUAAAAUAAAAGUUUUUUUCCUUUCUUUCCUUCCUCUGAUCUCCACACCAUCUCAGAUUCUCACUAUUAAUUUUACUGUACAAAUAUAAAAGUCAAAAACAUAAGAUCCUAUAAGAUAAAUUAAAGUAUUCAUGAUAAAGCAAAAGACUUUUAGAAACACGUAAAGAUAUGAGGGAAAUGAAAUAUUUAUGCCAUGUCAAUAUUUGAAUCUCGAAGAUGAAUUCAGAAUUAUUAAAUAUACGGGUCAUCAUAGUAGAUAUAUUACCUCCUUGUCAAUUAGGAUGAUCUUCAAAAGAUCAAAAUUUCCAGCAUUUUGGAAUAAAAUUUGACUAAAUCCUUUCGAACUACCGUCACUUUAAUGUACCAUUCAUUUUCAUACGCCGAUAAAUCUCUUAUAGCCUUUGAUUCCAUGAAGGGGGAGAGCAAAAUAUUUGAUGAUUUGAUUGAAAUGUGACAACAACCAAUUUGUGAAAAUAAUUUAAAUAGUUGAGGGAUUAGUUCAUUUAUGUCUAAAACUCAUGAUAACAAUCAAAUUCAUUCAUGAACAUGAAAUCUAAUUAAUUCCAAUUGAUGCUGUUGAUGCAUGUCACAUAUAUACAAUGUAUGAUUAUCACUUUAUGUGUGAAAGCAUGCAUUUAGGUAAAUGUAUUCAACAUAUAAUUACCACUAUAUGUGUCCAUGCAUGCAUUUACGUAAAUGCUUUAGUAAGAAUUGGAUAUACAAUGUAUAAUUAUCACUUUAUCUUUCAAUUUCUAAAUCUUUAAUUGAGUGUCAUAGGACUCCUUGGCUUCUGAAAUCAUCAACCUAGCAACUUGAUUUUAUCCUUGACCACCUUUUCGAACAGCCUCAACACGUCCUCAUAAUUAUUAUACAUGCAUGUAAAUAAAUAACUGAAUCGUAAUAGGGCUUGUAAGUAGUAGUGCUAGAAUCGUCCAAAAAAUGAUUUUCCCUCCAUGUGAUAUUUAGUAUAUUAUAGAUUUUUAUCCCCAACAACUUGCAUAAUAGUUAUGUAGGAAAUCAUCAUUUUUGUUAAAUCAAUUAUAUGAUUUACUUUUCUUUCAGUUGAGAAGAAAACCGAGAAAAUUUGUUUUAGGUGAAUAGAAAAAUCAAAUAGAAAAUAUUUUGCUUAUGUAGAAGAAAUAAAUGAGGAUAAUUUCUUACCGUACUUGUUGGUCCCAAUCGAUCUUUCAACAAUUAAUUUUAGGCACAAAUUUCAUAAGAUCCAAAAAUUUUCAACCACAUUUCAUCAAUUUUUAUCAGAAUCUACUAAAAUACACCAAAUAAGGGCUUAGUUCGUUUGUAAUAUUAUUGUCCAAUGAGAAAAAGUUCUUCAACAAUUUGACGUGUAAAUCGACAUUGAAUACGUGUAAUACAACCGACAGCUCAUUAUAAGUAUGUUAAUUGUCGAUAUAAAAAUCAUCAACCAAGUUUAAAUUGUAUGUUAUUUGAGCAGGUAAUAAGCAACAAAACAAGGCAUGGCAUUCGCAGAGGAUAGAAUUUAGUUAAUUGGAACAUCAAAUCACCUACAUUGUUCUUGCCCAAAAGGAAACAAUGUGCUUGUAAAUAAUUUAUAGACCUUUCACGAUUAACCAUUUAAGCUGUGCAGUGACUAUUUUAGCUUUAGACAUUCUCUUUCUUUCCAUUCUAUUCUUGCUUUCAGAAGUAAAACGUAACAUCUGCGAGAAAUACAAAAUUGCAGAUUUAUGGGGUAAAAAUCAAAAGAAUGUCUCUUAACUCACACUAGACGGCCUGCUGCAUCAUAUACUCGCUCCCUGAUGCACUGAAGCUUGUAUGGGACAAGUGCAAAUCCGAUCCCUACAAAAGAUAGCUUUCAGAAGCCCAAUGCUUAAACUCAUGUGAUGAACUCAGCAUCGGAGAUUCAAAGAGAUAGGAUGAACAUCACUUUCACUUAUUACUCAAGGUAAGUUACUGGGUUUAAAACAAAUUCACAACGAGUGAAGGUGAAGAUGAAUCCAUGAGUAGUAGUAGUACAAUAUACGAAGUUUCAUACUUCAUGAUAUUUUAUUUCAAGCUCCAUAGGUACAUUUUUGUAGCACGGGACACGUAUCCGAAUUGAUAUCAUAUAUAAUCCUCAAACGCCUAAAAUUCUUGGGCAGACUAGCUCUUUCACAACUCAUAAUGUCUCAAAUUCGUAUGUUUACGAGAAGUGAUAAAUACCCUUGGAUGUAUCGGCACUGGUUAUUCCCGUCCGUUUCUAUGGCAUGUAAUAACUAUUGAGUCUUUUUCACAAAACAAAGGGUAGUUAAAGAUUGGAGAACUUUUCUAUCAUUGUCCAUAAAUUAAGGAAAUCAAACCAAUUAUAUGCUACCAUAAAUUAACUUACUUGCACUGUUCCAUCUAAGUUCUGAGAGUCUCUCUAAAUAAUUUACUAGCGACCGCUGUCAGUUGAUCAUGUGCAUUUUGAAUCUUAUGCUUUUCUCUUAUGGUCAACUUGAUAUCCACAAAAGACUGUAGAAUGAAGAACGAAGUUAUGGUUACAUUAUUAAAAGUUACUGUUAAGAUGUAAUCCCGAAUAUGAGGUAAUAAAAUAACAUUUGACACAAAUUUAUCAUCCUUACCAGUAAUGCGCUCAGGUUUUGCAAUAUAUUCUUAAUUUGCAUUUCGCACGACGAAAGAAUUUGUCGAAUUUUGACAUCUACAUCUAUAAGGAGAAGCAUAGAGAUAAUGGUACCUACUCGAACAAUCGAUUUUGGAGGAAGUCUGACUAUCACUACCAAGCAAUGAACAAAUCUCAGAAACACAAGACGCCAUCAUGUUUAACACGAGACUUAGAGGCCUGUUGCUCCUAUGGAACAUAAAAAAAAAGGAGGCGGUGGAUAAUGUUCUCUUCUCUUUACACUAAUAGCAGUACAGGAGUCGUGAUUGUCUUCCUUGAAAAAGAUAUAAUUCGUUCCAACCAACACCUAGAGGCGGGGUGAAUAGGUGUUUAUGCGGAAUUUAAAUCAAUUAAUUAAUUCAUGCAACAAGUCACAUAAAUUAAGCAUUGCCUAGAUUCAUUCACAUACUUUUAUCUACCUAAGUUGAAUUUUCGGUUGAAAAGUAGAUAAAGAAAAACAAUAAAAACAAUAAAAACACCACAAAAUGUUGACGGAGAAAACCCAACUAGGUAAAAACUCCAGGCACAAGCCAGUAGAGAUUCACUAUCGAAGAUAUUGACUUACAGUACGCCAGACACAAUUGAUACUACCAAUUCUCUGACCUCCUUAGUGUAUCAACCAAAGCUCUCCUAGAUUCUGCAGAUCUACGCCAAAAUCCCAGCCUUGAAUAUCUUCAACCUCUCGUGAAUCACCAAGCACUUCUGCUCUUCAAGCAAUUUCCUUCCCGGAUCUUCAAACUGAUGAUCUUCUGAAAGUUGGUAAGGAGUAAUGAAACGAUGUUUUGAUUUUUGUAAAGAUUGAUGUUUUUACUCAAAGAAACAAAAGAUGAAAAGAUGAAAGAUGAAAAGAAUGAAUUUGUUUGUUCUUGAUCCUUUGGAAUUUGAGAGGAAUUGAUGUUUUGUGUUUGCCAAAGGUUCACAAUGAAAAAUCGGACGUUUUGUUUAUAUACUAGGUCGAAUUUGGAAAUAUGGAGUGUUAAAAAUUCGCGAGAAAUUAAAAUUAGUAAUGGCCAGAUAACACGAUCGCUCGAGCGAGGCGCUGGCGUAACUCGAGCGACGCACCUUCGCUCGAGCGACUGUCCAGCGAAACUCCAGCGAGGUUGGUUCUGCAAUUUAAGCUUGAGUGAGGUCAGGGCGAAACUCUAGCGACAUCAACGCGCCGUUUGCAACUUCAAAGUAUCCACCUUUACCCUAGAUCCAUGCAAUAAAAUUUAUUAAAUUGCAACUCUAGUCCCUGAACUAUUAGACCUUUACAAUUUAGUCCCUGAUGUUACAAACAUGACAAAUAGGUCCUUUGGUCACAGAUUGCCAAUUACACAUUUUCCUAACAUUCCUGAUAAUUCUGCAUCAAGAUGAUGGAAUUCAAUUAUAGCACUGGAGUUUACCAACCCCAGGAUAAAUUAAAUAAGGCAUUAAAAUUCCAACAAGAGAUAGGAGCUGCAUCAACUUCGGAAGAAAUUAUGUACAAUCGAGAUAACUAUGCAAUGUUUGCAUGCUAUCACGAGUGAUGCUUAAUGAAAAGCUGCAGGAGUACAAUUUGAAUUUAGAUGGCCUCAAAAGAAACAGCUACAAGGCUUCCAUCCAAGCAAGCAAUUUUAGUCUUGAGGUUUUUAAGAUACAAGCAUUAUUUCGCAACAACUACCUAUUUAUGUUUAAAUAAAUAGUCUAUUUGACAAUUACUCUCCCUGUCCCAUGUUAUUCUUCUUGAUUACUAUUUGAGUUUGUCCUAAAAGUUAUUCUGGUUACCAACUUGAGAUUCUAAAUUCUGAUUAUACACCUUGUCAUGUUAUAGUGGGACAAAGCUUAAACUAAAGAUAAGAAAUAAACUACCCACUGCAAUAUUAAAUGGAAGUUCAACUUGGGACAGACUUGAAUCGUCAAAAUUGACUUUUCUUCAGAAUUUGACCACUUCUACGCUCAUAUACUUCGACCUACUCAUACAAAAGCUGUAAGUGUUAUGCCCUAAAUCUAAUCGAUUUAAAUUAUAAACACUUUUAGUAUGUUUAACACAUUUAUUUUUGGCAAGAUCUAUUAUUUAUUUAAAUUAAUAUUCUGAUGAAUAAUAUUAAAUAAUAGAAUUCGAAGAUUUAAGUUUCAGUAAUUUGUUAAUUACAAGGAGUUGUGAUUGUGAGAUGCAAAUUACAUCUGAUAGUUCUUAAAUAAUCCAUUGUCGUAAGUAAUGACGAGAUACGGAUAUCGUUAUUACGGAUAGACCAUCAUGUGUAGCAUUUAUUACUUGUGAAGUAAGUAGUCGAUCUUACAAGCUAAAGUGUGGUAACACUUAAAUAAACGCGUGGAUGUUUUCUUAUAGAACAAAACAUUGGAAAUCUGUUAGGAGAUUCUACAUGGAUAAUUAUCUGAGUGUCAGUGAUUAAUUUCUAACGUUCGGUGGUGGAAUUGGUCCUUUGACUUGAGGUCAUCAUAGUGCCUUAUAUGAGGAUAGUCAUACUUUCACAGUGUUGGAUGUUGCUCUGCCAAUGGCCGCUAAUAUGGCAUUGCUCGGGUAUGUCAAGAAUCAUAUGAAGGUUGUGAAUGACCAAUAGAGGAUUCGUCACUCUUAGAUAGUAAGAGAUUAUGAUCCACAAUUUAUUCAAUUAUGUCGAUAACGAAAUUCUUGACCAAGGUGUACUGAGACGUCAAAAAGGAGUUUUUGACUUAUAUUGACUUAAUAGUGGAAUGAAAGAUAUGAUCAUUAAUCGGGAUUGACACACUUCCAUAUCUUGUAAUUGAUCGAAUCAUAUUGACGAAAAGAUUAUAGUUUCAUAGUAAACGAACUAGUUUGGUUUUGUCAUACCACGUGACAUUUCCCGUCACAUGCAUUACCUUGACACAUUGCUAGAUAUCAAUCUGGUACGGCGAGUGUGAACUGGUAUAAAUUAUAAGGAUGUUUUAAUUUAUCAAUUUUGAUUAGAUAAAAAUAAUAUUUCACUUCGUUAGAUUUCGUGACCGGGAACCUGAUGGAUAGCACACAAAAAGAGAAUUGGAAGAUUGUAAUUCGUCAAUUAAUUAAUUUAACAAUCGUUGGAUAAAUUAAUUAAUUGGAUUGGUUAUUUAUAGGCCCAAUUAAUUCACAGACCGGAUUUAAUUAAAUUGAUUAAUUAAAUAUUGGAUUGGGUCAGACCAAACUCAUUUGGGCUUAUAUAAAUAUAUGACUAAGGUUUUCAAUUUGUAGAGAUUCUAGUAUUUUUGCUAGCACAAGAGGAGAAAAUUCUAGUGGCUACAAUUUGUUCUCUGUGUGGAAUUCCAUUAGAAGUUAGACAAUUGGACAGUUUUGGGUGGCAGAUCAAGCUAGGCUGCUGAAACAAGGGAAAAGCAAAAGAGUUUGUAGAUCUCGAAAAGGCUUAACUUUUACCACAAUUCUUAUCUAAAUAUAAAAAUGGUUCUUGGUGGGAAUUGAAAUUAGUUUUUAUUCGGUUGUGCAUAAUAAGUAAAUUUCCAACAAUGGCAUCAGAGCCAACUUUGUGUUUGUUAAGAAUUAAUUUACAUAUUGAUAAAAUCAAAAGUUGAUUUAUUUAUGUUUUUCUUGAAUCUAGCAAUUGUAUUAUUUUAUCUUCAAAAUUAGUUUUGAAAAAAAAAUGGUUGGUUUUGGCGGCUCGCAUCGCUGUUGGUUGCAGCGUGCGUUGUUGUAGCCGGAGGCGGUAGCCCCUACCGUGUAUUGGGCUGCCAGCUUCGUUCAAGGAAGUAUGAAUUUUUUUUAUUUUUAUUUAUUUAUUUAUUUUGUUGUUGUUGUUGUUGUUAAGAUUUAGGGUUUGGAAAUCAGUUUAAGGACGGGGGCCUCUUCUGAAAUUUGAGUAAUUUCAGGGGCUUCCUACAAUGAUCGAAGAGGGUAAAAACUUGCAAUUUUAAAUGGAGGGCUUGUCAUGUAAAUUUCGAAUUUGGGGAGACUUUGUUAUAAUUUCUUUAUUGGGUCAAAUUGCAAAUUUCAAAGGGGAUUUAAAUUCAAAUAUUAAAAUGGUUUUAAAGUUGGAUUUGUAAUUGGAUUUGACCCGUAUUUAUUAAUUUGGCCCAAAAUUGAAAUUUCUUUUAAAAUUGAUGAUUUCUUUUUAUUUUGUUAAAAUUAGAUUUUAACUUAAACAUUUAAUUUUGACCCUAAAUUGAACUUUGUUUUAUUUAAGAAUUUUGUCCUAAAUUAAAAUAUUAAUUCUAUUUUAUUAGAUUUGGACUCUAAUCCAAUGUUAAUUAAAAUUUGAUUUUAAUUAAUAAUAUUCCCCAAUAUAUAUUAAAAUUAGAGUAUGACUCUAAUUUAAUAAUUAAUUAAAAUUUGAUUUUAAUUAAAUUAUUCCACCCUAAUUUUUUUUAAAGAAUUAGAGUUUGACUCUAAUUUAAUAUUUAAUUAAAAUUUGAUUUUAAUUAAAUAACUUUGUCCAAUAAUUAUGGAAUUAGAGUUGAACUCUAAUUCAGGAUUUAAUUAAAAUUUGAUUUUAAUUAAAUAGGCCCGCCAAUUAAGUUAAUUAAUUAAUAUGAUUAAUUAAUUAUUUAACAAUUUUUUAAAUGAGUUUUGUCGACUAUAAUUACUAGAUUCUUGUGACUUGCAUAUAAUAUUAGUUAUUAUAUAGGAAACAUUUAUGUGAUGAAUGUCUAUUUAUGGAUGAUUAUAGACUCGACAAUGUGGAUGUGUUGAAUGGUUGAUUUAAUUCUUUUUGUUUUAUAGGUCUGCGAGCUCAUAAUUGUUUUGGACCUGCUAAUUCGUUAGUAUUAUUAUUGUUAUGGGCCUGCGAGCUCUUUAUUAUUUUUGGACUUGUGAGUCCGUUGUUGUUAUUAUUAUUGGCCUGCGAGUCCAAUUUCAUUUAGGCUUGCGUGCCAACUGGUAUAGGGUAUAUGUUGCAGCUGAACUAAUUGAAGGUGCGAGAAAAGGAAAAAACUAUGGAGAUGGUGUAUUGAUAUCGAUACAAUGCUAUACUCCCUAGGAAUUGAGCAACUAAUCUUCCCUUUGGCUCGAGAAAACUAGAUAGAAUAAGUGCAUAAUCAUCCAUCCAUAUAUAUAUAUAUAUAUAUAUAUAUAGAUAUAUAUAUUUGAUGAGACCAUUGCAUGGUAAAUCCCUCGUUAAAAUAUUAAGUCGUUAUUAUUUACCUUUCGUCAUUAUAGUGAAAAACGAGAAUCCUAAAUCGAUAUCAACUUGUUGAAUACAUUCAAGGCUGGUCUAUUAGGGAUAUGUUUGACACUAUAAAAUAUUUGAUAUUUUUGAAUGAUGGGUUUGACUUAACAAAAAUUUAUCUUUUGUUAAGUAUACUCAAGGAGAUAAGUUUUAGAGAAAUGUUAAGCUAACACAUAAGAUGUAUGAAUACAAGGAGUUGUCGGCUUAAUGAUCUGAGAGUUGUAUGAAGAUACAAUUGAUAAUAGUAUCUACCCAAAUAUUUUAUUAAGGUUUGUUGAGUACACUCAAGACCUUGAUGUAACAGAGGGGAUCCCAACCCACUGGGAAUCAAAUGUGGAUUCCAAUCAUUUAUGUAUGAGGGCCAUGAAUUCAUUUUAAACAAUGGGAGAACGUUUAGUUGAAGACAUAUUAAAUUUGUGCAAUACAUUACAAUACAUAUUAAUUCUUUAUUUUUUGUCAUUUACGAUUUUUUAAUCAUGAGUAAUCAUAUGAAUUUGAGAGGCAUAUUGGAUGCCAACAAACUGACCGGAUCAAAUUUUCUCGAUUGGCACCGCAAUUUAAGAAUCGUUUUCAAGCAUGAGAAAAUUGGGUAUGUCAUUGAGCAGUCCCUUCUAGGGUACCUACUAAAAACUCCACUAAGGAAGAGGACACACAAUGAUGACGAUAACAAUGCAGGAUGCGUGAUGGUUGCGGCUAUGUCACCUGAGUUGCAAAAGCAACAUGAGAAUAUGGAUGCUUACACUAUAAUUUUUCAUCUCAAGGAGUUGUAUGAUGAACAAUCACAUGUGGAGAGAUAUGAGACCUCCAAGCAAUUGUACUAGUGCAAAAUGGCAGAGGGAUCUUCAGUCAGUGCUCAUUUGCUGAAGAUGAUUGGUUUCAUUGAGAAAUUGGCUCAAUUGGGUUAUAUCAUGGAUCACAAACUAAGUAUUGACUUGUUCUACAAACUCUGCCGGAGAGUUACUCAUAGUUCAUCAUGAAUUUCAAUAUGAAUAAGAUUGAAUACACACUCCAUGAGUUGCUUAAUAUGCUUAAAACUAUGGAACCCAAUGUCAAGGCUAGCACUGGGCAUGUCUUAGCCAUUUAAUCUUCCAAGGACACCAAGAGGAAGACCAAAGGAAGUUUUAAGAAAAUAUCCAAGAAGACUAAGGGCAAUAACAAAGUAGUCAAAGUAAGCAAGGAAAAUAGCAAAUCUGAUGACCCGUGCUAUCAUUAUGGAGUGAAAGGUCAUUGGAAGAGAAACUGCAAGGCUUACCUCGCAAGUUUGAAGGAAAAAAAUCUUCUAAAACUUCUACUUCAGGUAUUUUUGUUAUCGCGGUUAAUAUGUCUACUUCAUUAGCUUUUUGGGUAUAAGAUAUCGGAUGUGGAUCUCAUAUUUGUAUAAAUAUGCAGGGACUAAAAAGAAGUAGACCACUGCAGAAAAAAAAAGUUGACCUGCACGUGGAAAAUGGAGCAAGAGUUGCUGUAUUAGUUGUAGGGACAUACUUCUUACCAUUGCCUUUGGACUUAGUAUUAGAAUUAGAAAAUUGCUAUUUUGUUCCCGCCAUUACUAAAAUCAUUAUUUCUAUUUCGUGUUUGGACAUGAAUGAUUUUUCAAUUAAUGUUAAGAACAAUUGUUAUUCUUUUAUAAAGAGAGAUCUUUUAUGGUUGUGGUGUGUUGCAAAAUGGAAUUUAUAUUCUUGAUACUUAGUCAUCUAUUAUGAGUAUAGAAAAUAAAAGGCAUAAAAGUAAUAAUUUAAAUAAUACCUAUAUUUGGCAUUGCAGACUGGGUCAUAUCAACGACAAACGUAUUUUCAAGUUACAUAAAGAUGGAUACUUGGUGUCAACUGAUUUUGAAUCAUUUGACAAAUGCGAGUCGUUCCUAUUAGGUAAAAUGACCAAAUUUCCUUUUACUGGAAAAGGCGGGACUAAUACAUACGGAGGUAUGUGGACCCAUGUCAAUCACUGCUAGAGGUGGUUUCUCUUACUUCAUCACAUUUACUGAUGAUCAUUCUAGACAUUGUUAUGUAUAUAUGAUGAAAUUCAAGCAUAAAGCACUUGAAAAGUUCAAAAAAUUCAAACUUGAAGUAGAGAAACGGACAUAUAAAAAUAUUCUCACGUUGAGAUCAGAUCGAGGUAGAGAAUACUUAAAGGGAGAAUUUUUAGAUUAUCUAAAAGAGAAUGAGAUUCUCUCGCAGUGGACUCCACCAUAUACACCGCAAUAUAAUGGUAUAUCUGAACGGAGGAAACACACAAUAUUAGACAUGGUGCGAUCAAUGAUGAGCCAUGCAAACAUCCCAAAAUCGUUUUGGGGUCAUGCACUAAUUGCUGCGUGCUACAAACUGAAUCGUGUCCCAUCUAAAUCGAUCAACAAAACUCCAUAGGGUUAUGGAGAGGAAAAAGACCCAACUUAUUUCACAUGAAAGUUUGGGUCUAUGACGCUUAUGUGAAGAGAAAUGAAUCGGAUAAACUUGAGGCUAAAUCUGAUAAAUGCAUAUGUGUGGGAUAUCCAAAAGAGACAAUUGGAUAUCAGUUUUAUAAUCUCGUUGAGAAGAAGGUGUUCAUUUCAAGACAUGUCAUAUUCCUAAAGAAAGAGUUAAUUCUAAGAGAGGGUAGUGGAAGCAAGAUAGAACUUGAAAAAGUUCAAAAAUCCACAGAUACUGUUGACCAAUUAGAUGAACCUGAAUAUGAUCCUACAGUUGCUGAUGGACAGACUUUUGAUCAAGAUUUAGAGACUCCUGAGGACACUCCAGCUCAGUAUAAAUCAAGUAAGAUCAUUCAACCUCCUAGAAGGUACGAAUUUACAAUUACUAAUCAAUUAUUAUUAGUUGAUGACGAUGAACCUACAAAUUAAGCAGACGUGAAGUCAAGUGUUGACUCAAAGAGAUGGCAAGAGACCAUGAAAUCCGAAAUGAACUCGAUGUAUGAGAAAAAGGUUUGGACCUUGGUUGAUCUUCUUGGUGGGAUAAAACCCAUAGGUUGUAAAUGGGUUUACAAGAAAAAUGUCGGUGUGGAUGGAAACGCCCAUACAUACAAAGUAAGACUAGUAGCAAAAGGUUACACACAAAGAUAAGGUGUUGACUUUGAUGAAACCUUUUCACCUGUAACCAUGCAGAAUUCCAUUCAAAUUUUACUUGCAAUAGCUGUAUACCAUGAUUAUGAGAUAUGGCAAAUGGAUGUCAAAACUACUUUCCUUAAUGGAAACUUGCAGGAGGAGGUAUUUAUAACACAGCCAGAAGGUUUUGAAUCCAAAGAAGCCAAUAAGGUAUGUAAGCUUAAUCGAUCCAUUUAUAGAUUAAAGCAAGCCUCUAGGAGUUGGAAUCUUCAUUUUGUUGAGACAAUCAAAAAGUUUGAUUUUAUCAAAAAUGAAGAUGAACCGUGUGUUUACAAGUAGACAAGUGGGAGCGCGGUCGUAUUCCUAAUAUUAUAUGUCAAUGACAUCCCCAUGCUUAAAUCGGUAAAAUUAUGGUUGUCAAAGAAUUUCUCCAUGAAAGAUAUGGGAGAAGUAACGUAUAUUUUGGGAAUCAAGAUCUAUAGAGAUAGAUCUAAAAGAUUGCUUGGCUUAUCCCAAUCUUCGUACGUAGACAAAAUCUUGAGAAGAUUUAACAUGGAAGAGUCCAAGAGAGGUUUUUGUCCUAUGUCACAUGGGAUUUACCUCUCAAAAGAUAUGUUUCCUAAAACACAUGAUGAAAGGAAUCGCAUGGAUAAAAUUCUUUAUGCUUCAGCGAUAGGAUCUAUCAUGAAUGUGAUGCUAUAUACGAUACCAGAUGUUUCAUAUGCUCUAAGUGUUAUGAGCAUGUUUCAAGCAAACCCUAGUGAGAAACACUGGAUAGGGGUUAAGAAUAUUUUUAAGUACUUGAGAAUGACUAAAGAUGUGUUCUUGAUAUAUGGAGGAGAUGAACUAAAGGUUCAUGGGUAUACUGAUGCUAGCUUUCAAUCUGACAAGGAUGAUAGCAAGUCUCAAUCUGGAUAUAUAUUUACUCUCAACAACGGAGCGGUUAGUUGGAAAAGUUCCAAACAGGAGACAACCGCUGAUUCAACAACGGAAGCCAAGUACAUUGCUGCUUCUAAAGCAGCAAAGGAAGCUAUCUGGAUCAAGAAAUUCAUUAAUGAACUGGGAGUUGUUCCUAGUAUUGUUGAUCUUAUACUUUUAUAUUGUGAUAACAAUGGAGCCAUCCCACAAGCGAAGGAACCAAGGUCUCAUCAAUGAUCCAAACAUGUGUUAAGGCGAUAUCAUCUCAUCAGGGAGAUUAUACAAAGAAAUGACGUAAAGAUAAAACGAGUUCCCACAGAUGAUAAUAUUGCAGAUCCAUUGACAAAGCCAUUGUCACAACAGAAACAUGAUCGUCAUGUGGACGCUUAUGGUAUUAACUACAUGAGUGAUUGGAUCAAGUGCAAGUGGGAGUUUGUAAAUGUUACGCCCUAAAUUCAAUCGAUUUAAGUUGUAAACACUUUUAAUAUGUUUAAUUCAUUUAUUUUUGGCAAGAUCUAUUAUUUAUUUAAAUUAAUAUUCUGAUGAAUAAAUAAUAGAGUUCGAAGAUUCAAGUUUCAGUAAUUUGUUAAUCAAAAUGAGUUGUGAUUGUGAGAUGUAAACUACAUAUAAUAGGAUCUUAAAUAAUCUAUGGUCGUAAAUAAUGACGAGAUACGGAUAUCGUUAUUAGGAAUAGAUUAUCACGUGUGAUAUUUCUUACUUGUGAUGUAAGUAGCUGAUCUCAAAAGCUAAAGUAUGGUGACACUUAAAUGAACGCGUGGAUGUUUUCGUAUAGAACAAAACAUUGGAGACCCGCUGGGAGAUUCCACAAGGAUAACUAUCUGAGUGUCAGUGGUUAAUCUCUAACGUUCAUUGGUGGAAUAGGUCCUUUAACUUGAGGUCAUUAUAGUGCCUUAUAUGAGGGCAAUCAUACUUUGACAAUGUUGGAUGUGAUAUUUCUUACUUGUGAUAUAAGUAGCUGAUCUCAAAAGUUAAAGUAUGGUGACACUUAAAUGAAUGUGUGCAUGUUUUCGUAUAGAACAAAAAACAUUGGAGAUCCGCUGGGAGAUUCCAUAAGGAUAACUAUCUGAGUAUUAGUGGUUAAUCUCUAAAGUUCAGUGGUGAAAUUGGUCUUUUGACUUGAGGUCAUUAUAGUGCCUUAUAUGAGGGCAAUCAUACUUUGGCAAUGUUGGAUGUUGCUCUGCCAAGGGUUGCUAAUACGACAUCACUCGGGUAUGUCAAGAAUCAUAUGGAGGUUGUGAAUGACCAAUAGAUGAUUCGUCACUCUUAAAUAGUAAGAUAUUAUGAUUCACAAUUCAUUCAAUUAAGUCAAUAACGAAAUUCUUGACCAAUGUGUACUCAAAAGUUGAAAAUGAGUUUUUGACUUAUAUUGACUUAACAGUGGAAUGAAAGAUAUGAUCAAUAAUCGGGAUCGACACACUUUCAUAUCUCGUAAUUGAUCGGAUCAUAUUGACGAAUGGAUUAUAAUUUCACGAUAAAUGAACAAGCUUGGUUUUGUCAUACCACGUGACAUUUUCCAUCACAUGCAUUGUCCUGAUACAUUACUAGAUGUCAAUUUGGCACAGCGAGUGUAAACUGGUAAUAAAUUAAAAGGGUGUUUUAAUUUAUCAAUUUUGAUUAGAUCAAAAUAAUAUUUCACAUCAUUAAGCAUCAUGAUCAAGAACCUAAUAGGUGGCACACAAAAAGAGAAUUGGAAGAUUGUAAUUUGCCAAUUAAUUAAUUUAACAAUCGUUCGAUAAAUUAAUUAAUUGAGUUGGUUAUUUAUAGGCAUGAAUUAAUUAAUUAAUUCACGAACUGGAUUUAAUUAAAUAUUGGACUGAGCCGGACCAAGCCUAUUUGGGCUUAUAUGAAUACAUGACUAGGGUUUUCAAUUUGUAGAGAUUUUCAUAAUUCUUGCUAGCACAAAAGAAGAAAAUUCUGGUGGCUACAAUCUGUUCUGUGCGGGGAAUUCUAUUGGAGGCUGGACAAUUGGAUAAGUAUGGGUGGCAGAUUAAGGCUGCUGAAACAAGGAAAAAGUAAAGGAGUUUGCAGAUCUCAAAAAGGUAUAACUUUUAUCACAAUUCUUAUCUAAAUAUAAAGAUGAUUCCUGAUAGGAAUUGAAAUUUGUUUUUAUUCCGCUGUAUAUGAUAAGUAAAUUCCCAACAAAAUUAGCGAUAUAGCUUAUGUUGUUUUGUCAUCGACUUACCUAAGCAGUUGACAUAGUAAUACAUCAAUAAUCUAUCUAGAAUAGUUCACCUUUCUCAACUGAUAUCGAGGCCACAUGAAGGACUAGCGUAGCAUAUCUCCAUGUUGAUCCUCGAGCAACUCCAAUAUAGUAAUAAAACUAUCAAAGCAACUGUCUCAAGUACAUUUACUUGCCAUUUGCCUCAACUCAGGAUCGAGAUGGUACUCCAUCCUAAAAAAAUUCAAAUGUUAGAACCUUCUACAAGAAAUAAUGGAAUAAAACAUAAUUUCAGAAAUUUAAGCAAACUGAAUUUUAACUACUGUAUGCAAGAAAUAGAUUCAUUUUACAUCGACGCUAAUAAAAAAGAAAUGAUUUAAUAAAUUAAAGGAAAAACAGAAAUAAGAAUUACAGAUAAAAAUAAAAAAAAUUUAAAUGAAUUAAAUAUACAAAAAAUUAUAAUUAAAGAAAUAAAUAAAAAAUAAAAAUAAAAACUAAAGAUCUAAUAUUAAAAAGCAUUUUGAAUGGGAAAAAAAUUAAAUUAUGACAAAUAGAAAACAAUUCAGAAUAUUUUUUAAAAAGAAGAAAAUAAUAAUAAAUAAAAUAAAAUAAAAUUUAAAGGCCAACAUAGAAAAGGAAAAAUAAAUUAAAGAAAAUUAUAAAAUAUAAAAAUUAAAGCAAGAUUAAAGCAAGAGUAUUAAAAAAAUCAAUAUGAAAAAAAAAUUAUAUAAAGAAGAAAAAAAUUAAGAAAUUUUAAAAUUAUUACAAAAAAUAAAAACAAAAAAAUUAAACGAAAGGAAAUUAUAAAAUUAAAUAGAGAAUAUAAACAUUAUUUAAUUAAAAUUGAAAAAUUAAACUUUAUCAUAAAGAAAAGAAUGAAAAAGUAUUUAAUUGAAAAAAUAAUAUUUAUAAUAUGAAGCAAACAACUAAGAAAUUUUAAAACUAUUAUAAAAAAUGUAAUAAUAAAACAAAAAAAAUAGACAAAAAGAAACUAUAAAAAUUAAAUAAAGAAUAUGAAUAUUAUUUAAAAUUGAAAAAAAUUAAAUUAUGAUAAAGAGAAAAAUUCUAAUAAACAGUAAAAAAUAAAGAAAAAAACGGUCCAAAAAAAUUGGCUUUGCCCAAUUGAAUAUUAAACAAUCGGGUUCGACGAUUGUUAACAGCCGCUUUCUCCAUUUUUAACUGAAAAUGAGGCGAUCCCUGCCCCAAAAAAUCACUUAAAUCUAGUCUACACUCAAAGCAUCUAUCUAAAUACUAAACAAUAAACUAAAUAGAUGUUAAAUUUAAUCUUUACUAUAUAUGAAAAAUCAAUUUCAUAAUCACAAAACUACCAUUGUUGAAGUUAACUUCGCUCAGUGACUGGAUUGUGUGGUAGUCGAGGUUGGGUUGAUUAUGAGGGUGGUGUGGUCGACUGGAUCCCAAUUGAGUUUUUUCUUUUCCCUCUCCACUGUUGUGUGGUAGUCUACAUCGUUAAUCUUUAUUUUUAUUUUCCAUAUUUUAAAAUCAAUUUAUUAUUUAUUUUUAUUUUACUUUGAUAGCAAGACAAAACAUUGUAAGAAUCACCAACUUUAAAAUGUAUAUGUUAGAUGAUAAUAAAAUGUCAUAAAUAACUUUUCAAAAUUCAAAUCAAAUGUGUUUUCUAGUUUUUUAUUUUGAAAAAUAAAUUUUUAAAAUGAUAAACCAAAUAUGUUUUUAAAAAAUUUUAAAAUAGACCCUCAAAACAGAAAACAGAAAACAGAAAAAUGAACUCAAAACUCAAAACCGAAUACAAACCACCCUCAUGGAUGCAAAUUAUUCCUACGUUUUUUUGCUAUUUCCCUUUUCUUCUUUGUUUGGCCAAGCUAAAAAUUAAAAAAAAAAUUAAAUAAAAAUAAACAGAUGGUAAAAGUUAUCUUAAGCAAUAAUAUUACAAAAGUUAUUUUAUCCUUGAGUAAAAAGAUCGAAAACCUAUCUUAGUUUAACCGUUCCAUCAAAAUCAUAAAAUCCACCACUUAUCGGCCUAUAUGCACGAUCAACUCGAUGCAGCUGGGAGGUUUACCCCCAUACAAUCCAUCAGACUGACUUUUUUUUCUUUCACUCCAUCAAUUCACGAAAUGCAUUGAAGAUGCUUAAGUCAGUUCCAGUUCCUGACCCAGAGCCACUAGGAUCUAUUGGUAAGUCUCAUCCCGUGCUUGGACUUGGGCAGCUGUGGGAGGAUAGCUAGAGAAGUGGGGGAUUUUUUCACUUCAAAAAGUGGUUUCAAUAAAAACAGGGAAUACCCCCUUACCCCGCUUGGCACAGACCUCGGGAAUCAUCCUUUCUCCUAACGUUAGAUAUCGUCUCAUAUGGCUGAUGAGAUCCAUUAAUUUAUUUUAACUUUAAAAUCAACUCAUUUAAUAGAGAGUAAGAAGAAGAAAGUAAACUAUAUAGAAGAUACGAUUAAAUUAUGAAGUGCGUAAGCAUCAAUAUUUUUGUUCAUUUCUAGAACUGAAAAAUAAAAUAAAAUAUGGGAAUUCAACUCCUAGGCAAUAAUUAAAGAGAGGUUGUAUUACCACCACAAUAAAUGUUUCGUACAGCACAUUUUUCUUAUUUAUUAAAUAAUCAUGAGUAAAAUAACAUAAAUAUCAUAUAUUAUUAGCUUAUAUAUUUAUUCAUUCCAUCACCAUCAUCCAUACACCUUGCAUUUUCGUUAUAAUAUACUAACGAUUAAUAGAUAUUAUUUUGCAUACAAUCUGACGUAGUGUAUAUAGAUUAACUGUAAAUCUCAUUAGAAAUCUACAAAUUGGCUAGCUAAAACUUUGGUCAAACUUAAUUCAUUUUACUACUAGUCAAUUGAUAUGGACAGUUUCCUCAGCAAAAUUAUUUGAAUAUGAGUUUGCGGUCAACUUGUUCAAUUCAAACUCAUUCAAUAAGUCGUUAAUUUAUCAAAAAAUUGAAAUCCGUAGUGAACACUGAAAUGACAAAGGAAAAAUUGAUGAAAAAGAAGCUGAACCUUUCCAGCUAAAAUUCUACUUUCCAAAGAGUUCAAGUUGAUUCAAUAACUCUUUAUAAAAUUGAGUAUUUUCUGCCAUAUAUAUGUUCCUCAACAUAUCAAAAUUCAAACUAUAUGAACAUAAAUUUAUUUAUGCAACUAAAUUAAUUAUUUUUAUGCCUAAUUAUAAUUCCACCUCAAGAUGGAUAUGAAGCUAACAAGGGCGCGGGUAUGCACGAAGAAUUCCUCCAUGCUCUUGCAUGAAAUUUAAGAAUUUCUCUGGCUCUCUCCUUUGUCUUUGAUCCUCGAUCAAAAACUUCCAGAACUUCCAGUACCAGGCACAAUUUUGCCACUGCUCCAAUCUGCAACAUUUCUUGUAAAACUCCAGGAGUUGCUGAGAACUUCGAUAUCGAAUGUAGAAUUCUUAUUCCGCUCUCAUUUGCUGUAGAUGAAACCCUAAGAAUCUUCUUCGAAACAAUGGCUAAUCCUGCACUGUGAUUCAACAGUUCCGCCCUUCCCUCAGCGCAUUUGCAUAGCAAAUUCAGCGCCAUAAGCAUCAAUUCGGAAGCCCUUUUGUCAGAAGAAUCGAGUAAAAGGUCAAUCAACAAGGGCACUGCUCCAGCUUCCACUGCUUUAAUCCUGUUUUUUUCCCAUGGACAUACCUUGAUAAGAACUUUCAGUGUGGCUUUUGAGACCUUCCGAGAGAUUUGAUCGUUCAAGAUAUCUACUAAUUCGUGGAAGAAUUCGGGUCUGAGACUGAUCGAUUGAUUUGGAUCAGCCACUUCGAACACGGAUUUCAGAAACAUGACAGCAUAGACACGAGAAUCAUAGCUCCCGGAUUGCAUGACGCUCGUUAAGGACUGGAUUAACUCGAUAUUAUUCUGCAAGAGGGAUUUUAGCCCGGAUCCCGAUAGAUGGAGAUUAUAGAGAAUGCUCAAGGCUUCAUCACUUGCUCUUCUCAACUCAAUCACAUCUUCUGAUACUUCUGCUGAAGAUGACUCUACGGUUUUCUUCACGAUUAACGAGGCUAAGAACUCAGCCGUGCCUGCUGUUUCCAUGCAUCUUUUAUUCGUUUCGUUGUGAGAAGCAAUGGAUCUGAGUCUCUGUAAGCACUUCAGUUGCUUGUUUGGAGAGUUGGCAUCAUUGAAAAGCUUCAAAAGUUGGGAUUUACUGAUUGGAGCUUUCGGGGUUGGGAGCCUGUCGAUGCCUUCUGGAGCAUGGAGGGUGCACCAGGAUUGGAUAAACCGCCGGAGAAUAAUGUUUGGGAUCAACUCUGAAUCCAUAACCACUUGCUUUGUUCCCGGGCAAGUAUUAUUAUUCUGAGAAAACAGCCAUUUUUCGAUGCUCUCCCGAUCAUAUGUUAUACCGGUAGAGAGCGUAACAGGAUCCUUCAUAAUCUCUAGACUGAUGGGGCAGAGAAAGUAGGAUGGAAUUUCAAUUUCAUCCAUAGAAGAAGAAGUAAUUACAAAGAUUUGAUAAACCUAAGAUCUGAUCCAAGAAAAAGGUGAUUAUACAAUUUUAAGCAAGAAAAUUAAACUGUAGAGAAGUACAAAAAUUUUGUAAGCUAUAGAUGAAAAUCGAAGAAAGUGAAGUUCUUGUGGAGUUGAGUGGAUUGGUUUAAGGAGGAUAUGGUUUUAUAUGUUUCUAUAAAGAGAGGUAAAGAUUCAAAAUGUCAAAGUCAAAACACGGAAAAUUUUGUGUGUUCAGUUUGUGUGAAGGAAAGAGUAUUAUUGUUUUUUUUUUUUAUUACAACAAAUAAAAUUUGGACUUGGACUUUUCUAACAUGCAAUUUGCAAAUGACAACUUAACAAAUAAUUUUCUUAUUUAAAAUUAAAACACGUGAUUAAGUCAUGUUUAAUUACCAUGAAGGAGUAAAACAGAAGAAUCUGAGUUUGGAGAAGUUCAAUUUUGGUUUAAUUAGUUCACGAAAGUAACUUCGACCCGUUAUUAUUAUAAUUAUUUUUAAUUAGUUCACGAAAGUAACUUUGACGUAGAUUUAUUUGGAAUGAAUUGAUCUUGUAGUAUUUUUAUCUUAACUAAAAGAAAAAUUGCUAAUCUAUGAGGUGAGUUGUCGAAAAUAAAGUAUAGAGAAAUAAAUUUAUUUCCUCUUUAAAAGUUUCAAGAUAAGAUAAUUCAAUGUCGAGUAUUGUGUUUGCAAGUCUUUUUACAAACAUAAUUUUAACAAGAAAUCAUAUAUUUAAGGGAAAAAUGUAUUAUUUCUUGUCUUUCAAAAAUAUGUAUGGUACUUCUAAUUUUAUGACUGAAACAUAUCUCAAAAUCUAUUUCCUUUUGAAAAUAUAAAAUAUAAGUAAAUAAAUCCAUUUCUCUCUUUAAUCAUCGAAAACUUUUAUACAAUGCGAAUUAUUACCAAAAAGAAAUAAAAAAUCCUCACAUUUUUGAAUUUUUCACUAUGUAGUUAUAUUCUGAGACUCCGAAUUAAAUAGAACAACACAAAUUCUUAGAUAUGGAUGGAUAAAGCAAACUGUCACACUAAAUUUAUUGUUAAUAAAUACGAUAACAAUAUUUCAUAAAAUAAUUUUUUCAACUCCAUUUUCGUACAAUAAUUCAAUACAAAACUAAAGUUGUUCUUAAUUUUUUUAGUUCGCACAUUCCAUCACCGACACCGACUGAUCAUAAAUGCAGGAUGGACCUACCAGGAGGUUUGCAACACAUGUAUGUGUAUUAAUCCAUAGCGGGCUGCCGAUAUUGACCAAAGCUGGUUGGCAGUGGCUCGGACUACACGGAGUUUUUAUUUAAUCUUGGCUCUAUUUGUUUCUCUUUGUUUAAGUCAACCCAAAAAAGUUAAAUUUUAUUGGAUUUUAAUUUCAUAAAAUAAUUUAUAGUCACAAAUAUUAUAUAUGUUUAUGGAACAAUAAAUUUCGAGACGAGUUUACUCCUACAAUGAUAGGAUGAACAAAGCUAUAGACGUAAAAGUCAAAGAUGAGGAAAAGAUUAUUGUCACAAUUAAUUAAUUAUUGAAAAUUCUGAGAAUAAGUAAUUACAGAAAUUUGAGAACGAAAGGUUGAGCUUUAAAGCAAAAUGGACCAAGUUUAAUAUUCGUUGACUAUUUUUAGUCAACCCCCCACAUUCCAAAUUGCGAGACUAUCAUCUUUUAUUGUUUAAAGAGAACUUUUUAAUUGCUUUAUGUGACCUUUGGGGCACUGACUUACCAUUUGAAUAGUUCUAAUUCCAAGGUUUGGAUUCAUACUGGGGGAAGCUCUUUUUGUUGUGAGAUAUUGUAAUACCCCAAACUUCACGUUAGAUAUUUGGCUAAUAUGAUUCAUGUAUUUCAUGCUAAUUACAUUGUUAUUUGCAUCAAUUUUCUAGUUGCUUUAUCUUAAAACGGUAUAUUCGAUGAUUAAGUCUUUAAAAUCUUUACAUGAUGAUAAUCUUCGACUCCUCGACCUAGGUGGUGAACUUUAUAUUGAGCUAUGAUAGAAAAUUAAGUUAACUAAAUGUUGGAGAUUGGCUUGGUAAGUAAUGAAAAAUCGAAAGGGUCGGAAAUUAGUAUCGACAAAGGUUCAAACUUUCCACUCGGCUGAUCGAGGUCACUUUAAACCAUAGAUAGGUAAUUGCCAUAUUUGGGACAUGAUGCAUGAAGUGACAUGAUCACGACGUAAUAAUAUAUGUCUCAUAUGACGUUAUAAAUUUUGAGGUGCGAAUUGUUGAAAUCGUUUGAUAAUCAUUGUAAAUCGGGUAAGAAAUUAAAUGAACAGUUGAGGAAUUAGCUCUAUAAUAUAUUUGGGAUCUUAGGACAAGUGAAAUGGAUUAUAAACAUGUCAAAAUAAGCCAAGGAUACUUGAUUUGUACCUGCAAAGAUAGAUAUAAAAUCUGAUUAUACUACAAGUGACCACCUCAUGCUUGAACACCUCGUGCUUACGAUGUUUAUCAUUUUAACACUCAAUUUCUUCAACCUUAAGAUAUCAAUCUCGUCUCUACUCCCUAAGAACUUAAUAUAGGAUGAAUAUAUAUCUUAAAGGUCACAAAUGGAUCCAAAUAUAAUGGUUGAAAGUCAAGUAUUUCUGCAAAGAUGACACAUCAUGCUUGGACAGCUCAUGUUUAAGGACACUUUUCCUUUGUUCACAUUUUUCUUCACCCUUAAGCAAUAUGCGCGACCUCAACCACUUAAAGAUCACUCAUUUACCUCACAGAUAAUAUAUUAACUCCCUUAGCUCGUGUCUAAGUGAUUCCAAGUGAAAAGAGGGUGAAAAAGUCAAAGAGAAAUAGAAACAAGAAGCUGGAAUUUCUGGACAACUUUGUUACUUCACGAUUUUGAGGUUUGUAUCCUUUGUUUCUUAAAGGAUUUAUAAUUUAUUGAACAUCUAAACUUGCUUGUGAUUAGCUUGCAGUGUUGUUAACGAUUUUAUGAUCCCAAAAUAGGGGUAAUUAAUUACAAGAAUUUAAAAGAAAGUAAUCUGGAUAGAGAUGAGGAUUUGCUAGAUUUGAAUGGUUUAAACUUUGAUUUUGGAUAAUACUUAAGAUAUAACUUGUAUCUAUGUAAAUGAAUGUUGUUGUAUGAGAGUUAGAAGAAUAGAAAUGGUCUUCUAAUAGCCUAGAAUCUGAUUGGUGACAUGCUAGUAAAAUGGAAACCGAAAAUAGUCAUAGGAAAACAAAGCUACCUGAUUUUUUGUAGUGGAAAAUGUACUGUUUUUGAAGCUCAAAACCCUUCAUUUGUUACAACCUUAUGAUCUAAUUAUCUUCAUAUAUAUGUUAUAGGUGGGUGGUAAGAAUUUGGGAGUCUUUGGAUAUAGUUAAGGAGGUGAAAAAGGAUUAGAAAAAUAAUUGGACGGUAAUGAAAAUCUGAAAACAGGUUCUGCCCAUUUGUGUUUUUAAUGUGAUUUCAACAUUUACACAUCCACUAAUUAUCUCUUGCCCUAGAAAAUAGAUUCUAAUGAGUACUAGGUUGUCGACAACAAUUGGAUGACAUUGACGUUCAUAACUGGACUUGAGAAAUAGUGAGACUUAUGGGAUUAGUUUGUAAUGCCAUCGGUAACUUGAAAUAAUGAUUUCAUCUAAAUUGUUUUGGCGUGAAUGGAUGCAUUUCGGGAUUGUGUGUGUUAAAGUUAUUAAAUGGAGGAUUGUCUUUAAUAUUAGAUGAUAAUACAGGUGAUUUUUCGACGUUGAGCGAAAAGGAAAUUGAUAUACACUCCGUAGGAGUUUGCACACACAAAGGCGGAAGGUAAGUAAAAAUUCAUUUCCAACUACGAUACAAGAACCUAGUAUUUGUAAUGUGGUAAUGUUAAAAUAUUUACAUAACUUUGAUAAGAAGCUUAUAGCACAUCAUAUGAUGAUUAUAAUCGUUGAGUAUGAGGUUGUGAAACUUAUUGACAUCGAUUUUUAUUAAAUAUAUCAUUCAUGAGCAUUUUCAUAUGCAUGCACGACAUGUGAUCAUGGUUGAAAUUCCUGCAUGUGAAAUAUGAUUUUAAAGUGAGUUUUCUUUAUAAAUGUUUUACUGACCACUAUUAGGGCACCGAUGCAUGUGAGACAUACUUAUGUAAUAUGUUUGACAUCGCGAGUGAUACUUCUUGAGUGAUUGCAAAGGUAGAUAGGGGAUGGACCUUUGGUGAUCAUGAGAGGGUGAACCACUCAAUUGUGCCCUUAUGAUAUUAUAAUUAUUAGUGCCGCCAGAUGGGAGACUUCUUGGGUGAUCAUAGGGAUAGUUAGGGAAUGGACCUCUAGUGAUCACGAGAGGAUGGUCUACUCGCAGGUGUCGAUUUCAUAUUGACCAUUUGAUUAUUGAUAUUGAUAUUAUGCAGAGCUCUAUCCGAUGUAUAGUAGGUGGGUCAAGGGCCCUAUGAAAUGAAAUAAUUUCGAGUCGACUUUGAUGAAUAUUUGAAUAUGAUGCUUCUUUAUCGUGAUGUUUAAAGUAAAUAGCAUAGUUGUAUAUAUCAUUAUUAUUCAUAUUCAUGACAUGCGUGAAUUUUACUUACUAAGCAUUGGCUUAUAUAGUUCUUGCAUUGUAGGUGAGUCUGGAACUAUAUAGAGAGCACGGCUAGUUGUGGAGCUCUUACGGGAUUUCAGAGUUCGAUGUACAUGGAUGAUGACCUGUAGGGUUAUUUUGUGGGCUGCUAUUUUGAGCUUAUGGCCUAUUGCGUUGUAUGUUGAGGAUCUUGUGUUGUAUAUUUUUUGACAUGGCAUGCAGACAUGUUUAUAACCUCAGAAUAUAUAUGUUUGAUUAUGACAAUAUGAUUUUAGUUUAGAGAUAUAGCUUAUGUUGUUUUGUCUGGUGAAAAAAUGUGUGAAAUUCUAUGUCUAGGUGACAUAGAUUAAAUUUGAAGCAUAUAACUACAGAAAAUGAUCAAAACUGAUAUUAGGAUAAUCUUUUAAAAUAUUGUAAUGGUUAAUGCAUUAGAUUAACUUAAUAUUCUAUCACAUAACAGUCAUCAUUUAAUUAUAAAUUAUGAGGGUAUGUAGUCAAUGUUUUAAUGAACUAACAUGCAGUAAUUUUAGCUAAAGAUUACUUGAAUUGUGAAAAGCAAAAUGUUUAUAUUUAAUAUCUUAUUUUAGUUUAUGAAUUAAUAAAAAAAAGAAAUUUACUGAUAAGUUUACAUUUAUUAAUAGUUAGAUUAGGUAUUAUUAUACAUCUAGUUCGCGUGGAGUCCACAUAUGAGAUAACUAGGAAUUAGACGCCAUGUUGGCUAUUGUCCUCUACAAUAUAUGUGGAGGCCUAUCUUAAUUCCUACUCGCAUGCUUGGUUGGUGUGAUUGUAUGAUUCUAAAUAUCCAUUCAAAAUCUUAGACGAUCAAAAGAAGAUCCAGAAGAAUAAUCAUCAAAUAGGUAAUUCUUUUUUAAAGAAACAAUAUCAUAAUUAUGAUAACCGCUCAACAAGUGACUAUACGACAUGUACUAUUGGCCUAAUUUAACCUAAAUUCAUCUAUAAAUACAUACGCUUGGUUCAAAGAAAAGAUACACAACAUUGGACUCUAGCCAAAGUUCUGUUCAUUUGUCUCUUUCACAUAAAUUUUAUUCUCUAAUAUUUUUUGACAAUAGACUUGAUCGUUUGAAUGUAAAUGUACAAGAUAUGAUUCAAAAAAGUGACGUUGAAUUUUAAAGUGCAAAGAAGGUAUAAGUUGGAAGCAACAACUACAAAUUGUCCUGAAAUAAAAGUUGAAUAGCGUUAACAUUUUUACUCAUAGAAGAUAGCGGAGUGCAUUUCUUAGUAAGCAUUUUUUUAUAAUUUUUUUUUUUUUAUAAAUAAUGUUAGUGGGAGAUCAUAAAUUUAUGGGGAAUACCAUGGUGAAUUUAUGAAUAUUAUUUCAAAAUAACUUUAAGGGGUACAAGGCACACCAGUUUACUACAUAAACCGAAUCAGGAUCCCAUUCUUCAUAUAUUUCAAUAUAAAUAGUGAGUUAACGUAUGUUGCACGUUAAUUGAUUAAUGUUUAAAAUAAACGUAUGUAAAUUUUAGAAAAAUUCUUUUAUAAAUUUGAAAGAUAUUCAUAAAUUCGUUGAAAUUGACUUAUUAUUCAUCAAUUUUCUCUGUAUAUUUUUUAUUUUUCAUAUCAACAUUUGAGAAUUUGCAUAUAUUUGUACCAGGCAUUUCCCUGUAGAAAAGUUUGUGGGAAAAUUUUUUCUGCGAAAUAUACUUCUCUAUAUAUAUAUUAGCUCAAACUAAAAUAUGAUUUAACACACUCAAACAUUGCCCCUAAUUCAUAUUAUGAGUAUAAUAAUUAAAUAUCACCAAGAUAUGCAACAUAACAAUAUCUACACUAUUGCAUUAAAAAUGAUUUUUCAUGUUGACAGGAAUUAUGUAGAAUCAUAAAUUAUGGCUUAAAAUGUUAAAUGCAAUUUCAGGUAUCAACCUUCUUCCAAAGACAUGAUUUUGUAAUAUUGCAAAAAUGUAAUUAGAACAUUAGAAAAUAAUGUAGACAUGGACAUAACUAUAAAGGGAGAAAACUUCUUCAAACUUUUCAAAGUUCAAUUAAAAAGAAUUUUAAAUCGAACAAAAAAUUAUUUAUAAUAUGAAGAAAAAAGAAAUUUAAAAUAUUUUUUUUCGAAAAAUAUAAUAAAAACAAAACAAACUAAGCAAAAGAAAAUUACAAAAAUUAAAUAAAGAAUAUAUAAAUAUUAUUUAAUUAAAAUUGAAAAAAUUAAGUUUUAUCAUGAAGAGAAAAUAAUUAAAAAAAUUUUAAAUCGAAUAAAAUUAUUUAUAACAUGAACAAAACAAAUUUAAAAUAAAAACAAAUGUGGAAAUAAGAAAGAAGAAAAAUAAAAUCUAGGAGAACCCAAACCUCCAUCCUGGAUGGAGGUCUAAACCUCUCCAUCCAGAUGAUGGAAGUUUUUUCCUAUCCUUAAAAAAUAAAAAAAUAAAAAAAAAUUCUUAAACUUGAUGAAGCAAGCAAAAAUAGAAAAAAAAAAGACUAUUAUAAAGUUUUUUAAUUAAAUUGAAAAAAUUAAAAAUUAAAAAUUAAAAUGAAUAUUAUUUUUUAAUUAAAAUUGAAAGAAUUACAUCUUAUAAUAAAACGAAAAUAAUUAAAAGAAUUUUAAAUUGAAAGAAAUAUUUAUAGUAUGAAGAAAAAAGAAAUUUUAAAACAAUUUCCAAAAAAUAUAUAAUAAAAACAAAAUAAAUUAAACAAAAGAAAGUUACGAAAAUUAAAUAGACAAUAUAUAAAAAUUAUUGAACUAAAAUUGAAAAAUUGAUUUUUAUCUUGGAGAGAAAAGAAUUAAAAAGAAUUUUAAAUCAAAAAAAUUAUUUAUAACUUGAACAAAAUAAAUUAAAAAAGAAAAACGAAAAAUAAAAUUCAGGAGAACCCCAAACCUCCAUUCAUGAUGGAGGUUUUUCUCAAAACCUCCAUCUUGGAUGGAGGUCUAAAUAGGAACAGAUGGACUAAUCCAAAUGCUAUCUUCUCCAAGACAUAAACAUUAUAUACUGUUUGUGAUAUUGAAAAAUUUAGACAUAUAUGGACACGAAAUUUUGAAGCAUCAAAUCAAAAAUAAAAUAAACUAUUUGAUUGAAAAGAAGUCUCCAAACUUCAAAACAUUAAUUAUAUGAUAAAAAACCUAAAUAAACAAAAGCUAGCAUCACGGAGCUCCUGCUCCUGCUGGAUGGAGCUUUGGUCAACUGCACUUAUUUUGAGUCACAUUCAUCAUUUUAAAAUCUAGACUUCUCUGCUAAUUCAAAUCAAACUAAAGUAUUAAAUUCUCCAAAAUUCUAUCAAUUCACAUAAAAAAAAAAGAAAAAGAAAAAGGAAAAGGAAAACCACAAAACGAAAAGAUAAAUAAAAAGAAACUUACAUUAAUCAGUAGUCUGCAACUCGAUUUCGAUUUGAUUUCAAGGAAGAAGAAGAAGGAAACUCAUGUAUAAAAAAGCUUGCAAUGUUAGUUUCAAUUAAAAAGAAAAAUGUAGUAGAUUAUACUUAAAAGAAACAAAAUAAAUUAAACAAAAGAAAGUUACGAAAAUUAAAUAGACAAUAUAUAAAAAUUAUUGAACUAAAAUUGAAAAAUUGAUUUUUAUCUUGGAGAGAAAAGAAUUAAAAAGAAUUUUAAAUCAAAAAAAUUAUUUAUAACUUGAACAAAAUAAAUUAAAAAAGAAAAACGAAAAAUAAAAUUCAGGAGAACCCCAAACCUCCAUUCAUGAUGGAGGUUUUUCUCAAAACCUCCAUCUUGGAUGGAGGUCUAAAUAGGAACAGAUGGACUAAUCCAAAUGCUAUCUUUUCCAAGACAUAAACAUUAUAUACUGUUUGUGAUAUUGAACAAUUUAGACAUUUAUGGACAUGAAAUUUUGAAGCAUCAAAUCAAAAAUAAAAUAAACUAUUUGAUUGAAAAGAAGUCUCCAAACUUCAAAACAUUAAUUAUAUGAUAAAAAACCUAAAUAAACAAAAGCUAGCAUCACGGAGCUCCUGCUCCUGCUGGAUGGAGCUUUGGUCAACUGCACUUAUUUUGAGUCACAUUCAUCAUUUUAAAAUCUAGACUUCUCUGCUAAUUCAAAUCAAACAAAAGUAUUAAAUUCUCCAAAAUUCCAUCAAUUCACAAAAAAAAAAAAAAAAACGGAAAACCACAAAACGAAAAGAUAAAUAAAAAGAAACUUACAUUAAUCAGUAGUCUGCAACUCGAUUUCGAUUUGAUUUCAAGGAAGAAGAAGAAGGAAACUCAUGUAUAAAAAAGCUUGCAAUGCUAGUUUCAAUUAAAAAGAAAAUGUAUUAGAUGUAUACAAUCUAUUUUAUUUUAGAUUAUACUUAAAAGAAUAGAACAAAAAUACCUAGAGUGCAAGUCGAUAUCCGAGCAAUUGAUGAACCCGCAAUAAUAGCAUGUGCAAUUGAGAAAUUAUAAUUUAGAAUUUUUUGAUUUCUGAAAAAAAAAAAAAAAAAGGAAAGAAGGUGAAGAAGAGCAGAGCAAUGGUCGAUUUUGUGAUAAAAUGGAGAAAUUAUACAUCUAGUUCGUCCAAUACAAUAAAAAAAUAAAUAAAAGUACAGACGAAAAUAAUUCAAAGAAUUUUAAAUUGAAGAAAAAAAAUAUUUAUAAUAUGAAGAAAAUUUUUUUAAAACAAUUUUAGUAAACUUAUAAUAAAAACAAAACAAAUUAAACAAAAAAAAAUUAAAUAAAGAAUAUAUAAAUAUUAUUUAAUUAAAAUUAAAAAAAUAAGUUUUAUCAUGAAGAGAAAGAAAUAAAAUGAAUUUUAAAUCGAGAAAAAUUAUUUAUAAUAUGAACAAAAUAAAUUAAAAAAGAAAAAAUAAAAGAGAAAAAAAAUAAAAACGAAAAAUAAAAUCCAAUAGAACCCUAAACCUCUAUCCAUGAUAAAGAUUUUUUUUCAAAACCUCCAUCUUGGAUGGAAGUCUAAAUUGGAACGGAUGAACUAAUCCAAAUGCCAUCUUCUCCAAGACAUAAAUUUUAUAUACUGUUUGUGCUAUUUAAUAAUUUAGACAUAUAUGGACAUGAAAAUUUGAAACAUCAAAUCAAAAUCAAAUAAACUCUUUGAUUGAGAAGAAAUCUCCAAACUUGAAAAUAUUGAUUAUCUUACAAAAAACCUAAAUAAACAAAAGCUAGCUGCACGGAGCUUCUACUCCUGCUGGAUGGAGCUUUGCUCAACUGUACUUAUUUUGAGUCAAAUUCAUCAUUUUAAAAUCUAUACUUUUCUGCCAAUUCAAAUCAACCUAAAGUAUUAAAUUCUCCAAAAUUCCACCAAUUCACAAAAAAAGAAAAUAAAAAAUAGAAAAAGAAAAUCACAAAACGAAUUUUUAAAUAAAAAGAAACUUACAUAAAUCAGCAGUCUGCAACUCGAUUUCAAUUUGAUUUUAAGGAAGAAGAAGAAGGAACCUCAUGUAUACAAAAGCUUGCAAUGCUAGUUUUAAUUAAAAAGAAAAAUGUAUUAUAUGUAUACAAUCUAUUUUAUUUUAGAUUAUACUUCAAAGAAUAGAACAAAAAUAUCUAGAAUGCAAAUCGAUAUCCGAGGAACUGAUGGACCCGUAAUAAUAGCACGUGCAAUUGAGCAAAUUAUAAUUCAAAUUUUUUUGAUUUUUGUAAAGAAGAUGAAGAAGACCUGAGCAAUGGAGAGAAAUGGUCGAUUGAGUGAAAAAAAAUAGAGAAAUGGUAUGGCUACAUCUAGUUUGCCCAACACAAUAAAAAAUAAAUAAAAGUAUAGGACGAUAUAUAUUGGAGAUACGUGUCCAGCCAAUGCUUUCGCUCUUUUAUAUAUGUAGGAUGUUGACAAAAUAACGGUAGUUAGGUCAUCUCCAACGCAAGACAUGAAGUUGGUACGACUUUCAUACAAUUUUGUAAAGUUACUUUCAAUCCAUUAUACCAAAUACUGCAUCAAAUGAAUAAUUUAUUUCCUUAUCUUUUAAUUAUCAAAAAUUAAUUUAUUUCAAGAAUUAUUUACUUAUAAAUUAUAUUCUACUGAAAUACCAGAUUAAAAGUUAAAUUUAAUUAACGAAAAUAUUAAAUUUAUUAAUAAAUAUAAAAGGCUUUACACUUAAUACGACAAUUGAAAAAUUAUGACACUUAACACACAAAAUAAAUUUUUUACAUAUAAUAAAAAAUUACAUUAUAAAUUUUAUUAAAAGUAAUGAUCAAAUUAAAAUAAAUAAAAUCAUCAAGGAUAAAAUUUGUUAGUACAAAAUGAAGAGGAAAAUGGGAAUUAUGAAAAACUCUAAAAGUCAUACUAAAUGAAUAGUGUUGCAGCUAAUUUAGUGCAACAUUGUUAAUUGUACCAACCUGAUGUAAAGAUUUAAGAAUAUUGCUAUUUAUACAUAAUGAUAUUAUAUAAUGAUUUACAUAUAGAUGAAGUGCCAAAAAGAGAUUGUGGAAGAUUUUUUUUUAUUUAUUUAAUUGAAAAAUUCUAAAUCAAUUAUAUCAACUACAUUAAACCAUCAUGUAAAUCAUUAUGUAUAUAUAACACAACUGUAAAUUUAAUAUUCGGUUUGAGUGAUAUUUGCACCAAUGCAAAGUGAUUUGAGAUAUAACUGUAGUAUUCUAGACAAGACAAGUGACUGGGCUUUGCUGCACCAAGUCUUUGAAAUUAUAGUAUAGAACAGAACUUAAACCCUUCAAAAAGAAUGAAAUAUCAUGUCUCAAUUUAUUGUUUACAGUUUAGUUUUGAAAUUUAUUUCAUUGUAUGUUAUGUAAUUGUGAUCUCGUAGACAUAUUUUAAAGAAGAAUUUAUAAUUUUAAGGGGAUUCAAAGUUCAAUUAUUUAAUGAAAAAAUAUUUCUAGUCUACGUUUGGGCUCUAUUUUUUCAAAUUAUAAUUAAGGAAUAGUAACUUUUUUAAGAAUGUGUGGUUAAAAAAAGGUCAAUUUUUAAGGUUUACAAGUAAUAUUAUUUUAUUGGAGAAUGUGUGGUUGAUAAGAAAAGAGAGAAAAAUAAAUUUUAAUUUAAUGGGGACCAAACAGAGGCUAAAAGUGUUCGUUACGAUCAAAAGUCUCAAUUUAGUUAUACUAUGAUGUUACAAAUCAGCUAAUACUUAUUCUUGAUUAUUUUUAAAAAACCAGAAGAUUUCUAUUUUAAAUUCAUGAAGUGUGAACAUGUACAGAUUGAAUCAUAUUCACACACCUAUUUUUAAAAAUAAAUAAAUAAAUAAAUAAAGUGCUUUUAAUGGUAUUUACUUUAUAUAUUUAUUAUGACGCAAUUUUUUCAGCUUAAUUAAUCCAUAAGGAUAAAUAGUGUUAGCUGUGUACAUGACAGCAUUAAUUAAAUUUAUCAAAAUGUCAUGACUUUUUGAGGAGAAGACGUGUUCGAGAUGAGCAUUCAGGCUCCAUUAUUAUUUAAAAAAUAAAAGUAAAAGAGAAGUAUAAUAUUAAAAAAAGAAUUUAAAAAGAUAAAGAAAAAACACAAUAAUCUUUCCAAGGUGGCUGCCCUCACACCACCACCACCAUCAUAAUCCCUCAUCAACCAUUAAUAUUGAUCGAUGAAAUUCACCAAGUACACGAUAUCAUAGAUAAAUAAUAUAAUAAUAAAUAAAAUAUCGUCCCGCAAACCUAUGUACUUAAUCUAGUUUUGAUUGAUAUGUGUUCAAUUUGAUUAAUAAGAAUUCUAAUUGAAUAGCCAAGUUUUGACGAUGAAUUUCUAUAAAUAGUUAACUAACUAAUCUAAUUGAUGAGCAAUUAUUAAAGCUUUUGUUAAACCGAUUUAAAUAUGAACAAAGAUUUCGAAUCCCCAUUUAUUAAUUUAUUUUAUUACAAAGCCCAUGACAAUAGUUAUUUAUUCUUGUUGAUUAAUGUUCCUAUUUUGUUUAUAAUCUCUUUCGAAUAUAAUCAAAUAUAUUCUCAAAUGUGACCUUCAUAUAUCUAUACGAAAGAUGCAAACAUGAAAGAAUAAAUUAAAAAUAUUCAAACAACUAUUGAAAUCAUGCAAGACAUAGUAUUAUAUUUCUAUAUUUUAUGUGACCUCACAAGAAUUGUUACUAUUUUGCUAUCUUUCCUAUUAUUUAUCUUGGAUAUAAUAAAAAUCACUCAUCAAUCCAAUUAGCGAUCAAUUAAUUGAAAGCAUCAUAUAUAACAAUUUUUCAAGGUAAAGAAAUACUUAACAUCAAAAUCUUGAAAUUAAAAAAAAAAACUUCAUAAUAAACGAUUUAUCUAUAUCUUAGCAACUAAAACUUUAGCCUAGCAUUACAAUGUUACAAGAAAUCAUAAAGGAAUAAUCAAACAUAAUCCAAAUUCAAAAUAUUUGAAGAAAGAAAAGAGAAGUCACGAAAUCUUGAAUUUCUUCAAUCUUCCUUGAUAUGUUACCUCUUGACUUACCACAAAAGAAUGAUAUUUUUUACCUCUCUUGAUUGCAAGAAUUUGUAUAGUGUAUGGUAUGAGAGAUGUCUUUAGUUAUUGGAUGAAGAUUUAUAUUUAAAAGCCAAAAUUAGGUCAAAAUCCGUGUUGAAAUUGGUUGAAUCAUCCAAGGAAAGUGUCUCGCCUGGCCAGACUACAGCCAUGCGAUUGCAAUAUAUAAAUAUGUGCAAUCGCAUCGUUAAGCACCUUUAUCAAAUAGAGCGUUGGGAUCACAUCACCUUGUUUCAUGCAAUCAUGCCCCUAUAAGUUUAUCAAAUUCUCAAUUUGAUCCCGAAUUCUUUAUUCAAUCUGAAUCCUUUUUUCAUGUAUGUUUAGUCCUUCAUCUUUUAAUUUUAUUCAAUUUGAUCUCUAUAAUCUGCAGACAUCAUUCUUUGGUUCGAAUUAACUUUUAUACAUUAGUUAUUUCCCAAACUUUGGAAUUCUUCCUUUUUCAUCCUUCUGUUUCGCGCGGGUUAAGUCGCUAACAAUUAAAAAGGAUCAGACGAUUGUGUAAGGGACGAAACCUCUUCAGACAAAGUCCCAAAAAGGGGUGUUCUUUUAUUGGCGAUGAACUUUACAAUUGGAAAUGGAAAACAACGUGCCUCCAAGGGGCGCAAGCACACGAGUUACUGAAAGAAAAUUGUUUAAGUCUAAAAAACUAAGGAAAUGAAAAUUACAUGUUCUCUGUUCGAGAGUUUUGGAUUCGGUCCUUUGCCUCUAUGUUCUUUCUCCCUUUUAUACUUCAUAGACGAUCUCUUUGUGAUUAACUGCUCUAAAAACUGCUUGAUCGUCCUAUAACUACCCACUUUCUUCGUAGUGGCCAUUUUAUUAUGAAAACUGCCUUUUAACUGCUGCCAUUACCUUUCAUCGUUCAACUGCUUUCGAUUGAAUUCCUUGAGUCGUGGAACGUGAUAGGGCUGCUUUAGCAACUGCCUUGAUAACUGCAUUUUUUGAUAACCACGACGCGUUAUGUCUGUUGAUACCUUGGGUGACUUGAAGGUUUGGGCGAGAAUAGAAUAACAGCUCUGGACGACCGUAUGACACUCUAUUCGUUCAGAUUCUGGGCGACUCUGGCGUUACAGCAUUCUUGGGCCCCCUUAUUUGGGCCUUCACCUUGAUUUGUUCGAUUGGACUUCGUUCUUUGAGCUAUCUGAUUUGGGGGUCCUCCAAUUGGGCUUUAAUCUUUGGGCCGUUCGAUUUGGGCUAAAUUUUUAUGUGUCAACAAUUACCCCCCUGUAUGGCAGAAUUAAUAAUAAUUAUUGAAUUUUGCAUAUUUACUUUGUGUUUCCAGCAACGUUCGAAAUUCCCAAGAAUUUCAAUCAUUGUUUCCUUCUAUAACUUGAAAAGGUGCGUCGUUUUGCAAACCCUUAUAAACCCCAAACACGCCAUUUCACUGCUACCAAAUCACGCCUCAUAUUUUUUGCAUCUCUUUCACGAUUCACUGUUCAUCUUUUGCUUCCUUAUUACGUAACCCUGAAAAGCUUCGUUUCUCUUCCAAUGGCUGCUUCACAAUCUCAAGCUAGCGACUCCUUUAGUUUUGAUGACUUUCAGAAACUUUUGAGUCGCCCAUACAUAACCCCAAGUUUUCUCGCGCCCGCCGACGUUGGACGUAAUGAGUUUUACUUGGGUCCUUUCUUCAACAAUGCGGAGGCAGUUGAACAGGCGACGGUGGGUCAGCUGUUUCCUUGCACUCAUGGCCCUCCUUUUCUAAACUCUCUGCUGCUGGGCCCACUUCGCGAAAGAGGUAUUCGCACUUGGCCUAAAUCUGAUGUAACUUUUCGUAGGUGGCAUGCUCGUCUUGUGGGUCAUGGUCCUACCAAGGCACUUUUUGAUAGCACUAGGAUUUCUAACUUGUUAGAAGUCUCUAUUCGCCCCCCUGCUUUUGAUUCAGCGCUCUUUUCGAUUGCUUUGAGUUUUUGGUCCCCUGAGUAUAACACCUUUAUUUUUCCUCUUGGCCCCAUGUUUAUUACGUUAAGGGAUGUUGGGGCCCUUGUGAAUCUACCACCUUUGGGCGAUACCAUUUUCCCAGGUAUCUUAGUUUCUGGUGGCGCCCCAAAGUUUGGUAAAAACUAUACCGACUCUUAUUCAAGUCUGCAGACCCUCCACAAUCAUUCGAGUGCUGAGCCUACCUAUACUGAGCGAGUGGCCUUCCUUUUAGUUUGGCUUUGUAAAUAUGUUUUGUGCGUGCCAAGUAUAAAGCCUUCUCUGAGUUAUUUACCCAUAGCGCACGAAUUGGCGCGUGGCAGGUCUUUGAAUUUAUGUUCUUUGUUUUUGGCUACCCUUUAUAAAGGCAUGGCCUCUCUUCAAGCUCAAUUGAAGAAUGGUGCAUCUCCCACAGGCAGUGGAGCUCUUUGGUUUACUCAACUGUGGUUGAGAUCCUAUUUUCCAUCGUUUGGUGCUCCAUCCAUUUCUUGUCCUUCUGCUAGCUGUUACGGGCUAGCUAUGGAGCCCCUAACUCCUGUAAAUAUGUCCAGAAGGGACAUUUUUUCUUUCUUCUAUUCUUUAGAUUCAAUCUCUUCCUUUUUUCCUUUCCCUCCUUUCUUGACUCCAAACUAUGUACAUCCCCCUUCCACUAUAGAUAGCGCGAGCACCUCCCUGCUCAUUUGGAUCCAGUUUUUAACCGGGAGGGAGCUUUUCCAUGAUAUCUUAACUGGGACCAAUGCCAAAGCGGGGGUAGAAAUUUAUGCUCCCCAAUUUUUUGCUCGUCAGCUUGGUUUUGGCCAAACUUGGCCUGUUAUUCUUUACUAUUCGAAGAACUUAAUUGACCGUUUUCAUACCAUUAAUAAGGCGGAAGCAGAGGCUAUAAACGCUCGCAACCUCCAUUUAUCAAGCCACUUUUCAUUAGCCCCUUUUAAUUCUUGUCAUGCCACUCACCCUCUUUUUGAACAACUCUGGCCAUCGGUGAAGCGCAAAUUAUUUGCGACUGAGGCCAAUCGUGCCUUUCAUUCAUUAGACCAACCGAGUAUUUCUUCUCCUCCUCCUGUUUUGGUCACUCCUUUGUCUAUUCGGAGCCCCUCUCCUUCUCGUCACACUAAACAAUCUGUUCGUCCAUCUUCUUCUCUCCCUGCCAGGCCUACUACGGCCAAGAGUGCUCCAAGCCGCAAACGGCCGGCCUCAGCAUCUCUCAUUCUGGAGGAUGAUGUUGAUGAUGAUGAUGAUGAUGAUGAUGAUGAUGCCCCUCUUAUCGUCAGGAGGAAGGUAAUUAAAUUGGUCUAUUUACGAGUAUGCUUUUCCACAUUUGAAACUUUUCUGUGUAUUGAUGAUCUUUUGGACUUUUCAGAAAAGCUCAGCCUCUCCUUCAAAGGCUUUGGCAUCGACAACUCCUGCUCCAUAAUCCUCUGCUGAGGCUACUUCAUCCAAACCGGUUGAUGAGGGGACCAUGCUUAAAGAUGCAUCUUCAAUCCCAGAGUCUUCAUCACAACCCAUGGAUGAGCCACCUUCUUCCUAGGGCGUCGACCCCCCAAACAUCGAAGCAGAAGGUAAUUCAGUUUUUUGAUGUCUUACCUUUGCUCGUGCUAUUGGUUUCUGAUUUGUUGCUCUUGAGCUUUGCAGAUACUCCUAUGAGUCCCCCCGUUGUGGCAACAUCUUCUUGCUCGGACAAGGGGAAGUCCUCACAAAUGGAUGAGCCGUUGGUGGCAAGCUUGGCUGAGGGCGGUGCCAUCUUCUACGAUUGUCGACGAGGUAGUUUUUCUUUUUGCUUCAUUUCUAUUUCCACCUUGUUCGUUGUAUUGAGGAUUUUUAAUAUUGGCAGUCUUCUUUGCAGGAUGCUGACAGGAUUGUACGUUCUAUCCAAGACUUGUUCGCUUCCUGGCGGCAAAUUCAGACGUUUCGCCCUGCUCCAUUCGAUCGUCCUGCUGCUUCUUCAGAGGAAGACUUGAAGUUCCUGAAGGAAUUGAUACUCGAGUACGUAUCCUUCAUGGAUAUGGAUAUUGGAAGGGCUAGUGCUGCCAGGCACAAGGAUGAACUUGAGCACUUAAGUGCGAAGUUGGAGCAAGCAUUGAUGCUUUCGUCGCUCAAUCUUUCUGCCGAUUUUAAAGCGACGUUGAAGGUUAUCCACUCUGAGGUCCUUUAUAUGCUGGCCAAGAAUACUGAACUAAAGGCCAAGCGUACUCAAUAUCUUCGAGCCGUAGCUGAGAAAGAGUCUUUGCGUAUGGAGAUUAACAAGGCUGAGGACGAGUUGAAAGAAAUCUCCUCUGAAGUCAUGAUUGAAGACUCUUUGAUGGUUAACUUGGCUGCUCAGAUGAGAGAACUUCAAGCUAAAAUGGACGACUGUAGGGCGAGGAUGGUUGCCAAAAAGUGCAACGCCUCCCAAGGAAUUGAGCGAACUAAGUCCUUGGUCGAGCAGUACAAGAAGUUGGAAGUUGAUGAUGAUGACGUCGCGACUGAAUUGAACAUCACUUCCUCUCGACAGAACGAGGAUUGGGAAAAACUUAGGGAACGAAUUCGUUCUUUAUGGGGUAGACUGUAAUUAAGACACACGAUGUCUUUUUUCUUUUGUAAUUCGAUUUUUUCCUUUGUAACUUUAUUCAUCAUUAAUGAACAUUAAUUUCUUGUGCAUUUAUUUGACGUUUAUUUUUUUAGUCAUCAAUUCUUUAAGUACUUAACUGCUUUGCACUAAAAAUCUUGUCCAUUCCCUUUUGAUAUUCCCACUACUGUUCCCAAAACUUAGGGCUAUUCAAUUCCGUUUAUUAGACAAAAAUGUGGCUGUUCAUAUUCUGUCUCUUCAUCUUCACCCCCCUAUAAAUGCUUUGCAUUUUUCAUCCUCUAUCUUCAUCUCUUCAUUUUCUUCUUCGAAAUCAAUUUGCUGCCAUUUCUUGGCAUUCUGACGAUCAACCUGAUUCAAAAAUAGAUUGUUUAAUCCGUCCGCCUUAUAUUUACUUUGAUGUCACCUUUGGUAUGGGAGGUAUAGGAAAUAUUUUCUGGCCAGCAGCGAAGUUCUUUCCUGCAAAAUUCUUCCCAUCGUCUCUUUGUUCUUCACAAGGAGGCAAUGAUGGGAGGCAAUUUUUGGGCUGCUUGUGGGCCACUUUGCUUGCUGAGAGUACUUCUCAGCUUGCCUGCUGAGAGUGUUUCUCAGCCUCUUUGCUCGCCAUCGCAGCGAUGCAUUUAGGAAGGUGGUGAGGCCAUUAGACCCUCUCACUCGGCAAUCCCACCAUUGCAGCGAUGUAUUUAGGAAGGCGGUGGGGUCAGUACACCCUCUUACUCGUCAAUCCCACCUUUGCAGCGAUGCAUUUAGGAAGGCGGUGUGAAGCUUACUCAGCGAUCAAUCGGGAGAUCAUCUUACUUUAGUUGUAUUUUGUAUCACGUCCAUUCAUUUGUAUCUUUUGUAUUCUUGUAAUGAACGUUUGAUAAUAAAGAACUUUAUUCGAACGUAUUCCGCUCUGUCUUUAUUAUCUUUUGAUCGUCCAGAAUGUUUGGUUAUGUUUUUAUCUGUUCACAUUCCCAUAAAGAAGGAACAUAUUUUUUCAAAUAUUUGCCGUUAAUGAAUCUUACGUGCUUGGUGCCAUCUAAAUCUUCCAAGUGUAACGCUCCAUUAGGCAACACACUGUUUAUUUUGUAUGGUCCUUCCCAAUUGAACGACCACUUUCCGUACUUUGGAUCCUUGGUAUCCAAAGGGAGUAUCGUCUUCCAAACUAGUUCGCCCAAGCUGAACGACUUGGCUAUGACUUUUUUAUUAUAAAACUUAGCCAUUCUUUGCUUUUGAACUUGCAACCUAUCUAAGACGUCCAACUUCAAUUCGUCUAAACUCAACAAAUUUUGAACUAGUGAUUCGACAUAUUCAUCAUCAUUCAACUUAUGUUGCAAGCACACUCGAAUAGAUUGCACGUUGAUUUCCAUAGGCAAAACGGCCUCCUGUCCAUAAACAAGUUGGAAAGGAGUAACUUUGGUACUUGACCGAGGUGAUGUUCUAUAAGCCCAUAAGGCCUUGUUCAAACAUUCGUACCAAUUUCUGGCGUUUUCAUCUAUCAUCUUUCUGAUGAUAUUUUUUAGAAUCUUAUCAGAAGAUUUCGCUUGUCUGUUGGAUUGAGCGUAGUACGGUGUGGAGUUUACUAAUUUAACCCCAAACUCGCUCAAAAAUUUGUUCACUUGAUCCCCAUUCAAAGAUGUUCCGUGAUCUACCAUUAAAGUUUGUGGAAUUCCAAACCUAUAAAUAAUGUGAUCACGGAUAAAUUCUAUAACAUUCUUCUAGAUGAUCUUUUUCAAAGGUACCGCCUCUACCCAUUUGGUGAAAUAGUCGGUUGCAACUAUAACAAAAGUAUGUUGCUUGGACGAUGGAGGGUAGAUCUUUCCUAUCAGAUCUAUCACCCAACCUUUGAACGGCCAAUGUUUAAUAAUAGGUGCCAUUUCUCGUGCUGGCGCCCUUUGUAUUGGACCAUGUUUUUGGCAUGCUAAACAACUUUUUGCAUACUGAACGCAUAGUUCUCCCAUCUUUGGCCAAAAAUAUCCAUUCCUAAUAAUUAACCAUCUUAUCCUAUGGCCAGCUUGAUGAGCUCCACAUAUCCCUUCGUGCACUUCAGCCAUGAUCGUUUUGGCUUCUUGCAAACUUAUACACUUUAGUAAUACACCAUCAGAGCGUUUCUUAAACAACUCUUCAUCUAUUAGUGUGUAAUUCAGCAAACAUAGCUUUGUUUUCCUGCUAACUCCUCCAUUAGGUUCUUUAAGGAACCCUUUAAUCUCUGUUCUCCAAUCCACUGCGUCUCCAUCUUGUAUACAGUGAAGUUCAAUUUUUCUCGCCCUUCUUUGAAUCACGGGCAAUAUGAUUCCAUAAUCACAAGUAGACUUCCAAUUCAAAACCUUUGAGUACCCUGAUGCCAUUUGGGCUAACUCAUUUGCCAUGUCGUUAUAUAUCCUAUUAACGCAUUGGAGUUCUACUUGAUCGAAUUCUUCUAGUAAUUCUUGGGCGAUCUCGUAUUGACUUAUAAUGGAAUCACUUUGGUAUUUAAAAUCACCGAUCAAUUGAUGGAUCACCAAUUGAGAAUCGCCUCUAACGAUCACAUUUCUUAUUCCCAUAUCUAUCAUUAGUUCUAGGCCUACAAUUAAGGCUUCAUAUUCGGCCUGAUUGUUGGUGCACAUUUUGUCUAAGGUGAAUGCCAACUUGUAGCAAAUCCCUAAAGGAUUAAUCAACGCUACUCCUACUCCUACACCUUUAGAGGUCUUUGACCCAUCGAAAUACAACACCGAAGGUUUUAAUUCGAACGAAUUGAUUUCUAGUUCGAUUUCUUCAGGCAUGUCAAGGCAUGGAUGAUCGGCUAGAAAGUUAGCCAAAGCCUGAUUUUUGACUGCCUUUUGAGGUAUAUAUUGUAUUUUGAAUUCUGAUAAAGCUAGUGUCCAAAGGCCUACCCUUUGAUAUAAAAUAGGGCGCGAAAACAUAUACUUAACUAAAUUUACCUUAGAAAUUAAAUAAACGGUUACGGGCCGUAAGUAAGCCCUUAGCUUUGUACAUGUGAAAUACAACGCAAGACAUAAUUUUUCAACAGCAGAGUAAUUGCAUUCACAUUUAGUUAACCAUCUACUUAAAUAGUAAAUUGCCCUUUCUUCACCAACUUGGUCUUCCUGCGCGACCAUUCCAGCUAUUGAUUCUUUUUCAGCCGACACGUACACUUUCAUCGGCCGUCCUUGGAUUGGUGACACCAACACUGGUGGACUUGAUAGAUAUAUCUUCAGGCUUUCAAAAGCGUUUUGAUGUUUUUAUUUCCAGACGAAUUCAUCCUGAUUUUUCAGCUUUAAUAGCGGCGAAAAGAUUUUAGUUCGCCCUGCACAGUUAGAAAUAAAGCGUCUUAGAAAAUUUACNNNNNNNNNNNNNNNNNNNNNNNNNNNNNNNNNNNNNNNNNNNNNNNNNNNNNNNNNNNNNNNNNNNNNNNNNNNNNNNNNNNNNNNNNNNNNNNNNNNNNNNNNNNNNNNNNNNNNNNNNNNNNNNNNNNNNNNNNNNNNNNNNNNNNNNNNNNNNNNNNNNNNNNNNNNNNNNNNNNNNNNNNNNNNNNNNNNNNNNNNNNNNNNNNNNNNNNNNNNNNNNNNNNNNNNNNNNNNNNNNNNNNNNNNNNNNNNNNNNNNNNNNNNNNNNNNNNNNNNNNNNNNNNNNNNNNNNNNNNNNNNNNNNNNNNNNNNNNNNNNNNNNNNNNNNNNNNNNNNNNNNNNNNNNNNNNNNNNNNNNNNNNNNNNNNNNNNNNNNNNNNNNNNNNNNNNNNNNNNNNNNNNNNNNNNNNNNNNNNNNNNNNNNNNNNNNNNNNNNNNNNNNNNNNNNNNNNNNNNNNNNNNNNNNNNNNNNNNNNNNNNNNNNNNNNNNNNNNNNNNNNNNNNNNNNNNNNNNNNNNNNNNNNNNNNNNNNNNNNNNNNNNNNNNNNNNNNNNNNNNNNNNNNNNNNNNNNNNNNNNNNNNNNNNNNNNNNNNNNNNNNNNNNNNNNNNNNNNNNNNNNNNNNNNNNNNNNNNNNNNNNNNNNNNNNNNNNNNNNNNNNNNNNNNNNNNNNNNNNNNNNNNNNNNNNNNNNNNNNNNNNNNNNNNNNNNNNNNNNNNNNNNNNNNNNNNNNNNNNNNNNNNNNNNNNNNNNNNNNNNNNNNNNNNNNNNNNNNNNNNNNNNNNNNNNNNNNNNNNNNNNNNNNNNNNNNNNNNNNNNNNNNNNNNNNNNNNNNNNNNNNNNNNNNNNNNNNNNNNNNNNNNNNNNNNNNNNNNNNNNNNNNNNNNNNNNNNNNNNNNNNNNNNNNNNNNNNNNNNNNNNNNNNNNNNNNNNNNNNNNNNNNNNNNNNNNNNNNNNNNNNNNNNNNNNNNNNNNNNNNNNNNNNNNNNNNNNNNNNNNNNNNNNNNNNNNNNNNNNNNNNNNNNNNNNNNNNNNNNNNNNNNNNNNNNNNNNNNNNNNNNNNNNNNNNNNNNNNNNNNNNNNNNNNNNNNNNNNNNNNNNNNNNNNNNNNNNNNNNNNNNNNNNNNNNNNNNNNNNNNNNNNNNNNNNNNNNNNNNNNNNNNNNNNNNNNNNNNNNNNNNNNNNNNNNNNNNNNNNNNNNNNNNNNNNNNNNNNNNNNNNNNNNNNNNNNNNNNNNNNNNNNNNNNNNNNNNNNNNNNNNNNNNNNNNNNNNNNNNNNNNNNNNNNNNNNNNNNNNNNNNNNNNNNNNNNNNNNNNNNNNNNNNNNNNNNNNNNNNNNNNNNNNNNNNNNNNNNNNNNNNNNNNNNNNNNNNNNNNNNNNNNNNNNNNNNNNNNNNNNNNNNNNNNNNNNNNNNNNNNNNNNNNNNNNNNNNNNNNNNNNNNNNNNNNNNNNNNNNNNNNNNNNNNNNNNNNNNNNNNNNNNNNNNNNNNNNNNNNNNNNNNNNNNNNNNNNNNNNNNNNNNNNNNNNNNNNNNNNNNNNNNNNNNNNNNNNNNNNNNNNNNNNNNNNNNNNNNNNNNNNNNNNNNNNNNNNNNNNNNNNNNNNNNNNNNNNNNNNNNNNNNNNNNNNNNNNNNNNNNNNNNNNNNNNNNNNNNNNNNNNNNNNNNNNNNNNNNNNNNNNNNNNNNNNNNNNNNNNNNNNNNNNNNNNNNNNNNNNNNNNNNNNNNNNNNNNNNNNNNNNNNNNNNNNNNNNNNNNNNNNNNNNNNNNNNNNNNNNNNNNNNNNNNNNNNNNNNNNNNNNNNNNNNNNNNNNNNNNNNNNNNNNNNNNNNNNNNNNNNNNNNNNNNNNNNNNNNNNNNNNNNNNNNNNNNNNNNNNNNNNNNNNNNNNNNNNNNNNNNNNNNNNNNNNNNNNNNNNNNNNNNNNNNNNNNNNNNNNNNNNNNNNNNNNNNNNNNNNNNNNNNNNNNNNNNNNNNNNNNNNNNNNNNNNNNNNNNNNNNNNNNNNNNNNNNNNNNNNNNNNNNNNNNNNNNNNNNNNNNNNNNNNNNNNNNNNNNNNNNNNNNNNNNNNNNNNNNNNNNNNNNNNNNNNNNNNNNNNNNNNNNNNNNNNNNNNNNNNNNNNNNNNNNNNNNNNNNNNNNNNNNNNNNNNNNNNNNNNNNNNNNNNNNNNNNNNNNNNNNNNNNNNNNNNNNNNNNNNNNNNNNNNNNNNNNNNNNNNNNNNNNNNNNNNNNNNNNNNNNNNNNNNNNNNNNNNNNNNNNNNNNNNNNNNNNNNNNNNNNNNNNNNNNNNNNNNNNNNNNNNNNNNNNNNNNNNNNNNNNNNNNNNNNNNNNNNNNNNNNNNNNNNNNNNNNNNNNNNNNNNNNNNNNNNNNNNNNNNNNNNNNNNNNNNNNNNNNNNNNNNNNNNNNNNNNNNNNNNNNNNNNNNNNNNNNNNNNNNNNNNNNNNNNNNNNNNNNNNNNNNNNNNNNNNNNNNNNNNNNNNNNNNNNNNNNNNNNNNNNNNNNNNNNNNNNNNNNNNNNNNNNNNNNNNNNNNNNNNNNNNNNNNNNNNNNNNNNNNNNNNNNNNNNNNNNNNNNNNNNNNNNNNNNNNNNNNNNNNNNNNNNNNNNNNNNNNNNNNNNNNNNNNNNNNNNNNNNNNNNNNNNNNNNNNNNNNNNNNNNNNNNNNNNNNNNNNNNNNNNNNNNNNNNNNNNNNNNNNNNNNNNNNNNNNNNNNNNNNNNNNNNNNNNNNNNNNNNNNNNNNNNNNNNNNNNNNNNNNNNNNNNNNNNNNNNNNNNNNNNNNNNNNNNNNNNNNNNNNNNNNNNNNNNNNNNNNNNNNNNNNNNNNNNNNNNNNNNNNNNNNNNNNNNNNNNNNNNNNNNNNNNNNNNNNNNNNNNNNNNNNNNNNNNNNNNNNNNNNNNNNNNNNNNNNNNNNNNNNNNNNNNNNNNNNNNNNNNNNNNNNNNNNNNNNNNNNNNNNNNNNNNNNNNNNNNNNNNNNNNNNNNNNNNNNNNNNNNNNNNNNNNNNNNNNNNNNNNNNNNNNNNNNNNNNNNNNUAACAGCUUUCAAACCGGAACAAAUCUCUACACUAAUAUGAAAAUUAUAUUGUAGAAGCAAAUAUGGAUUGUAAGGAACAACCUAUUAGUUAUCAAAUGUUGCAUUUCAGACUUUCACCUAUGAAUUAGGAAUUGAAGAAAUUUGACUAAUUGUUACGUACUAAUAUCGUAAAUUAAGAAAACUAAUGUUAAUAAGAAUAAUAAUGGUAUUUACCUUAUAUCCAUAAUUUCUUCUUCUAUAUAUUGGAUAUACAUCAUUUCCUUGCACUGUCUUCGAGGAAAAUGGUCUUGGAUAAUGGAAUCAACAUGUCCUGCUUACUAUACAUGGAAAUUUGUUGUUAUAUUCUCCAUAGGGUUCAUGUAGCAUGUGUUUGACAACUACUUUGUAAAGAGUAAAUUUUGUUUCUUUGUCUGGGAUUUUUGCCUACAUAUAUUUGUCAUAUUGGUCAGCAUUUGUGAUUUUGUAACCACUUUUCAAUAUAAUUAAUAUGUGAGCACGUGGAAGUCCUCUUUUUUGAAAUUCAAUCACAUAAAGAUAAGCCGCAACUUUGUUAAGAAUCUCUUUUUUCAAUAUUUGAUCUUUUAGGUCCAUUAGCUUUCCUCUAAAGACCUUUGUAGUGAGAUUGGGUCUAUCUUGAGGACGUUGACCUUCUUCGAGUUUGUCUUAAUGUCUUGGUGUCAACCCGCCUCCCCAUUUGGAAAUAGUAGAGGAUAUUGAAGUGAAUCGUAACAACUGAAGUAGUGUCGAAUAAUAUGUCGAUUUCUAGAAUGUGCAUGAACAAUAAUAUUCCUUUCGAAAGGUAUGAGAUCAUCAUUUCUUUCUAUCCAUAGGGCAGCCACUUGAUUGAUGGUCGGUGUAUUGUGUACACGUUGAUCGAUAUUAACAUUGCUUGCAAUAUGUAUCUGUAUAUUGUCAAUGCAUGAUUGGUCCUUUAUGGUAUGAAAAAAUUGAGCAUAAGGAUAGUGUUGUAGAAGUUGCAUCAAUUGUUGAACAAUGGUUUUUAUCAAGAUCGGCAUCUCUUAGUAUGUGAAUCAUGUUUUCCAAUUCGUGAUCAACAUUGUAAAAAUACAAUUGAAAAAAUAUAGGUCGUUUUUCUGGUAAAAAAGCUGGAAGAUCAUGGUAUAUUUGCCCGUGAGCUCUAAAUGUGUGAACUCCCUUGUUUGAUGUAGUGAGAUCUUUAUCAAAAUUUACAUCGAACGAAAUGAAGGAAAAUAUGCUGUUAUAACCUCUCAAAUUUUUUUGACAUAAAAUCCCUUCACUGGAUUGUGAAUUAAACAAAUGAUACAAUUCAUUUGGCACUUUGUUUUCAGCAAGUCGGAUCUAAUAAAUGUUGAAUGAAAAAUUUUUAACUGAUAAAUUAUACAAAUGUUUGAUAAUAGAAGGUAGAAAAUAUUUGACCUAACCAUUUUGACAACAAAAUGUUGGAGUUUCAUACUCAUUUUGUUGUGCCCCAAAAAGUGCAUGAACGUAUUUUCUUAAGCUCGUGUAUUGGAGAACACCUGUACAAUAUUAAAUGAACUUUGACAACUAAUAUUGGUAAAAAAAUAAUGUAGAGUCAAUCCAACGAUCCAAGAGUAAGACCUUGAAUUUGAUUCCGAUUUUGUUCUUGUUUGGUUUCAAUGGAAGAUGAGAUACAACACUUGUUGUCUGUGUCCUCUGUGUAUCUCUUCUUUCUGGAUUCAAUUGUAAGCUAAAUCUUUCUGAUCCUUUGUACUUUUGAGAGCCUUAAAUAUUUUGUUCUUUUACGUUGGUUAUCAUGUCUAAGGAAUUAUUUCCUGAGACUCAACAACACGAAAAUAAAUGAAUUUAAAGAGUUAUUGAUUAGAGUGUCUUAUAAAGUUAGAUUACAUUUUAUAUGCAUUUAAAUAAUGGAAAGAAUUGAAAUUAUUUAAUUAUAAAUUACUUGAACUUCUAGAAAAAUGAUUACAUAUUAGUAUAUAUGUAGAACCUGAUGAAUUUUUUAAAAUCAAUAUUUAAGUUGUUAAAAUCUCUACGAUUUUAGUGUUUGAAUAUGAAGUGUUUUAGUGUAAAUGUUAGUAAUAUUUGUGAAUGAAUAUACAGUAUAAUCAGAUGUAUAAAAGAACUUCGAGUGGUAAAUAAAAACAUUAAUAAUUAAUAAGUUGAAUAAAAAUAGAAAUGAAGAGGAAAAAUAUUUGUUACCAAACUAUCAGAAUAAUUUUAUUAUUACUAUUACUAUAUAAAUGAUAAACUAAGCAAGCAUAAGCACUAGCAAACCAUUUUUCCUUUUUACAAUUACCAAAAAAAUCGAAAAAGAAAAACCGAAGCCUGAUGAAUAUCUUUCUUCCUUUUUUUUUUUCCCUCCCUAUUUUUGUGCUGGAAAAGAAUACUAAACAAAAAUAGAGAACAAAUUUAAAAAUCGAAAAAUAGUCAACUAAUAGUUUAAAGUGAAAUUAAUCAAAUAAAAGAGAGCCUACUUGGACUUAGAGCGCAGAGAUUGAAGCCAUGAAAAACUUGGUAGAUCUAGGGUUGGCCAUUUGUGGAAGAGCAAAAGUAAAAAAAGUGAAUAUUUUCGGGCUUCAGAAUUUAACGAAUCACAAUUUUUGGGUUUAAUUUGUUUACAAGUUUUGUUUACUCCACAAUACCACCUGCAUAAUAUGUGUUCGUCUGUGUGGGAGAGAGAGACGGUGUGACGAGAAAUUAUAUGACAAACUGCAGACCAGAAGCUAAAUGGAAAUGAAUGUUAAUUGGGAUACACGUAAAUACUAAUUAUAAUUAUUUUAGUAUUAAUGACAAUGAAUACAUAAAUGAAGAUGAAUGUAAAUUCAUUUAUACUUAAUGAAUAAAAUUAAUGUCCAAUGAAGUGAUUCAAAAUUCUUGAAUGGAUCGUAAUUAAAGGGUGUGUAUGUGAACCAAUAUAUGGGUACAUGAACUGAAGUUUUUAUUUCUUCUAAUGUUUGUGGAUUUGCGUGAGAUAUUUGGUUAUGAAAAUGAAAAAUUAAUGCUGCUGUAUAUCAGAUUUGAAAUUGCACAUAUAUUCAAUGUAGGUAAAUGUAUUCAAUAUAUAAUUAUGACUAUGUGUGCAUGCAUGCAUUUACGUUAAUGUUUCAGUAUAUUUUCUGGAUAAGAAUUGGAUAAAUAAUUUAUUAUAGCUCUAAAAUAUAUAAAGUGUAUAUGAACUUGAAGACUUGAUGUGGAAUUUAAUAUAUCUAUAAAUUAAUUAAUUAAUUAAUUAAUUAAUGUUUAUUAUUAUACAUGUACAUAAAAAAAUAAUUGAAUUGUUGUACUUCUAUAGUAAUUGAAUAGCCUCAAGUUAUAAACCAUUUUGUCUAAAUAAUUUUUCCAAGAUCAAAUUUAUAUAUUGAAUGUAUAAUUCUGUGCAUGCAUUAGGUAAAUGUAUUCAAUUGAUAAUUAUCAUUGUAUGUAUGCAUGCAUGCAUUUCUGUAAAUUCUCAGACAUCAUUUUAUUCUGAUUUUUUUAUUUUAUUGAUUCAUGCCUAGAAGUUGUAAUAUAAAUCCAGAGUAUAGAAGUUUAGAGAAAGAGGAUUUACUUAUUUUAGAUAGCUUUUGGAAAUGUUGAGAGAGUGAGCUGGUGUUCCUCAGAAUUCUCAUUUUGGAUGGAUUUUAUGGGAAUUGCUUAUUUCGAUAAUAAGUGGAUCAAUUUUGGUUUCACAAGAAGACAACAAAAUUAAUGCACAAAAAUUUAUUCCUCAAGUUUAAGAUUAAGAUUAAUCAUUAAUAUGAGGUUUAAAUUAAUUCUCCAAACUACCAUGCAUUUAUUUUAUUUUGUUUUCAAAAAUUAUUCUAUUAAUCUAUGGUUUAAAGUCAUUCUUGAAGUUCAAGUAUACAUUAUUUUGUCUAAAUUAAUUUUCCAAGAUUAUGUGUAUAUAUAGCAUGCGUGUCUAGUUUCUUUUGUAAUAAUAAUUGUGAAGAAGAAUAUUAAUUAAAAUGCUUAUUCACUUUCAAGAUUAGUCAAUAAUGUGAGAUCUAAAAUAAAUUUCCAAAGUAUUGUUCAUUUAUUUUAUUUUUCCCCACAAUUUUAACGAUACAGAAAAUUUGUUUUAAAUAUAACAUAAACUUUCUCAUAUUAAAUUAUAACUUCAGUAAAUUAUAAAUGAUAAAAUAAUAGGUGUGCUUUGCGUCGAUGUUUCGAACAAAAAUAAUAAUAUGUGUCUCUUAAAUGAUAAAAUAACAGGUGUGUUUUGAGACGAUGUUUCGAACAAAAAUACUAACAUGUGUUUCUUUAAUCUAAAUCAAUAUUCAAUCUUCUAUUUUUAGUUUCUUGCUCGGAUUGUUCCUUCAAUUAUCUCCUUUGCAUCCACCUUGUAAACUUCUUCGACAAUCAAUUUCUUCCAUGUUCUUUCUUCUCUUUUCUUCACAUCCAUCUUCACCAAGAAUUUGAACUCUUUAUCUUCCGAGGACAUUAGCUUUUUGUAUUAUUUACACAGUUCUUUUUGUUGGUCUGAGAAGAAAAUAACAAUAUAUGUUUUUAUAAAGAUGAGUUAGUCACCUAAUUUUAGUUAGAAGCAAUAUAAUAUGUUGAAAACACAAAAUCUAAAUUAUAUGUUUACCUUUAAAGAGCUUCAGCAUAUUCAAUCACAGUACUUACUAUGAAAGAUUUGGCAGCAUCAAAGAUUGUGACGUAAACUUCUUGAUUACCAUCUAAAACUAUUAUCCUCAACAAAUACUUUCUAUUAAAAGCUAUGUCUUUAAUUUCACAUAUUGUACAUGUGACGAUUUUUUUAAUCUUCCUCUGGGAAACUCUUGCACCACACUUGUUUUGAACCUUUAAAAUCUUGCCUAUAAAAGCACAAUACAAUUUAGUCACACUAUUUGUAACCAUAUCAUCUAAUUUUACGAUACCAGCAUCCACCAUCCUCUUUGUAGGUCCCAAUAGUUUGUACAAUCCUUCACCACAUAGCAAUUUUUUAGUGCUGUAAAAAAAAAAAAAAAAAAAAAAAAGAAAGCAAAAUAAAUCAUCUUUCAGCUCUAUUAAAAUCUGUUUAAAUUUAGUAGUAAUGUAAAUAUAAUCGUCAUGACUAAAUAAACCAUGCUCGCCUAUUUUUAAUAGCAUUAGUUUCUUCAAGUUGCAGAUUGAUCUCAAUGAUACUAAUAUUUGAAGUGGAGAUGUUUAGUUCAUAUGUUUGAUAGACGUUAGUAAGAACGCGGCAUAGAUUGUUGAUUUUAGCAUACAACUCUUUUUAAUAUGAUAAUAAAAUAAUUAUAUAGUAUCACCUUCAUAGUAACUUGCUCUCACAUUCAAAGCUACAAUAAGUGGCAUUGAACAGCAUCUUCCAUAGACUUUCCUUCGUUGUUAGCCAAAUCUCCCCCACAAAUGUAAUUUCAUUGUAUUACACCUGUACUAAAAAAAAAAAAAAAAUUGUUGAGUAAAUAAUAUUAUAAAGUUUAUCUUCUUUUUAUUUGAUUAAAAAAAAUUGUUUGAUUUUAUGGAUGAUGUUUACCCAUUGUCUAGGAGAAUCACUUCUCGUUUCUUCGUUGUUCUUUCACUUGGCCUCUUAACGUUGAUGAUGAACGUAGGUUUUACUUUGACAGCAAAUCCUAUAAUAUCUGAGAACACAAAAGAAAAAAAAUUUCCAGAAAGAAUUCAUUAGCCAGCGGAAAAAAAAAAAAACCUUAGAUAUCAUGAAUUUCUACACCAAUGUUUUCACUAAUGUCAUGUGGAGUGUUCCUUUUUUAUUAUUAUUUUUAUUUUUAUUUUUUUUCCCUUCUUCAAUAAAUAGCUUAAUAAAAUAGGACCUGAUAUAAAAUAUGGGUAGAGUUUUUUGAAUAUUAGAAUUAAUACUUAGUAAGACUUUCCGAACAUUAUUGGAAACUAUGCAUUUGACUGAAAAAUAUAAUUACAAUGACGAUAUCUCUACUAGCAAAAUUUCGUAUGUCAUUGAAUUGAGGAUAAGAGUUUGAUAUCUUAUAGCAUAUGUGUUCUUCAAUCUCUUCUACUUCCGUUGUAGUUGUGAAAGACAAUUCGAUUUCAUCAUUCACAUUUUGGUAUUGACAGGUCUUACAUUUUUAUUUCGUAUAAUGUAAGAUUUCCCCUUUUCAAUUAUAGCAUCGAGUUUUUGAAUUGCAUCAUUGAAUAACAUGGCUUGAAUUUUAUAUCCCUAUAGAGAAAUCACUAUGUUACUUCUAAUAUACCCGAUUGAAUAAACUCAAACAUGAAUAUACCACAUAAUCAUUACUCCAUUACCAUCAAUACUAAAUUCAAAUAAUCCAGUGUAGCAUAAAUAUUCGGUGCAUAUCAAGAGCAAAUAUUUAUUCACUACAACCUAAGUCGUCAGAUUAGAACCUAAGUCAUCAAAUUAGUAAAAUAAAAGUUUUUUUCCUUUCUUUCCUUCCUUUGAUCUCCACACCAUCUCAGAUUCUUACUAUUAAUUUUACUGUACAAAUAUAAAAGUCAAAAACAUAAGAUCCUGUGAGAUAAAUUAAAGUAUUCUUGAUAAAGCAAAAGACUUUUAGAAGCACGUAAAGAUAUGAGGGAAAUGAAAUAUUUAUGCCAUGUCAGUAUUUGAAUCUCAAAGAUGAAUUCAGAAUUAUUAAAUAUAAGGGUCAUCAUAGUAGAUAUAUUACCUCCUUGUCAAUUAGGAUGAUAUUCAAAAGAUCAAAUUUUCCAGCAUUUUGGAAUAAAAUUUGACUAAAUCCUUUCGAACUACCGUCAGUUUAAUGUACCAUUCAUUUUCAUACGCCAAUAAAUCUCUUAUAGCCUAUGAUUCCAUGAAGGGGGAGAGCAAAAUAUUUGAUGAUUUGAUUGAAAUGUGACAACAACCAAUUUGUGAAAAUAAUUUAAAUAGUUGAGGGAUUAGUUCAUUUAUGUCUAAAACUCAUGAUAACAAUCAAAUUCAUUCAUGAACAUGAAAUCUAAUUAAUUCCAAUUGAUGCUGCUGAUGCGUGUCACAUAUAUACAAUGUAUGAUUAUCACUUUAUGGGUGAAUGCAUGCAUUUAGGUAAAUGUAUUCAACAUAUAAUUACCACUAUAUGUGUCCAUGCAUGCAUUUAUGUAAAUGCUUUAGUAAGAAUUGGAUAUACAAUGUAUAAUUAUCACUUUAUCUUUCAAUUUCUAAAUCUUUAAUUGAGUGUCAUAAGACUCGGCUUCUGAAAUCAUCAACCUAGCAACUUGAUUUUAUCCUUGACCACCUUUUCAAACAGCCUCAACACGUCCUCAUAAUUAUUAUACAUGCAUGUGCAUGUAAAUAAAUAACUGAAUCGUAAUAGGGCUUGUAAGUAGUAGUGCUAGAAUCGUCCGAAAAAUGAUUUUCCCUUCAUGUGAUAUUUAGUGUAUUAUAGAUUUUUAUCCCCAACAACUUGCAUAAUAGUUAUGUAGGAAAUCAUCAUUUUUGUUAAAUCAAUUAUAUGAUUUACUUUUCUUUCAGUUGAGAAGAAAACCGACAAAAUUUGUUUUAGGUGAAAAGAAAAAUCAAAUAGAAAAUAUUUUGCUUACGUAGAAGAAAUAAAUGAGGAUAAUUUCUCACCGUACUUGUUGGUCCCAAUCGAUCUUUCAACAAUUAAUUUUAGGCACAAAUUUCAUAAGAUUCACAAAUUUUCAACCACAUUUCAUCAAUUUUUAUCAGAAUCUACUAAAAUACACCAAACAAGGGCUUAGUUCGUUUGUAAUAUUAUUGUCCAAUGAGAAAAAGUUUUUCAACAAUUUGACGUGUAAAUCGACAUUGAAUACGUGUAAUACAACCGACAGCACAUUAUAAGUAUGUUAAUUGCCGAUAUAAAAAUCAUCAACCAAGUUUAAAUUGUAUGUUAUUUGAGCAGGUAAUAAGCAACAAAACAAGGCAUGGCAUUCGUAGAGGAUAGAAUUUAGUUAAUUGGAACAUCAAAUCACCUACAUUUUUCUUGCCCAAAAGGAAACAAUGUGCUUGUAAAUAAUUUAUAGACCUUUCACGAUUAACCAUUUAAGCUAUGCAGUGACUAUUUUAGCUUUAGACAUUCUCUUUCUUUCCGUUCUAUUCUUGCUUUCAGAAGUCUCUGCGAGAAAUACAAAAUUGCAGAUUUAUGGGGUAAAAAUCAAAAGAAUGUCUCUUAACUCACACUAGACGGCCUGCUGCAUCAUAUACUCGCUCCCUGAUGCACUGGUGCUUGUAUGGGACAAGUGCAAAUCCGAUCCCUACAAAAGAUAGCUUUCAGAAGCCCAAUGCUUAAACUCAUGUGAUGAACUCAGCAUCGGAGAUGCAAAGAGAUAGGACGAACAUCACUUUCACUUAUUAGUAAAUUACUGGGUUUAAAACAAGUUCACAACGAGUAAAGGUGAAGCUGAAUCCAUGAGUAGUAGUAGUACAAUAUAAGAAGUUUCAUACUUCUUGACAUUUUAUUUCAAGCUCCACAGGUACAUUUUUGUAGCACAGGACACGUAUCCGAAUUGAUAUCAUAUAUAAACCUCAAACGCCUAAAAUUCUUGGGCAGACUAGCUCUUUCACAACUCGUAAUGUCUCAAAUUCGUAUGUUUACGAGAAGUGAUAAAUAUCCUUGAAUGUAUCGGCUCUGGUUAUUCACCGUCUGUUUCUAUGGCAUGUAUCAAUCAAAUAAUUAUAAUAACUAUUGAGUCUUUUUCACAAAACAAGGGGUAGUUAAAGAUUGGAGAACUUUUCUAUCAUUAUCCAUAAAUAAGGAAAUCAAACCAAUUAUAUGCUCCUAUAAAACAGAAAAAAAGAGUAGGUAAUGUUCUCUUCUCUUUACACUAAUAACAGUACAGGACUCGUGAUUAUCUUCCUGAUCAUUCGGCAUCAAGAUGAUGGAAUUCAAUUAUAGCACCGGAGUUUACCAACCCCAGGAUAAAUUAAGUAAGUUGUUAGAAUUCCAACAAGAGAUAGGAGUUGCAUCAACUUCGGAAGAAAUUAUGUACAAUCGAGAUAACUAUGCAAUGUGUGCAUGCCACCACGAGUGAUGCUUAAUGAAAAGCUGCAGGAGUACAAUUUGAAUUUAGAUGGCCUAAAAAGAAACAGCUGCAGGGCUUCCAUCCAAACAAGCAAAUUUAGUCUUGAGGGUUUUAAGAUACAAGAAUUAUUUUGCAACAACCACUUAUUUAUGUUUAAAUAAAUAGUCUAUUUGACAAUUACUCUCUCUGUCCCAUGUUAUUCUUCUAGAUCACUAUUUCAAUUUGUCCUAAAAGUUAUUUUGGUCACUAACUUGAGACUCUAGAUUCUGAUUAUACACCUUGUCAUGUUAUAGUGGGACAAGGCUUAACUGAAGAUAAGAAAUAAACUACCCACUGCAAUAUUAAAUGGAAGUUCAACUUGGGACAGACUUGAAUCGUCAAAAUUGACUUCUCUUCAGAAUUUGACCACUUCUGCACUCAUAUACUUAGACCCACUCAUACAAAAGCUAAGGUUAAUAGGGGCAAAAGAUUUCAUGACAAUCAGAUUUCAUAACUUUUGACAGCACAAGAGGGCCAAUAAAUAAUUUAAUAAGCGUAAUUCUAAGACCACAUAUGUAUAGUGAUAAAAAAUUACUUAAAAGCUAAACCUGACUAGUCAGAAAUAUUGAGUAAAUUUGUAAUAGUUCAACCUACGAGUUUGUAUAGGUCUUUAACUCUUUUCUCUUGACAUAUUUGCCUUCAACCUUAAGUUUGCAGAACUUCUAGAAGCAUUGUGUCUUCAUCCUAUCAAACUUUUUAGCUCUGUAAUCGGCAAUCUGAAGUAAGUAAAUGAUUUUCAUCUAUUUGACCUUUGCGAUAAUAUAUGCGACUAUUUGUUAAAAGAGGUCAUUACCUAAUAUUGGAACCACCUAAGAGCAAAUUUGAUAGAUAAUAUUAAAUAGUAUAGCAUAACAUUUUUUUUUAAUUACUAUACUGAAUAGGCGAAUACCGUCUUUGCUUCCAAACAAUUCAUAAUUCCUUCACCCAUUUAUAUGGAGGAAUGAUCGAAUCAUAAAAUCAUGAUUUUAUAACCAUGGCCAAAAAGUGAUCUACUAUUGUAACUUGAGGGGAUGAUACUUACAACCCUAAUUCUUAGCUAGAUUCAGAAUGUAAAGUGGGACGAGCAGAGCUAGAUUUUUCACGUGCGAGUCACUCGUCGGCUCAUACAAGAGCCAAGAAACAAAACAUUAAAAAUUAUGCAAGCAUUAACAUUCCUCUCUAGAUUCCAAUUCUCUAUAGGAUGAAGGACGGGCCUUUUUUCACUUCUUCUUGCUCUUCAUUAUUAUCUAUGUAUUAAACUUUAAUGAUUUAUAAUUAUAGCAUUUAUUAAAUGUAUAUAACUAUUUGUGAUAUAACAUGAUUUCUUUUAUUGCAAAUAGAAAUCACCACAAACUCCAAAAGCUCAAUUAAUUAAAGAUCAAAUAUAUGAAUAUUUUUUUUUUGCUUUUUGUUCGGUUAACUACUAUUUAUACCUUGAACUACACAAAUCUUUUUCACUAGAUUUAAUUUGAUUGAUCUCUAUAUGGCGGCCUUAAAAUGAACAAGUUGAUUCAUACCAUGGCUUACUUCGCCAUGCUCUUGAGAUUUUUUUUUUUGUUUAUUUAUCACUUAAAAUCAUUGAAAAGCACAAAAAUUACAAAAAAUCAACCCUAUACAAGCUCAAAUAACAUGUGGUCCCACAUCCUGAUUGCGCCAAUCAACUGUGGUAGAAGCACCAUCCCCUGUCCCUGAAAAUAUGCAUCGUACAACUUAUUAUUCCUUUGAGUAUCGUAGCUCGUUGCUUCACCAUCGAUAAUCUUCAGUCUAGUCAUGAUGGCAAAACCCAAGUAUAGAGAAAUUAGUGACCUUGCCUUUGAGGUUGAAGUAGAGUGCAUUCGCCAUUGACUUACCUAAGUAGUUGACAUAGUAAUGCAUCAAUGAUCUAUCUAGAAUACUUCACCUUUCUCAACUGAUACAGGGGCCACAUGAAGGACUUGAGUAGUAUAUCUCCAUGCUAAUCAUCGAGCAACUCCAAUAUAGUAAUAAAACUGUCAAAACUACUAUUUCAAGUAUAUUUACCUGCCAUUUGUCUCAACUCAGCAUCGAGAUGGUAUUCCAUUCUAAAAAAAUUCAAAUGUUAGAACAUUUUGCAAGAAAUAAUGGAAUAAAGCAUAAUUUCAGAAAUUUAAACGAACUGAAUUUUAACUAUUGUAUGCUAGAAAUAGAUUCAUUUUACAUCGAUACUAAUAAAAAAAGAAAUGAUUUAAUAAAUUAAAGGGGAAAAGAAAUAAGAAUUACAGAUAAAAAUAAAAAAAUUUAAAUGAAUUAAAUAUACAAAAAAUUUAAAAUUAAAGAAAUAAAUAACAAAAAUAAUAAAAAUUAAAGAUCUAAUAUUAAAAAGUUGAAUGGAAAAAAAAUAAAUUAUGACAAAUAGAAAACAAUUAAGAAAUUUUUUUAAAAAAGAAGAAACUAAUAAUAAAUUAAAUUAAGUAAAAAUUAAAGACCAACAUAGAAAAGGAAAAAUAAAUUAAUGAAAAUUAUAAAAUAUAAAAAUUAAAGCAAGAGUAUUUAAAAAAUCAAAAUGAAAAAAAUUUAUAUAAAGAAGAAAAAAAUUAAGAAAUUUUAAAAUUAUUAUAAAAAAAUAAAAAGAAAAAAAUUAAACGAAAGGAAAUUAUAAAAUUAAAUUAAGAGUAUAAAUAUUAUUUAAUUAAAAUCGAAAAAUUAAACUUUAUCAUAAAGAAAAGAAUUAAAAAGUAUUUAACUGAAAAAGAUUUAUUUAUAAUAUGAAGCAAACAAUUAAGAAAUUUUAAAACUAUUACCUAAAAUGUAAUAAUAAAACAAAAAAAAAUUAGACAAAAGGAAAUUAUAAAAAUUAAAUAAAGAAUAUGAAUAUUAUUUAAAAUUGAAAAAAAUUAAAUUAUCAUAAAGAGAAAAAUACUAAUAAACAAUAAAAAAUCAGGAAAAAAAAAUAAAAAUCGGCCCAAAAAAAUUGGGUUUGCCCAAUUGAAUAUUAAACAAUCGGGUUCAACAAUUGUUAACAGUUGCUUUUUCCAUUUUUAGCCGAAAAUGAGGCAAUCACAGCCCCCAAAAAAUACUUAAAUCUAGUCUACACCCGAGCAUCUAUCUAAAUACUAAACAAUAAACUAAAUGGAUGUUAAAUUUAAUCUUUACUAUAUAUGAAAAAUCAAUUUCAUAAUCACUAAACUACCAUUGUUGAAGAUAACUUCGCUCAAUGACUGGGUUGUGGAAGUCGAAGUUGGGUUGACUAUGAGGGUGGUGUGUUCGACUGGAUCCCAAUUGAGUUUUUUCUUUUCUCUCUCCACUGUUUGCACAAGAUGAGGCGAGGGUAUUUUUUUUAUUUUUGAUCUUUCACCUCAUAAUUUAACUUUUUACUCUUUUUUUAAUGGUCAAAGGCUUUAUUAGAAAUAUGCCUAGGUCAACCGGCCAUUUCCAUGUAUUUCCUCGAUUAUAUUAUCACCACAAUAAAUGUUUGGUACACCACAAAAUUUCUUAUCUAUUUAAAUGAUUUUUGAGUAAAGUGACAUAAAUAUCAUAUAUUAUUAGCUUCUAUAUUUAUUCAUUCUUGUUAGGAGUAUGACUCAAAUAGGAAUCUUUUGAAGAGGCGAAUUCGACUUGGACUAAGAAAAUAUUAAAUUAGGGUUUAAGGAAACAAAAUCCUAUUGAAAUUGGGUCUCCUAAUAGUAAUGUGUUUUCUUGCCUUUUACGACUCUUCUAGGAUUGGCCUAUAAAUACGAGACUCCUCUGGUUAAUUUGUAGAGAGUAACAUAGAAGCAGUAUGAUAGUCUAUUUUGUAUUCUCCAUACUGUUGAAUUAAUAAAUAUUGUUCCUCUGUGUUUACCCCUUGUUUUGUUUCUUUACAAAUUCAAUCUUGUGUUCUCGUGAUGCGAUCUAGUAAACUUCAAUAUUGUCAUUAAAUCUCGUUAUUUAAAAUCCGAUUUGGAAUCAAUGUGUGUUAUUGGAGCUUUCGCGCCCAAUAGGUGGUAUCAGAGCGAGGUUGUUGAUUUUCUGUGGAUUGGUUAAGAUUCUUUCGAAAUGGCUAGGUUGAAGUAUGAUGUUCCGCUGUUAGAUUGCAAUACAAGGUUUUCAUUAUGGCAAGUAAAGAUGAGGGCUAUUUUAGCACAGUUGGAUUUGGAUUAUGCGUUGCUGGGUAUUGAGAGGAUGCCAGCUGGUUGGAUAGCGGAGGAGAAACAAUGGAAGGAUCAAAAGGCCGUUUCAUUGAUUCAUCUUCAUCUGUCCAACAAUAUUUUCCAGGAUGUCUUGAAGGAGAAAAUGGAGGCUGCUUUGUGGUUGACGUUGGAACAGUUGUGUAUGAUUAAGAGUCUUACAAGUAAACUAGCUCUCAAGCAGAAGCUGUAUUCACAUCGCAUGGCAGAAGGAGGGUCGUUGGAAGACUAUGUUGCCAUGCUCAAGGAAAUAGUUGCAGAUCUGGAGACAUUGGAGGUUAAGUACGAUGAAGAGGAUGUUGCCUUGAUCCAGUUGUGUUCGCUGCCUGGAUCUUAUGCGUCAUUUCGGGAUACUAUCAUAUAUAGUUGAGAUACUUUAACUAUAGAAGAUGUUUAUGAUGCUUAACACUCAAAGUAGAAAAUGAAGCAUUUGGUUGGAGCUAUAUCAAGGGAUGGGGAAGCUCUUGUAUCUUAAAGUGGUCAAUGAAGAGGCAGAUCAAGAGUUAGAUUUAGCAAUGUGACCUAUUACUACUACAAAAGGAAGGGACAUAGUCGGAAGGAUUGCGAUAUGUUGCAAGCUAAAGGUGAUUUAGCUGUAAAUUGUGGGGUGCAACCUUUGAAUUCAGACGAAACCAAUGUAGUUGAGAAUUGUUCAGGUAGCGAAGAGGUGAUGUUGACCGUGGUAUCUGAUGUGGAGUCUAGGCCUGAUGAGGAGUGGAUUUUUAAUUCAGCAUGUUCGCACCAUAUGUGUUCCGAUAGGAAUUUAUUUAAGAGAUAUAAGGUUGUUCAGCACGGUGGGGUUGUAAUGGAAAACAACCAAUCUUGUUGUAUUGCUUGGAUCAGUCGAGUCAGAUUGAGGCUGCAGGAUAGAACAUUUAGAACAAUUAAUCAACUUCGACAUGUUCCUGACCUGAAAAGUAAUCUCAUUUUGUUAAGUACCUUGGAUGCAAAAGGGUAUAAAUUCUCUGGAAGAGGUGGAGUCUUGAAGGUCUAAAAGGGAGUUCGAGUUGUACUAGAGGGACGGAAAAGAUCCCAAUUGUACAUUUUGUAGGGGAGUGCAGAACUAGUUAAGAGGAGACAUUUGGACAAGUUUAGUACCGUGGUGAAAGUUCAGUUUUGGUACAGUACUUCUUAUGUUAGGCUCUGAGUCGAUUCAGAACACUGCUAGGGAGAACGUUGGUGAUUUCGCUUUGCAUCGAUUUCAGCGAAUAUACUGUGUUCAGUUGCUGGAAUAGGACUCAUCAAGCGUAGGUACUGUGGUGUCAGUAAUAUCUGGGAUGCUUUUAGAGAAGUUAAAGGCGAUAGUUCCAGCAAGGGCCCUUCUAAUAAAGUAUCUGGUUUGGUUUUUCCUACAGGGUAUGGUUCGGCCCUUUGUGAUCAGCAUUAAUUCCUUGGUAGAAUUGAAACCCUAGGGAUUGGGUUCUGGUGUCGGCUGUGGACGCCGGGUAGAGGAUGAGUGUUUAGCUUAUAUGGAGUGGUUACUGUGUUGAGGAGAUUCGGCCAGUUAGUUUCGAUGCAGAUGAAUUUGAAAUCUAGAAGUUUCGUUUGUAGCACCGAAAUUAAAGUCGAGGUGGAGAUUGUUAGGAGUAUGACUCAAAUAGUAGUCUUUUGAAGAGGCGUAUUCGACUUGGACUAGGAGAAUAUUAACCUAGAGUUUAAGAAAACUAAGUUGAAUAAGAAAACAAAAUCCUAUUGAAAUUCGGUCUCCUAAUUGUAAUAUAUUUUCUUGCCUUUUAGGACUCUUCUAGGGUUGGCCUAUAAAUACGAGGCUCUUCUGGUCAGUUUGUAGAGAGUAACAUAGAAGCAGUAUUGCUAGUCUAUCUUGUAUUCUCUAUACUGUUGAAUUAAUAAAUAUCGUUCCUCUACGUUUACCCUUUGCGUUCUUUCUUUACAAAUUCAAUCUUGUGUUUUCGUAGUGUGAUCUAGAAUACUUCAAUACUGUCAUUAAAUCUCGUUCUUUAUAAUCCGAUUUGGAAUCAACGUGUGUUAUUGGAGCUUCCGCGCUCAACAAUUCUCAAGUUUGCUCUGAUACAACGAAAGGAACGACCGAUGUUGAUAAAUGAAUUGAAGGAGAAAAGUAUACAUUUGUUCCAUAGAAAUAAAAGGCAGGCACAUUUUUGUAUACAAGAAAUUACAUAACUAAUUUACAUGAAAAUAGUUAACUGAACAAACUCCGUUAGUGAUAUCUAUUUUUUUGUUCGGAUUUGAUUCACAUAUUUCAACAAGAAGUAACCUUUUUUUAUUAAAUGAGCAAGUAGUAACUUAGAAUAAAAUUUGGUGGGCAAUUAUUAAUUAACUCUAAAACAUACAUAAUUCUAAAAUACGUAAAGAAACAAUCGAUAAUUCUAAAAUACGUAAGGGAACAAUCGAUAGAGAAGAUGAACUUGCAUGGUGAAAAACCUAAAAGAAAAACCGGAAUUGGUAUUGGCUUUUGUGAAUUCAGAGGGCUUUUCUCUUCUUAAAUUGUGAGAGAGAGGAGAGAGAAUAUAAGAAAUGAAAGCUAAAAGCGAGUCAACUUUUUGGAAAGCUUAGAAUGCAUUUGAUUUGUUAUUUUCAGUUUUUAAUUUUGUAAUACACUGAAAACAUGUUUGAUUUGGUAUAUCUAAAAAUACAAUUUUGAAAAUAAGGACAAAAUUAUAACAUAAAAUUCAAAACACAUUUUCCAUGUCUUGUGUGUUUUCAGUGAAAAUUAAAAAAUACAAAAUAUAAAAUUCUAACAAAUAAUACUUUAUAUUUUAAAAAAUUUAAAAAAAAUAAUUUCUAAAAUUUAAAAUUAAAAGUUGAAAAAUAAAAUUAAAAAAAUAAAUUUUUUAAGCACAUAAUGAUGAUUUAUAUAAAAAUUCAAAAAAAAAUUAAAAAAAUUAUAUUCUUAGUCUACAUCAUUAAUCUUUAUUUUUAUUUUCUAUAUGUUAAAAUCAAUUUAUUAUUUAUUUUUAUUUUACUUUUAUAGCGAGACAAAAUAUUGUAAGAUUCACCAACUUUAAAAUGUAUAUGUUACAUGAUAAUAAAAUGUCAUAAAUAAUUUUUCAAAAUUCAAAUUGUUGGGUUUUUUGAUACCCAAUAAUCCAGGCGAUGAUUUAAAAUAGUUGUCAGAUUAUUUAUCGACACAAUGGACUUGGCUCGACUCGGAGAUAAACUACACUUUUGGAUGGUUCGGGUUUGGGUUGGAUGAUUAUUUGGUUAGUUGGACCAUUUAGUGAUUAAUAUGGAGUUGAAUAUUGGCCCAUAGUUUAGGUUAAUUGGUAACCCGCUUAGUGAACCCUAGACCCAAUUAGAGUGACCUAAACUAACCUAUAUAUAUGUAUUUAUCUCCCAGUCGUUUUUGGUGGUGGUGUGUGUUGUAGCAAUGGAGAUGAGAGUUGAGAGAAGAGAGGCAACCAUGAGAGAGGGAAGCCAUGUGAGGUUGUAAGUAAGAUUCAACUAUUGUUCUUCUUCCUCUCCAUACCUUUAUGGAUUGCUAACACCACCACCCUUCUCCUUUGUGGGGUUAGAGAGAAAGAGAACAGUCCAAAGUAAAGGUGAAAGUCUCGGGUCGAGUCAAGGUAAACCGGUAUUCGUUUGAUUAUUUUCUGAGCCCGAAAUCAAGAUUUAUCGAGGGAUUUCCACUACAAAUGGUAUCAGAACUUGUGUUAUUGAUAAAUCUGUGAUUUUUAGGGCUAAAAACGGGCUGGAAGUGGUCAGAAACGGGUUUGAAAAUCAGAGGCAGAAACUAUUCGAUUUUUUCAAUUUUCUACCGAAUCUGUUUUGGCGUAUUCUGAUGAAACCAAAAACAGUUUGGAGAAACGGACACCACCAUUGGACUGUGCAGGUGGAGACAAUUCAGAAAGGUUGGGGCGGCACGCGGCGCGUGAGGGUGCGUCUGGAGGAUUCCAGCGAAGUGGUCUUCAGACAGAAUCUUCCCCAUGACGAGAUGGACCCUGCAGUGUUUUCAGAUUUCAAUUUGGAGUAAUACAGUGAAAGUUGAACGAUUUUGCCCUUGGACGUUCGGGUGCCGAGUGCUGUUUUCGUGUUGCUGUGAUUGCUGUUGACUUUAGGAUGAAGAGUGAUAGUCCUGAAGUGGUGAAUUCGCGUCUCUCGAUAUUUACGGACCUUCAGACGUGGUCCGCUCGGUAUCGUAUUCUUUACUUUAUAUUAUAACAGUUAAAAUAAAUGUGUAGAGUAAUUUAUUUUUUGCAUCAAAGGUCAUCGUGUGGGUUACAUUAGGUUUGGGGUUACCAUGAAGGGGUAACCAUUGCCUAUUGCUAGACCUAGGAAUUAUUUGUUAAUUAUUUGCCUUAAAUUCUUUGUGAAUUUGCUGUCAAUUUUUCUACAUUAUUAGAAUUGUAUGUGGCCUUGGGAAAGUUUACUGGAUUAUUCUAUGUGAAUUAUGUUCAUACUUUACUUGUGGUCAUUAUUUGACAUUGGGGGUAAAUGAGGUCUAAGGUAAGUGGGAAAAAUAACAUAUAUUUUAACUAUGGUAAAAUUUGGACAUAGUUGAAAGAGAUUGUCCUAGGAUGAUAAUAAAAGGAAAGAUGAGGAUAGAGACAAGGCGAAUCUGGCUUUACAAGCAUAGUGGGUUAAGUUUUGUGACGUAAUCUAUUUGCUCUGUGAGUGGUGUAAGAGUGUGGUAGUGAGAAGAAAGUUGGGCAGCCGUUUCUCUCCUUCAUCUUUGUGAGCCUGUGUGAUUUGUGAGAUUAUAUAAGGCAGUCAUGUUAGGGUUACCUUCUUUAUCCUUGUGAGCCUUUUUUUGUGAGUGUAGUGAAGUAACCGACUCUUUCUUCGAUUCUCUUUGAGAGUGUCACCUUCACUAUUUUCUUUGUGAAUUUUUGGGAGCAUUGGUGAGUGGAUUAACCUUUGUGGUCACCGAAAGGUGUUGAUUUGUCAUAGUGAGUUUGAGAUGCAUUAGCAGUGAGUUGGAUGUCUUUUGGUAAAGUGGAGUAUAGAUGCCUAGGGGUACAUGGUGAUUUGUACUGAGGGAUGUAGAGUGUGACAUUUGGAUCACGAGUGGAGAUGUCAUCAAAUGUGUAGAGUCAUUUAUCUGUGAAAGAGACCCUGUACAAGUGGAGUGUGAGAGAGGCACUUCUAUCACUUCUGUAAAGUGGAGUCCCAUUAUCCACGUAGGUUGAGAGAAGUGAUGUGGUGAUAGAGGAUUAUCCCGAGAGUUUAGGAUCUAUUAUGACUUACCAGUUAGACAUGAGUUAAGUGAGCAUUGUGGGCGAUGAGAGGAGAUAUGUGUUCUCGAGAUGGGAGUAACACGGAAUGUGAUAGGAUAAGUGUGGUGAGAUUUUUCAUGGGGUCAUUUAUGUAUUUGUUGCAUAUGUGCAUGACCUUGUGUUGAUUAACUAAGUGUUAAUCUGUGGUUCUGUGUGAACGUGGUUUUGAAAAGAUCUGUGUGUGUGUGUUAUCCUAUAUAUCUUCAUCGCAUGAUUAUUUGUUCAUUGUGAAUACUUGUUUCUACUUGGGUAUUAUUGACCUUAGCCCUGGUGAGUAUAUGGAGCAAGUAUCGUAUGUGUUUCAGGUUGGAAACACAAGGUAAGGUCUGUUAUUCCAAUUUUAUUGGAUUACCUUGAUUGUGCAAGUAUAAAUUGUGUGUUUUGGUUGCUUGCAGAUUAUUGGGCAUCAAGGUGGAGAUUGUUAGGUUUUUUGAUACCCAAUAAUCCGGGCGAUAAUUUAAAACAGUUGUCAGAUUAUUUAUCGACACCAUGGACUUGGCUCGACUCGGAGAUGAACUACACUUUUUGAUGGUUCGGGUUUGGGUUGGAUGAUUAUUUGGUUAGUUGGACCAUUUAGUGAUUAAUAUGGAGUUGAAUAUUGGUCCAUAGUUUAGGUUAAUUGGUAACCCGCUUAGUGAACCCUAGACCCAAUUAGAGUGACCUAAACUAACCUAUAUAUAUGUAUUUAUCUCCCAGCCAUUUUUGGUGGUGGUGUGUGUAUUGUAGCAAUGGAGAGGAGAGUUGAGAAAAGAGAGGCAACCGAGAGAAAGGGAAGCCAUGUGAGGUUGUGAGUAAGAUUCAACCAUUGUUCUUCUUCCUCUCCAUACCUUUGUGAAUUGCUAACACCACCACCCUUCUCCUUUGUGGGGUUAGAGAGAAAGAGAGCAGUCCAAAGUGAAGGUGAAAGUCUCGGGUCGAGCCAAGGUAAACCGGUGUUCGUUUGAUUGUUUUCUGAGCAUGGAAUCAAGAUUUAUCGAGGGAUUUCCGCUACACAAAUCAAAUGUGUUUCUUGUUUUUUUUAUUUUGAAAAAUAAUUUUUCAAAAUGACAAACCCAAUGCGUUUUUAGUAAUUUUAAAAUAGACCCUCAAAAUAUAUAACAGAAAAAUGAACUUAAAACUGAAAGACAAACCACUCUCAUGGAUGCAAAUUAUUCCUACGUUAUAUAAUUUUUUGUUAUUUCCCUUUUCUUCUUUGUUUGGCUAAGCUAAAAUUUUUUAAAAAAUUAAAAAAAAAUAAACAGAGGGUAAGCAUUAUUUUAAGCAAUAAUAUUAUAAAAGUUAUUUUAUCCUUGAGUAAAAAGAUCGAAGGUCUAUUCUUAGUUUAACCGUUACAUCAAAAUCAUAAAAUCCACCACUUAUCGGCCUAUGCUCGAUCAACUCGAAGCAGCUGGGAGGUCUACCCCCAUACAAUCCAUUAGACUGACAUUUUUUUCUUUCACUUUAUUUUGCUUACCCACACUAGAUUUAUAGAAUUAAUUAUAGGGUUACAAUAUGUAAACAGUGUCAUUCCUCAUACAUAAAGAGAUAUUUACAGAAUAUGAAUAUAAUAUUAUUCAACUAGCUCUUCAAAUGAGACUCAAUAAAUAAUUGUAGUUCUAUUUAGUUGAUAAUAGGGUUAACAUAUAUACAAAUGACAUUGUUAUUAAAGACGCUAUAUUAUUGUCCAAAACUUCGUCCUUGCUCCUUUAUUUCCAUGUAAAUGCAGUCAUUUUUGUCAUUGGUUUUUAACAUAAAACAUCUUAUUUAAAGAUUUCCAUAUGAGCUAAAUUAAUAGACGAUAUUUAAAAGCAUGUCCAUUGUAGGUCGACAUCACACAAAAAAAUGGACAAUGUCUAGGCAAUGAUAUAGAUGCAGAGACUUUAUUAAACAUUCUCGCUCAGCAAUUCAAUUGAUUAUGUUUCUCAUUUUCUUUUUUUAUAUAUCAGAUUUUCUUUCCCUUUCACUCUAUUUUAUUAUUUGUAUUUUAAUGUUGAUAAAGGACAUUAUAUAUGCUAAAAUAUUGAAAUAUAAAUGAAACUCAUUGGAGAACAAUUAUAAACUUGACAUCUAUUCUUAGACAUCAAUAACAAUUUUCAUAUCUACUAAAAAUCCAUAUAUUCAAAAGUCACAUGGGUCGCUAUUCACGAAAUGCAUUGAAGAUGCUAGAGUCAAUUCCAGUUGUCUCAAAUAGCUGAUGAGAUCCAUUAACUUAUUUUAACUUUAAAAUCAACUCAAUUGGUAGAGAAUAAAAAGGAGAAAGUAAAUUGUAUAGAAGAUACGAUUAAAUAAUGAAAUACCUAAGCAUUAAUAUUUUUGUUCAUUUCUAGAACUGAAAAAUAAAAUAAAAUAUGGGAAAUCACUCCUAGGCAAUAAUUAAAGAGAGGUUGUAUUACCACCACAAGAAAUGGUUGGUAUGCCACAUUUUUCUUAUUUAUUUAAAUAAUCACGAAAUAACAUAGAUCUCAUAUAUUAUUAGCUUAUAUAUUUAUUCAUUCCAUCACCAUCAUCCAUACACGUUGCAUUUUCAUUAUAAUAUACUAACGAUUAAUAGAUAUUAUUUUACAAACAAUCUAACUUAAUGUUUUUAGAUUAACUGUAAAUCUCAUUAGAAAUCUACAAAUUGGCUAGCUAAAACUUUGGUCAAACUUAAUUCAUUUUACUACUAGUCAAUUGAUAUGGAAAGUUUCCUCAGCAAAAUUAUUUGAAUAUGAGUUGGCGUUCAACUUGUUCAAUUCAAUCUCAUUCAAUAAGUCGUUCAUUUAUCAAACAAUUGAAAUCCGUAGUGAACACUGAAAUCCAAUCAAUCCUUAAAUGACAAAUGAAAUAUUGAUGAAAAAGAAGCUGAACCUUUCCAGAUAAAAUUCUACUUUCCAAAGAGUUCAAGUUGAUUCAAUAACUCUUUAUAAAAUUGAUUAUUUUCCGCCAUAUAUAUGUUCCUUAACAGAUUAAAAUUCAAACUAUAUGAACAUAAAUUUAUUUAAGCAACUAAAUUAAUUAUUUUUAUGCCAUAAUUAUAAUUUCAGCUCAAGAUGGAUAUGAAGCUAACAAGGGCGCGCGUAUGCACGAAGAAUUCCUCCAUGCUCUUGCAUGCAAUUUAAGAAUUUCUCUGGCUCUCUCCUUUGUCUUUGAUCCUCGAUCAAAAACUUCCAGUACCAGGCACAAUUUUGCCACUGCACCAAUCUGCAACAUUUCUUGUAAAACUCCAGGAGUUGCUGAGAACUUCGAUAUCGAAUGUAGAAUUCUUAUUCCGCUCUCAUUUGCUGUAGAUGAAACCCUAAGAAUCUUCUUCGAAACAAUGGCUAAUCCUGCGCUGUGAUUCAACAGUUCUGCUCUUCCCUCGGCGCAUUUGCAUAGCAAAUUCAGCUCCAUAAGCAUCAAUUCGGAAGCCCUUUUGUCAGAAGAAUCGAGUAAAAGGUCAAUCAACAAGGGCACUGCUCCAGCUUCCACUGCUUUAAUCCUGUUUUUUUCCCAUGGACAUACCUUGAUAAGAACUUUCAGUGUGGCUUUUGAGACCUUCCGAGAGAUUUGAUCGUUCAAGAUAUCUACUAAUUCGUGGAAGAAUUCGGAUCUGAGACUGAUCGGUUGAUUUGGAUCAGCCACUUCGAACAUGGAUUUCAGAAACAUGACAGCAUAGACACGAGAAUCAUAGCUCCCGGAUUGCAUGACGCUCGUUAAGGACAGGAUUAACUCGAUAUUAUUCUGCAAGAGGGAUUUGAGCCCGGAUCCCGAUAGCUGGAGAUUAUAGAGAAUGAUAGCUGGAGAUUAUAGAGAAUGCUCAAGGCUUCAUCACUUGCUCUUCUCAACUCAAUCACAUCUUCUGAUACUUCUGCUGAAGAUGCCUCUACGGUUUUCUUCACGAUUAACGAAGCUAAGAACUCAGCCGUGCCUGCUGUUUCCAUGCAUCUUUUAUUCGUUUCGUUGUGAGAAGCAAUGGAUCUGAGUCUUGCUUGUUCGGAGAGUUGGCAUCAUUGAAAAGCUUCAAAAGUUGGGACUUACUGAUUGGAGCUUUCGGGGUUGGGAGCCUCUCGAUGCCUUCUGGAGCAUGGAGGGUGCACCAGGAUUGGAUAAACUGCCGGAGAAUAAUGUUUGGGAUCAAUUCUGAAUCCAUAACCACUUGCUUCGUUACCGGGCAAGUAUUAUUAUUCUGAGAAAACAGCCAUUUUUCGAUGCUCUCCCGAUCAUAUGUUAUACCGGUAGAGAGCGUAACAGGAUCCUUCAUAAUCUCUAGACUGAUGGGGCAGAGAAAGUAGGAUGGAAUUUCAAUUUCAUCCAUAGAAGAAGAAGUAAUUAAAAAGAUCAAGAUUUGAUAAACCUAAGAUCUGAUCCAAAAGAAUAGGUGAUUAUACAAUUUUAAGCAAGAAAAUUAAGCUGAAGAGAAGUACAAAAAUUUUGUAAGCUAUAGAUGAAAAUCAAAGAAAGUGAGGUUCUUGAGUUGUGUGGAUUGGUUUGAAGAUUUAUGAGUUUGGAGGAUAUGGUUUUAUAUGUGUCUAUAAAGAGAGGUAAAGAUUCAAAAUGUCAAAGUCAAAACUUGGAAAAUUUUGUCUGUUCAGUUUGUGUGAAGGAAAGAGUAUUAUUGUGCUUUUUUUUCUUUUUUUUUUAAAUUAUAACAAAAACAUUUUGAACUUGGAGUUUUCUAACAUGCAAUUUGAAAAUGACAACUUUACCAAUAAUUUUCUCAUUUAAAAUUGAAACACGUGAUUAAGUCGUAUUUAACCAUGAAGGAGUAAAACUGAAGAUUCUGAGUUUGGAAAAGUUCAAUUUUGGUUUAAUUAUUUCACGAAAGUAACUUCGACCAGUUAUUAUUAUAAAAUUUCAUUCAAUUCAGUUGAACAGGUGUAGAUUUAUUUGAAUGAAUUGAAUUUGUAGUAUUUUUAUUUUAAUUGAAAGAAAAAUUGCUAGUCUAUGAGGUAAAUUGCAGUAAAUAAAGUAUAGAGAAACAAAUUUAUUUCUUCUCUAAAAGUUUCAAGAUAAGAUAAUUCAAAGUCCAGUAUCGUGUUUUUAAGUCUUUUUGCAAAUAACUUUAACAAGAAAUUAUAUAUUUAAUAGAAAAAUGAAUGUUUUCUUGUCUUCCAAAAAUAUGUAUGGUACUUCUAAUUUUAUGACUGAAACAUAUCUCAAAAUCUUUUCCCUUUUGAAAAUAUAAAAUAUAAGUAAAUAAAUCCAUUCCUCUCUUUUUUUCAUUCCCCCCCCCCCCCAAAAUGUACUAGUUUUAUUGGUAAACCCUCACUUGUGGUGGAGGAAGACCGUGGUUACAAUAUAUUACUAAAAGCGAAAAGAGGGCAAAUCCAUUCCUCUCUUUAAUCAUCGUAAACUUUUAUACAAUGUGAAUUAUUAUUAAAAAAAAAAAAAAAAAGUACUCACAUUUUUGAAUUUUUCAUUACGUAGUUAUGUUCUUAGGCUCUGAAUUAAAUAGAACAACAUAAAUUCUUAGAUAUGGAUAGAUAAAGCAAACUAUCACCCUAAUUUUUUUGUUAAUAAAUAUGAUAACAAUUUUCAUAAAAUAAUUUUUUCAACUCCAUUCUCGUACAAUAAUUCAAUACAAAACUAAGAUCCUCCUCUAAACAACCACACAACACACACCGCAUAUACUGUAUCAAGCCAAAGCGAAGAAGCUUUGUCUAUGUAUAGAGGCCACCUUGAAUUGCCAACCAAAGAAUAAAUACAUGAUGGAGAAUACAUUUAGGGAACCAUACAAAACUAAAGUCGUUCGUGAUUUUUUUAGUUCGCGCAUUCCAUCACCGACACCAACGGAUCAUAAAUGCAGGAUGGACCUACCAGUAGGUUUGCAACACAUGUAUGUGUAUUAAUCCAUAGUUGGCUGCCCAUAUUGACCAAAGCAGGUUAGCAAUGGCUCGGACUACACGGAGUUUUUAUUUAAUCUUGGUUCUAUUUGUUUCUCUUUGUUUAAGUCAACCCAAAAAAGUUAAAUUUUAUUGGGUUUUGAUUUUCUAAAAUAAUUUAUAGUCACAAAUAUUAUAUAUAUUUAGGGAACAAUAAAUUUCGAGACGAGUUUACUCAUACAGUGAUAGGAUGAACAAAGUUGUAGAUGUAAAAGUCUAAGAUGACAAAAAGAUUAUUUUCACAAUUAAUUAAUUAUUGAAUAUUUUGAGACUAAGUAAUUACAGAAAUUUGAGAACGAAAGGUUGAGAUUUAAAGCAAAAUGGACCAAGUUUAAUAUUUGUUGACUGUUUUUAGUCAACCCCCACAUGCCAAAUUGCAAGACUAUCAUCUUUUAUUGCCUAAAGGGAACUUUUUAAUUGCUUUAUGUGACCUUUGGGGCACUGACUUACCAUUUGAAUAGUUCUAAUUCCAAGGUUUGGAUUCACACUGCACUGGGGAAGCUCUUUUUGUUGGGAGAUACUCCACGAAAAAUUGAACAAAAAGUCGUCGUCGAAUUGACCUACUUUUUGCGCGUAUGAAUUGAAGUCUUUUGAGAAUUGUAAAUAUGGGCUGAAAAAUGAAUGCUUUCUCAACAGAAGGACAAAAUGCAAAAAUCCUCUUUUUUUCUUUAACAUAACUUAACUGAAGUUUUUUUCCGAGUAUUAAGUUGAGCCAAAGUCGACACAUAUGGAAAAACCAUAAAAGAAAACUCUUUUUGUGGCAUAUACAAAUCCAUGCAACUCAAUUUAACAAGCAUAACAAAUUGAAUGUCUGCAAAAUUGACAUGGAAUUGGUCAAUUUAUAGGUAGAGAGGCAUCGAUAACAAAUUUUUACUCCAAUAGUUACAAAUAGUUCUUAAUAUUGGAUCUUUUUGAAUAACACAACGAACAUGAUUUUAACUUUUUUAUACUCUCGAGUACUAUCCAAUUGACGUCACUAAAUAUGUCAUAAGUGUACAAGACACGAUAUGUUCAUUGUUACGUUUUAUAAUUUUCUUUUAGAAGCAAUAAUAUUUUAUAAUCCUAUACCUCUUUUACACUUUUAUUCUCCCAUUAAACACGUAAAUUAAUGGUUUUUGUGGUGGUUUUCACGUUAAAAGACAAAUAUUUCUUCAAACUCAAAUAAAGAAAAAUGAAAAGGAAAACAAGGAAAUAAAGGAAAAAUAAUUAACCAAAAUAGAACCACCCCCACCCUGCAACUCACCCUAAACCCACAAUAGCCACCAUUUAUAAUUAUUCGUUUGAAAUGUGGUUGAUGUACCCAAAAUUAUAUCCUUAUGAACUAAAUAUGAAAUUUUCGAUGUUAGUUUUAGUUAAUUUGCUUAAGGUAAACUAUAAGAAUAUAAAUUGAUAUAUUAUAUGCAGAACUAGUUGACAUAGUUUAAAUUUGAAGCAUAUAACUACAGAAAAUGACCAAAACUGAUAUUAGGAUAAUCUUUUAAAAUAUUGUAAUGGUUAACGCAUUAGACUAACUUAAAAUAUUUUCGUCGUUUAAUUAUAAAUUAUGAUGGUAUGUAGUUAAUGUUUCAAUGAAAUAACAUGCAGUAAUUUUAGCUAAAGAUUACUUGAUGUGAAAAGCAAAAUAAUUAUAUUUAAUAUCUUAUUUUAGUUUAUGAAUUAAUAAUAAAAAGAAAUUUAUUGAUAAGUUUGCAUUUAUUAAUAGUUAAAUAGGUAUUAUUAUACAUCUAGUUCUUGUGAAGUCCACAUAUGAGGUAACUAGGAAGUAGACGCCAUGUAGGCUAUUGUCCUCUACCAUGUGGAGGUCUAUCUUGAUCCUACUCGUUUCGCUUGGUCCGUUUGAUUGUAUGAUUCUAAAUAUCUAUUCAAAAUCCUACACGAUCAAAAGAAGAUUCGGAAAAAUAAUCGUCGAAUAGGUAAUUCUUUUUUAAAGAAACAAUAUCACAAUUAUGACUACUCGACAAAUGACUGUACAACAUGUACUAUUGACCUAAUUUAACCUAAACUCAUCUAUAAAUACAUUCGCUUUGUUCAACGAAAAGAUACACAACAUCGAACUCUAGCCAAAGUUCCGUACAUUUGUCUCUUUCAUAGAAAUUUUUUUCCUCUAAUAUUUUUUGACAAUUGACUUGCUUGUCUGAAUGUAAAUGGUAACCAAAUGUUCGAGUAGGUAGGCAACACGCUCUUAGAGUGAGGCAACAAGGGGAUAUUAAAAACUUUUCAAUCGUUUAAUAUGUAUAUUCAAAGAAUUGUGAAUGCACAAAGUUUAUUUGAUGUUUUAUACUCACUCCAAUGUAAAAUGCUAUGGAGAGUUAUAUAUAUAGUUUUAAUAUGUAUAUUCAAAGAAUUGUGAAUGCACAAAGUUUAUUUGAUGUUUUAUACUCACUCCAAUGUAAAAUGCUAUGGAGAGUUUUGACAAGUGACUCUUUAUGGGCUGCAUUCAUAAGGCAGAAAUAUUUGACUGUAAAUUUUAACAUUAACUCUUACUCACCUGGACUUGGUUCAUCCCCAUGUUGGCAUAAUUUAAGUAAACAUUUUCCUUUCAUUCAUGACCACAGCAGGUGGAUGAUCGGCCAAGGAAAAAUCUCAUUUUGGUAUGCAAACUGGACAGGUUUUGGCUCUUUAUAUGACCAAGGCUGGAUUGCUAAUGAACCAAGGUUACAGUUGAAAGAUGUUUGUGCAAAGGAUGCUUGGAAUACUGAUCUUAUUCAUAAGCUGGGAGGUGACAAUUUGAUGGCUUACAUUCAUACUUUAGCUAUCUGCUUGAAGCAAGUGCCAGACAAGCUAAUUUGGUGUCCGACUCCAACAGGAGAGUUCUCUACUAAUAAGGCUUGGAAUCUUUUACGUGAUACCAAGGACAAACUUCAUCUCUUCAAAUUGAUUUGGAAUAAAUUGCUCCCGGUAAAAAUCUCAAUCUUCUUCUGGUGUGUUUGGUUUGGUAUAUUACCAGCGGAUAGUGUUAUUAGAAGUCGUGGUGUCCCAUUAGUAUCAAAACGUUACUGUUGUUCUCAUACAAAAGUGGAGGACGUUGAGCACCUAUUUCAUACUAGCGAAGCAGCGACUCAUGUUUGGACUCAUUUUGCCAACAUCUUUGGAGCUCGAAGUGUUUUUGCUAGUUCAUGGCGUGCCAUACUUAUUAAUUGGUUGUACCAAUUUGAUGGUUCUUCGCAAUUUCAUCAACUUGCUCUUUUGACCCCUGCGCUAAUUGCUUAGGAGCUUUGGUUUGCACACAAUGAGGCUAGAUUUAAUGAGGGUUUGGUCAAUGGACAUAAAAUUUGCUCCAAAGUGAAACACUGGUUGGUUGAAUUAAAUUCAUUACUGCAACCAUCACGUGCUACUCCCUCUCAUCUUCAUGCUACUCUCCAUUGUCUUGGUAUGGCUCCAACGCCUUUGACAACUAAGGCUCCUCUCCUUGUUCGUUGGUAUCGUCUCCCUUGUGAUAUUCUUAAACUUAACAUUGAUGGUGCUAGCUGUGGCAAUCGUAUUAGAGCUGGUUGUGGUGGGAUGCUUAGGGAUUGGAAAGGAAAAUUUGUUUUUGGCUUUUCCCACUCUCUUGGGGUAGCCACUAACCCAUGGCGGAAACAAUGGCUUUGAAAUUGGGUUUGUAUUAUUGCUAUCUUUUGGGGGUUUCAAAGGUAUGGGUUGAAACUGAUACCCAAAUGGUUUGUCAUUGGUUUAAUGGGAUGGGAAAUAUUCCUUGGUCUCUUCAGCAAGUUUGGGAUGACAUCGUUGAUCUGGCAGACCUCAUCGAUUUAAAUGUCACCCAUGUCUAUGGAGAGGCAAAUUCAGUUGCUGACUCUUUGGCUAAGUUGGGUACAGAUGGACGCUCUUAAUUUUCUUACUAUAUUAGAGACUUCCCCAAGCUACAAAAGGUUGUUUCGUAUUAGACUAUAGUGGUUGUCUUUCCUUUCGUAUUCAUUGAUUGUAUUGUCUUGAGUUUUAUCAUUAUUGCUAUUUGUAACCACGGUCUGCCUCCGCCAUAAGUGCAGGCUUAUUAAUAAAAGUUACAUUUGUUUAAAAAAAAAUUAACUAAUUAUUAAAGAAUAAGGAAAAAUAUAGAAUUUCUUCGCAAGAACAUUUUAGGUAUGUCAACGUCAUUUUAGAAGAGAUAUGAUUCAAAAAAGUGAUGAGAGGAUGAAUAUAAUAUUGAAAAGUAGAAAUGUGGUAGGUUAGUGUAAUUUACUAAGUGCGCGGGAUAUUUUUAAUUUUGCCUCUAUACUUUUUUCCAACUAUUUUUAUUCUUUUAAGUUGUACAUGGAAUAUUUUGUCAUUUACACUGAUUUAAUGGUAUUUCACACGAGACGUUACUAGAAACUAUUUGAGCCAGGAAAUGAAAAUUCGAGGAAUUUAAUGCCACACACAAAAAAAUAAAUAAAUAAAUAAAUAAAGGAAAAAUGACGUUGAAUUUUAAAGUACAAAGAAGGUAUAAGUUGGAAGCAACAACUACAAAUUAUCCAGAAAUAAAAGUUGAAUAACGUAUACAUUUUUACUCAUAGGAGAUAAUGGAGUGCAUUUCUUAGAAAGCAUAAUUUAUUUUUACAUAUUUCAUAAAAUUCAUAAUUCUUGCAUUGACCUAAAUUGAUAAUUUAGCGUGGUUCAUAAUUUGAAUCUAUCUUUUUUUUUCUUUUUUUUUUUUUUUGAAUGUUGGUGGGAGAACAUAAAUUUAUGGGGAAUACCAUGGUGAAUUUAUGAAUAUUAUUUCACAAUAACUUUAAGGGGUACAAGGCACACCAGCUAAUUUACUACAUAAACCGUAUCAGGAUCCCUUCUACAUUCUUCAUAUAUUUCAAUAUAAUAUGGACCAAAUUACGGUAGUUAGGUCAUCUCCAAUCCAUGACAUCAAUUGGUACAACUUUCAUACCAUUUUGUAAAGUUACUUUCAAUCCAUUAUAUCAAAUGCUACACCAAAUGAAUAAUGUUUCAUUUAUUUCCUUAUCUUUUAAUUGUCAAAAAUUAAUUUAUUUCAAGAAUUAUUUAAUAUAAAUUACAGUCUACUGAAAUACUAGAUUAAAAGUUACAUUUAAUAACUAAAAUAUUAAGUUUAUUAAUAAAUAUAAAAGGCUUCACACUUAAUCCGUCAAUUAAAAAAUUAUGACACUUAACACACAAAAUAAAAUUUUUACAUAUAAUAAAAAAACUACAUUAUAAUAAUAAUAAUCAAAUUAAAAUAAAUAAAAUUAAUGUUAAAUCAUUAAGGAUAAAAUUUGUUGUAGUACAAAAUGAAGAGGAAAAUGCGAAUUAUGAAAAACUCUAAAAUUCAUACUAAAUGAAUAGUGUUGCAGCAAAUUUAGUGCAACGUUGUUAAUUGUACCAAUUUGAUGUAAAGAUUUAAGAAUAUUGCUAUUUGUACGUAAUGAUAUUAUACAAUGAUUUACAUAUAGAUGAAGUGUCAAAAAGAGAUUGUGGAAGAUUCCCUUUUUUUUUUUUUUUAAAUUGAAGAAAUUUUGAACCAAUUAUAUCAACUACAUCAUAUAAUGUAAACCAUUUACAUAAAUUAUUAUGUACACAUAUAGCACAACCGAAAAUUUAAUAUUAGGUUUGAGUGAUUUUUGCGAGCUGUAACUGUAGUAUUCUAGACAAGACAAGUGACGAGGCUUUGCUGCACCAAGUCUUUGAAAGUGUUCAAUUAUUUAAUGGAUAAAUAUUUCCAGUUUACUUCGUAACUAAAUCAGCUAAUAAUUAUUUUUAUAAAAAAACCAGAAGAUUUCUAUUUUAAAUUCAUGAAGUGUGAACAUGUAAAGAUUGAAUCAUAUUCACACGCCUAUUUUUUUUUUAAAAAAGGUGCUUUUAUUUGUAUUUACUUUAUAUUUUUAGUACGAUGCAAUUCUUUUAGCUUAAUUAAUCCGUAAGCAUCAAUUAAAUUUAUCAAAAAUGUCAAAACUUUUUAAGGAGAAGACGUCUUCGAGAUGAGGAUUCAGGCUCCGUUAUUAUUUAAAAACUAAAAGUAAUAGAGAAGUCUAAUAUUAAAAAAAGAAUUUAAAAAGAUAAGGAAAAAACACAAUAAUCUUUCCAACGUGGCUGCCCUCACACCACCACCACCAUAAUCCCUCAUCGACCAUUAAUAUUGAUCGAAGAAAUUCACAAGUGCACGAUAUCGUAGAUAAAUAAUAUAAUAAGAAGUAAAAUAUCGUCUUGCAAAGAUAUGUACUUAAUCUAGUUUUGAUUAAUAUGUAUUCAAUUUGAUUAAUAUGAAUUCUAAUUGAAUAGCCAAGUUUUGAUGAUGAAUUUCUAUAACUAAUUAACUAACUAAUCUAAUUGAUGAGCAAUUAUUAAAGCUUUGUUAAACCGGUUUAUAUACGAUCAAAGAUUUUGAAUCCCCAUUUAUUAUUUCAUUUUAUUACAAAGAUCAUGACAAUAGUUAUUUAUUCUUGUUGAUUAAUGUUCCUAUUUCUUUCAUAAUUAAUCUCUUUCGAGUAGACUCAAAUAUAUUCUCAAAUUUGACCCUCAUAUAUCUAUAUGAAAGAUGCGAAUAUGAAAGAAUAUAUUAAAAAUAUUAGAACAACUAUCAAAAUCAUGCAAGGAUAGAAUUAUAUCUCUAUAUUUUAUCGGACCUCACAAGAUUUGUUAUUUGUUGCUAUCUUUCCUAUUAUUUCUCUUGGAUAUAAUAAAAACCACUCAUCAAUCCAAUUAAUGAUCAAUUAAUUGAAAAGCAUUGAAUAUAACAAUUUUUCAAGCUAAACAAAUACUUAACAUCAAAAUAUUGAAAUUAAAUUAAAAUUUCAUAAUAAACUAUUUAUUUAUAUCUUAGCAACUAAAAGUUUAGCCUAACAUUACAGUAUUACAAGAAAUCAUAAAGGAAUAAUCAAACAUCACCCGAAUUCGAAAUAUAUGAAGAAAGAAAAGAGAAGUCACGAAAUUUUGAAUUUCUUCAAUCUUGAUAUGUUGCCUCUUGACUUACCACAAAAGAAUGAUAUUUUUACCUCUCUUGAUUGCAAGAAUUUGUAUAGUGUAUGGUAUGAGAGGUGUCUUUAGUUAAUGGAUGAAGAUUUGUAUUUAAAAGCCAAAAUUAGGUCAAAAUCCGUGUUGAAAUUCGUUGAAUCAUCCAAGGAAAGAGUCUCGCCUAGCUAGACUACAGCCAUGUGAUCGCAAUACAUAAAUAUGUGCAAUCGCAUCGUUAAGCACUUCUAUCAUCUGCUUUUGCCAAAUAGAGCAUUGGGAUCAUAUCACCUUGUUUCAUGCAAUCGCGCCCCUAUAAGUUUAUUAACUUCUCAAUUUGAUCCCGAACUCUUUAUUCAAUCUUAAUCCUUUUUUAAUGUAAGUUUAGUCCUUCAUCUUUUAAUUUUAUUCAAUUUGAUCUCUAUAAUCUGUAGACGCCAUUCUUUGGUUCGAAAUAACUUUUAUACAUUAGUUAGUUCCCAAACUUUAUAAUUCUUCCUUUUUCAUCCUUCUUUGAUCGAUUUUCGCUUUUUUUUUUUUUUUAUCUGAAAUUGGAUGGUAUGACAACCACCUAUAAUGACCAACAAAAACAAGACACAUCACAAUUUGCCUGGACCGUAGACCCAAGUGAGCACUUUAUGUACAUGCCUGACCAUCGAAUCCCAUGAGCGCUCUACGUCCAUGCCCGACCGUUGACCCCAUAAGCGCUUUACGUCCAUGCUCAACCGCCGAUUCCUUUGAGCACUCUGCAUGCAUGCCCGACCAUCGACCUCCAUGAGUGCUUUACGUCUAUGCUAGGCUGUUGACUCCUAUGGGAUCAUCUAACACUAUGCAGCUGAUCAAACACUUAGCCAUAAAAUCGUCAGUAGAUUGGAUGAAGAUCACUUGACGAUGGUCACAGACGCAACCAAUUGUUAGAUAGUUGGAGGAUCCCCACUCAAAACGUGGGGUAGUAGAAGAGGCUAUGUGGGACAUGUAGCACCGUAACCGCCCAACAUUCCCAUGGUUUCAAUCAUCUAUAAAUACACCUAAUGGGAAACAUGUAUGGAAAGAGAAAAACUUUUGCUAUCUGAAUUCCAUUUUUGCUUUCCGUGAUACCGUAUAUUGAUUCUCACACCAAAGAUAAAAUGGGGGAGAAAGUCUCGCCCUCACUUUUCUAGUAACAUUGGUUCAUCGGGGUAGUAGAAACACCUUGUGCCGCCAGAAGGGCACAAAGGUAUUAUUUCACAACUACUUCAUUAUAUUUUUUUCAUCAAAUACAUUCCAAAUUUGAGUUUAUCUUGUAACAAUCGAUACUUAACUAAAUUAAAUAGUAAUCUCAUCAAAUUGACUCCCAAAUAUUCACUUUUAAUGGCUUGAAUAAGUGUAAAAAUGACACCUAUCAAACAUUACCAUCAAACAAAUGUUUAAAACCCAGCCAAGCCCAAGAACCUUUGAGGUCUAGCAAGCCUAAUUGACCGGAUUAGUUUUGCACCGAUAAAAAUUCUGAUAAACCGAUGGAUUAUUUAAAUUCAAUUCACAUUAAACUGGUCGAGGCUAAUAUAAGAUAGUAAAUCUCUGAUUUUAAAAAUUAGCGUUUAGCAAAAUUCAAACCCUUGAUCAUUGCUGAAGGAUAGAGCCAAUAUACCAAUAUAAAUCACCAUUUUAAGUAAAAUAACUAUUUGAUUUGCCCCAAAUUUGUGAAAUAGAAGAGUUCUAUUAAGAUUCUUGCUCGAAAAAAGAGAAAGUUGCCAUAUUUAUUACAAAUCUUUCUCCUGUUAAUGCCUUCACAUGUUGACAAGAAAUAGGAUUUAGUUGCUAGUUUGUUGAUUUCAUAUGUAAUUAAGAAAAGGAAAGCAAUUACCGAUAAAAAUAAAAUAAAAAAUAAAAGAAAAGAAAAGGAGAGUGAUUUUUCUAUAAAUACCGCCUCAAGGCUUCAAUUGUGACAUGUGCUUAGCCCUAAGAUGACGAGAAUUACAUGCACCAAAAUUAAGAGUUUAGAGGGAGAAAAUUGGUGGAGAGAGUGAGAAAAAGUAAGAAGAAAUUGCAUCGUACCGUGAGCAUUCCAGUUAAUUGACCGGAGAGGUUGUGAGAGAGAAAAAAACAUGUAUUCUUUUCAUGUGGUCGACGGUGAUUUGCCAAACCAUAUUAAUUGCUUUUCUCUCUUUAUGGCUUAUUUUGUUUUUUAUUUUCGCGAUGUUUGAUAGAACUAGUCGAAAGUAAACGUGCGUUGCACGUUGUUCUGAAUUGCUUUAUAAGUAUCGAAACAAUAAUAUUUGAAGAUGCCUUAAUUUGAGAGAUAGUUGUAAAAAAAUGAAGAUGUGAAAUGAAUUUUUUAUUUAAUGAGAAUUUCUUUGGGCACUAUAUUUUUUAUAUGAUUAGGGAUAUCCGACUUAACCAAAACCUUUGUAGUUGCCAUAGAAAUUCUUCUCAAAAGUGCAAUGGAUAACUAUCCAUGUGAGAAUACUUGUUGUCGAAGAUAUACUCCGACGUGAGGUAUUGUCUGUCCUUGGGCAUUGUUGAUUGUCAUUGCAAAAUAGAGACGUACAUUAAACUAUUUCCGUAUAAAUUUGAAUGGAUAUCUUUCAUCAUUUGCAGGACUUAAUUGUAUAUGCGGAAUGAAUACGUGUUUGCUAGAGUAUUGUCUAGUAGUUAUCUUUGCAUGUAUAAUAUGAAUACUGAAUUGACGACAAACCAUCUUACUCCCAUUGCAGAGACCAUUUGAAGGAUUUGGGUUUCUCAAAAGCAUUAUUGGACAAUUUAUUCUCAACACUAAUCGAUGAGGUGGAACUAUGUUUGGAAGUAAUAUGAUGAGAAACUCUAGUUGAUAGUAAUUAUUUGUGUCAUCUACUGCUACAUCAUAACUAAGGAACUCUUUAGUUUCACUUAGGGAAAGAUCAAUAACUUUUUCAUUUAUGAGAUCAACGUUUUCAUUUGUAGUGGAUAGAAUUGCUCUUUGUGUUAUAUAUUCCGAUGAUUCUACAUUAUUGGUAGUUCUAAGAAGACAUAGUUGAUUAAAUUGAGCUCUGUGGAGUUGUUGUUAGAAGAAAGUACUAUGUCUUUUGGAAGUGAGAUGAAGUCUUCUCCUGCAGUUUGUUCUAUUCCAUUGCCGACUUUGAUCAAGUAUUUCGUGAAUUGAUGAUCAUUUUGUGCUCUCAUAUUAUGUGUCAAAUGUAGUUUAUGCAUUUUUUCCCAAAGAUACGAUCAUACCAUACUUUCGUUAACUAUUUGUUGUCCUGUUGCUCAUGGGACAACUGGAAGAGCCUGGUGAAAAUAUCUCCCAAAUACCAUUGCUUUAUUCCCAAAUGGUUCAAAAUUGUUCAUGAUAUCUUGAAAAGUCUGUCAACUGCCUCAAUUGUUGCUCUCUUGCCAUUGGAGCUUCAUCCCAUAUAAUGAGUGCUGCUUGUCGAAUAAGUUUGGCUCGACCGCUUUGCUUUGAUUUAUGACAUAUCGAUGAUUCAUUUGUUUGCAACAGAAUGUUGAAUCUCGAAUGAGCUAUUCACCCUCCAGGCAUUAUUGAAGCAGCCACUCUAGAAGUUGCAAUUGCAAGUGCUAUACCCAGCAAUCUUAUUUCAGCAAGUAACGCACGAUAUAUAAUUGUUUUACUAGUUCCUUCUAGUCCAUCAACAAAGAAAACCCCACAUUUUUUUAUUGUUUACUUUAUCAAAUAUGAGAUCAUAGGCUUGUCUUUGAUCAUGAUUUAGAUAAUGUGAUGCUUGUGUUUGGUAUUUCAAUUGAUAUUUCAUCUAAUAUGUCCUUUGUACUGAGAGAAUGUGUAUCCGUGGAGACAUUUCUUAGUUGAAGCAAGUCAUAUGCAUUGAUGUUUUCCCCUAUGGACUGAAGGAAUUAUUGAAUAUCAUGAAGUGUAUACUGAAGUUGUAAUUGUAAAAAAUAUUGAUCUUGUUUUCUGAAAUCUUCAAGCAUAUAUUCAAAGUAAAGAUCCCAUAAAUUUCUAAAAUUAUUAGGUUCACAAUAAAUCAACAAUGUAGUAAAGAAUCUUCUAAAUGCUCGAGGCAUGUGAAAGGCGACUGCUUCAUCUAAGCAUUCAAUGAUACUUCGAUCGGACUCAAGAAGACCUCUUUUUUGGUUUGUUUCUUUAAAAGUCCAAAAUUGACUCCCAUUAACAUUCAUGAGGUCCUCAAAAGACUUAGGUCCCCUUACACGAUUUAGUAAUAAACAAAGAUAAUAUCAUUUCUCUUCAGUUGGAUUUGCUUCUGCAAUGCAUGAUAUCACUUUUUCCUUUUUCCUCUUUGUCCAUACAUGGGCCUGCCUAUUCCAUACGUAGUGUUUUGAAAAUUCUCGAUAUAAGAUCUCAUUGCAUCUUCGUUGUUGUUACACAUUUUGAAAUAUUCAGUCAACAUUGUCCUUGAUAUAUGAUCGAAUUGGAUAACCCUAUUCAGAUCUUGGGUUUCCCAAUAUGAUACCGUUUGUUGAUUAGGGAGGUGAAGUUGUAAGUUGAUGAUAGCAGGUGACAUUUCAUUCAAUUGGAAUUCAUAAAUUCUCCAUAAAGAUUCUUGUGCAGAUACCCAAUGUGAAUCUUGGAAUUCUCGUAUUUCAUUUAUUAUCCUAUUUUCAUCAUCAUGAGAUAUAUAGAUAGCUGCUCUGUCAUGCCCUUUUUAGAUAUAUAAGUAUUUAACAACUUUCAAACCGGAACAAAUCUCUACAUUAAUAUGGCAAUUAUAUCAUAGAAGCAUAUGGGUACAUGAACUGAAGUUUUUAUUUUUUCUAAUUAUGUGGAUUUACGUGAGAUAUUUGGUUAUGAAAAUGAAAAAAUAAUGCUGCUGUAUAUCACAUUUGUAAUUGCACAUAUAUUCAAUGUAGGUAAAUGUAUUCAAUAUAUGAUUAUGAUUAUGUGUGCAUGCAUGCAUUUGUGUUAAUGUUUCAGUAUAUUUUCUGGAUAAGAAAUGGAUUACAUGAACUUAAAUAAUUUAUUAUAGCUCUGAAAUAUAUAAAGUGUAUAUGAACUUGAAGACUUGAUGUGAAAUUUAAUAUAUCUAUAAAUUAAUUAAUUAAUUAAUGUUUAUUAUUAUACAUAUAAUUGAAUUGUUGUACUUCUAUAGUAAUUGAAUAGCCUCAAGUUAUACACCAUUUUGUCUAAAUAAUUUUUCCAAGAUCAAAUCUAUUUAUUGAAUGUAUAAUUCUGUGCAUGCAUUUAGGUAAAUGUAGUCAUCAUAUAAUUAUCAUUGUACGUGUGCAUGCAUGCAUUUCCGUAAAUUCUCAGGCAUCAUUUUACUCUGGUUUUUUUAUUUUAUUGAUUCAUGCCCAGAAGUUGUAAUAUAAAUCCAGAGUAUAGAAGUUUAGAGAAAGAGGAUUUACUUAUUCUAAAUAGCUUUUCGAAAUGUUGAGAGAGUGAGCUGGUUUUCCUCAGAAUUCUCAUUUUGGAUGGAUUUUAUGGGAAUUGCUUAUUUCAAUAAUAAGUGGAUCAAUUUUGGUUUCACAAGAAGACAACACCAUUAAUGUACAAAAAUUUAUUCCUCAAGUUUAAGAUUAAGAUUAAUCAUUAAUGUGAGGUCUAAAUUAAUUCUCCAAACUACCGUGCAUUUAUUUUAUUUUGUUUUCGAGAAUUAUUCUAUUAAUCUAUGGUUUAAAGUCAUUCUUGAAGUUCAUGAUUACAUUAUUUUGUCUAAGUUAAUUUUCCAAGAUUAUGUGUAUAUAUAUAGCAUGCGUGUCCAGUUUCUUUUGUAAUAAUAAUUGUGAAGAUGAAUAUUAAUUAAAAUGCUUAUCACUUUCAAGAUUAGUCUCUAAUGUGAGAUCUAAAAUAAAUCUCCAAAGUCUCGUUCAUUUAUUUUACUUUUUCCCCACAAUUUUAACGGUACAGCAAUUUUUUUUUUUUUUAAAUAUAACAUAAACUUUCUCAUAUUAAAUUAUAAACAAUAAAAUAAUAGGUGUGUUUUGUGUCGAUGAUUCGAACAAAAAUAAUAAUAUGUGUCUCUUAAAUGAUAAGAUAACAGGUAUGAUUUGAGACGAUGUUUCGAACAAAAAAUACUAAUAUGUGUUUCUCUAAUCUAAAUUAAUAUUCAAUCUUCUAUUUUUAGUUUCUUGCUCGGAUGGCUUCCUUCAUUUAUCUUCUUUGCAUCCACCUUGUAAACUUCUUCGACAAUCAAUUUCUUCCAUGUUCUUUCUUCUCUUUUCUUCACAUCCAUCUUCACCAAGAAUUUGAACUCUAUCUUCCGACGAAAUUAGUUUUUUGUAAUAUUUACACAAUUCCUUUUUGUUGAUCUGAGAAGAAAAUACCAAUAUAUGUUUUUACAAAGAUGGGUUAGUCGCCUAAUUUUAGUUAGAAGCAAUAUAAUAUGUUGAAAACACAAAAUCUAAAUUAUAUUUUUACCUUUAAAAGAGCCUCAGCAUAUUCAAUCACAGUACUAACUAUGAAAGAUUCGGCGGCAUCAAAGAUUGUGAUGUAAACUUCUUGAUUACCAUCUGAAACUAUUAUCGUCAACAAAUACUUUCUAGUAAAUGCUAUGUCCUUAAUUUCACAUAUUGUACAUGUGACAGUUUUUUUAUCUUCCUAUGGGUAAACCAUUGCACCACACCCAUUACAUGUUUCAUACCAUGGAUUGUUCUUGUUUCGAACCUUUAGAAUCUUGCCUAUAAAAGCACAAUACAAUUUAGUCACACUAUUUGUAAUAAUAUCAUCUAAUUUUACGAUACCAACAUCCAUCAUCCUCUUUGUAGAUCCCAAUAGUUUGUACAAUCCUCCACCACAUAGCAGUUUUUUAGUGUUGUGUAAAAAAAAGGACAAAAUAAAUAAUCUUUCAGCUAUAUGACAGACUUAGUAGUAAUGUAAAUAUAAUCAUCAUGACUAAAUAAACCAUGCUCACCUAUAUUUAAUAGCAUUAGUUUCUUCAAGUUGUGGAUUGAUCUCAAUGAUACUAAUAUUUGAAGUGGAGAUGUUUAGUUCAUCUGUUUGAUAUAUGUUAGUUAGAACACAGCAUAUAAAAUAAUUACAAAGUAUCACCUUCACAGUAACUUGCUUUAGAUUGUUGAUUUUAGCAUAUGACUCUUUUUAAUAUGAUAAUAAAAUAAUUACAAAGUAUCACCUUCACAGUAACUUGCUUUAGAUUGUUGAUUUUAGCAUACGGCUCUUUUUAAUAUUUACAAAGUAUCACCUUCACAGUAACUUGCUUUAGAUUGUUGAUUUUAGCAUACGGCUCUUUUUAAUAUGAUAAUAAAAUAAUUACAAAGUAUCACCUUCACAGUAACUUGCUUUCACAUUCAAAGCUGUAAUAAAUAACAUUUCAUAAACAUUUUCUUCCAUAAACUUUCCUUGGUUGUCAGCCAAAUCUCCCCACAAAUAUAAUUUCAUUGUAUUACACCAGUACUAAGAACAAAACUGUUGAGUAAAUAAUAUUACAAAGUUUAUCUUCUUUUUAUUUGAUUAAAAAAAUUGUUUGAUUUUAUGGAUGAUGUUUACCCACUGUCUAGGAGAAUCACUUCCCAUUUCUUCAUUGUUCUUUCACUUGGCCUCUUAACGUUGAUGAUGAAUGCAGGUUUUACUUUGACUACCAAUCCUAUAAUAUCUGGAAACAAAAAGGAAAAAAAAUUCAGAAAGAAUAUAAUUACAAUCAUGAUAUCUCUGCUAGCAAAAUUUGGUACUUCAUUGAAUUGAAGAAAAAAAGUUUGAUAUCUUAUAGCAUAUGCGUUGUUGAAUCUCUUCUACUUUCGUUGUAGUUGUGAAAGACAAUUCGAUUUCAUCAUUCACAUUUCGGUACUUCCCAUUGACAGGUCUUACGUUUCCAUUUCAUCUAAUGUAAGACUUCCCCUUUUCAAUUAUAGCAUUGAGUUUUUGAACUGCAUCAUUGAAUAACAUGGCUUGAAUUUUUUAUCACUAUAGAGAAAUCACUAGUUACUUCUAAUAUACAUGAUUGAAUAAACUCAAACAUGAAUAUACCGCAUAAUCAUUACUCCAUUACCAUCAAAACUAACUUCAAAUAAUCUAGCGUAGCAUAAAUAUUCGGUACAUAUCAAGAGCAAAUAUUUAUUCACUACAAUCUAAGAUGUCAGAUUGGUACCAGAACCAAAGUCAUCAAAUUAGUAAAAUAAAAGUUUUUUUUUCCCUUUUUUUCCUUCCUCUGAUCUCCGCAUCAUCUGAAAUUCUCACUAUCAAUUUUACUAUACAAAUAUAAAAGUAAAAAACAUAAGAUCCUAUAAGAUAAAUUAAAGUAUUCAUGAUAAAGCUAAAGAACAUAAUAUCCUAUAAGAUAAAUUAAAGUAUUCAUGAUAAAGCUAAAGAACAUAAUAUCCUAGAAGAUAAAUUAAAGUAUUCAUGAUAAAGCUAAAGACUUUUAGAAACACGUAAAGAUAUGCAGGAAAUGAAAUAUUUAUGCCAUGUCAGUAUUUGAAUCUCGAAGAUGAAUUCAGAAUUAUUAAAUAUAAGGGUCAUCGUAGUAGAUAUAUCACCUCCUUGUCAAUUAGGAUGAUCUUCAAAAGAUCAAAUUUUCCAAUAUUGUUGGAAUAAGAUUCGACUAAACCCUUUCAAACUACCGUCACUUUAAUGGACCAUUCAUUUUCAUACACCAAUAAAUGUCUUAUAGCCUUUGAUUCCAUGAUGGGGGAGAGCAAAAUAUUUGAUGAUUUGAUUGAAAUAUAGCAACAACCAAUUUGUGAAAAUAAUUUUAAUAGUUGAGAGAUUAGUUUAUUUAUGUCUAAUACUCAUGAUAACAAUCAAAUUCAUUCAUGAAUAUGAAAUCUAAUUAAUUUCAAAUGAUGCUGCUAUGACUGGCACAUAUUAUACAAUGUAUGAUUAUCACUUUAUGUGUGCAUGCAUGCAUUUAGGUAAAUGUAUUCAACAUAUAAUUACCACUAUAUGUGUCCAUGCACGCAUUUACGUAGACGCUCUAGUAAGAAUUGGAUAUACAAUGUAUAAUUAUCACUUUAUCUUUCAAUUUCUAAAUCUUUAACUGAGUGUCAUAGGACUCCUUGGCUUCUGAAAUCAUCAACCUAGCAACCUUGAAUUUAUCCUUGACCUCCUUUUCAAAUAGCCUCAACACGUCAUCAUAAUUAUUAUACAUGCAUGUAAAUAAAUAAUUGAAUCGUAAUAGGGCAUGUAAGUAGUAGUGCUAGAAUUGUCUAAAAAAUAAUUCUCCCUUCAUGUGAUAUUUAGUAUAUUAUAGAUUUUUGUCCCCAACAACUUGCAUAAUAGUUAUGUAGGGAAUCAUCAAUUUUGCUAAAUCAAUUAUAUGAUUUACUUUUGUUUCAGUUGAGAAGAAAACCGGGAAAUUUUUCUUUCAGGUGAAAAGAAAAAUCAAAUAGAAAAUAUUUCGUUUACGUAGAAGAAAUAAAUGGGGAUAAUUUCUUACCGUACUUGUUGGUCCCAAUUGAUCUUUCAACAAUUAAUUUUAACCACAAAUUUCAUAAGAUCCACAAUUUUUUCAACCACAUUUCAUCAAUUUUUAUCAACAUCUACUAAAAUACACCAAACAAGGGCUUAGUUCGUUCGUAAUAUUAUUGUCCAAUGAGAAAAAGUUCUUCAACAAUUUGACGUGUAAAUCGACAUUGAAUACAUGUAAUACAACCGACAGCACAUUAUAAGUAUGUUACAUUGUCGAUAUAAAAAUCAUCAACCAAGUUAAAAUUGUAUGUUAUUUCGGUAAUAAGUACCAAAACAAGGCAAGGUGUUCGCAGAGCAUAGAAUUUAGUUAAAUGGAACAUCAAAUCACCUACAUUUUUCUUGCCCAAAAGGAAACAAUGCGCUUGUAAAUAAUUUACAGACCUUUCACAAUUAACCAUAUAAGCUAUGCGUUGACUAUUUUAGCUUUACACAUUCUCUUUCUUUCCGGUCUAUUCUUGCUUUCAAAAGUAAAACGUAAUAUCUGCGAGAAAUACAAAAUUGCAGAUUUAUAGGGUAAAAAUCAAAAGAAUGUCUCUUAACUCCCACUAGACGGCCUACUGCAGCAUAUACUCGCUCGCUGAUGCACUGCAACUUGUAUAGGACAAGUUCAAAUCCGAUCCCUACAGAAGAUAGCUUUUAGAAGCCCAAUGCUUAAACUCACGCGAUGAACUCACCAUUGAAGAUGCAAAGAGAUAAGAAGAACAUCACUUUCGCUUAUUACUCAAGGUAAGUUACUGGGUUUAAAACAAAUUCACAACGAGUGAAGAUGAAGCUGAAUCCAUGAGUAGUAGUAGUAGUACAAUAUGAGAAGUUUCAUACUUCUUGACAUUUUAUUUCAAGCUCCACUGGUACAUUUUUUAGCACGGGACACGUAUCCGAAUUGAUAUCAUAUAAAAUCCUCAAAAGCUUAAAAUUAUUGGGCAGAUUAGCUCUUUCACAACUCAUAAUGUCUCAAAUUUGUAUGUUUACGAGAAUUGAUAAAUACCCUUUGAUGUAUCAGUGUUGGUUAUUCACCGUCUGUUUCUAUGGCAUGUAACAAUCAAAUAAUUAUAAUAACUAUUGAGUCUUUUUCACAAAACAAGGGAUAGUUAAAGAUUGGAGAACUUUUCUAUCAUUGUCCAUAAAUUAAGGAUAUCAAACCAAUUAUAUGCUCCUAUAAAACAAAACAAAACCAAAAAAAAAAAAAAGAGAGUAAGUAAUGUUCUCUUCUCUUUACACUAAUAGCAGUACAGGACUCGUGAUUGUCUUCCUGAUCAUUCGGCAUCAAGAUGAUGGAAUUCAAUUAUAGCACCGGAGUUUACCAACCCCAGGAUAAAUUAAAUAAGUUGUUAGAAUUCCAACAAGAGAUAGGAGUUGCAUCAACUUUGGAAGAAAUUAUGUACAAUCGAGAUAACUAUGCAACGUGUGCAUGCCACCACGAGUGAUGCUUAAUGAAAAGCUGCAGGAGUACAAUUUGAAUUUAGAUGGCCUACAAAGAAACAGCUGCAGGGCUUCCAUCCAAACAAGCAAAUUUAGUCUUGAGGGUUUUAAGAUACAAGCAUUAUUUUGCAACCACCUAUUUAUGUUUAAAUAAAUAGUGUAUUUGACAAUUACUCUCCCUGUCCCAUGCUAUUCUUCUAGAUCACUAUUUCAAUUUUUCCUAAAAGUUAUUUUGGUUACUAAAUUGAGAUUCUAGAUUCUGAUUAUACACCUUGUCAUGUUAUAGUGGGAUAAGGCUUAACUGAAGAUAAGAAAUAAACUACCCACUGCAAUAUUAAAUGGAAGUUCAACUUGGGGCAGACUUGAAUCGUCAAAAUUGACUUCUCUUCAGAAUUUGACCACUUCUACGCUCAUAUACUUAGACCCACUCAUACACAAGCUAAGGUUAAUAGGGGUAAAAGAUUUCAUGCAAUCAGAUUUCAUAACUUUUGACAGCACAAGAGGGCCAAUAAAUAAUUUAAUAAGCAUAAUUCUAAGACCACAUAUGUAUAGUGAUAAAAAAUUACUUAAAAGCUAUUUAUUAUACUUAAAAGCUAAACCUGACUAGUCAGAAAUAUUGAGUAAAUUUGUAAUAGUUCAACCUACGAGUUUGUAUAGGUCAUUUAACUCUUUUCUCUUGACAUAUUUGCCCUCAACCUUAAGUUUGAAGAACUUCUAGAAGCAUGGUGUCUUCAUCCUAUCAAACUUUUUAGCUCCGUAAUCGGCAAUCUGAAGCAAGUAAAUGAUUUUCAUCUAUUUGACCUUUGCAAUAAUAUAUGCGACUAUUUGUUAAAAGAGGUCAUUACCUAAUUUUGGAACCGCCGAAGAGCAAAUUUGAUAGAUAAUAUUAAAUAGUAUAGCAUACCAAUUUAUUUUUUUAUUUUUUAUUUUUAUUUUCAAUAUUAAUAAUUACUCUACUGAAUAGGCGAAUACGGUCAUUGCUUCCAAACAAUUCAUAAUUCUUCACCCAUUUAUAUGGAGGAAAGAUCGAAUCAUAAAAUCAUGAUUUUAUAACCAUGGCCAAAAAGUGAUCUACUAUUGUAACUUGAGGGGAUGAUACUUACAACCCUAAUUCUUAGCUAGAUUUAGGAUGUAAAGUGGGACGAGCAAAGCUAGAUUUUUCACGUGUGAGUCACUCGUCGGCUCUAACAAGAGCCGGGAAACAAAACAUUAAAACUGUGCAAGCAUUAACAUUCCUAGCUAGAUUCCAGUUCUCUAUAGGAUGAAGGAUGGGCCCUUUUUCGCUUCUUCAUGCUUUUCAUAAUUAUCUAUGUAUUGAACUUUAAUGAUUUAUAAUUAUAGCAUUUAUUAAAUGUAUAUAACUAUUUGUGAUAUAACAUGAUUUCUUUUAUUGCAAAUAGAAAUCACCACAAACUCCAAAAGCUCAAUUAAUUAAAGAUCUAGUACAUGAAUAUUUUUUUUGCUUUUUGUUAGAUUAACUACUAUUUAUACCUUGAACUGCACAAAUCUUUUUCACUAGAUUUAAUUUGACUGAUCUCUAUAUGGCAGCCUUAAAAUGAACAAGUUGAUUCAUACCACGGCUUAUUUCGCCAUGCUCUUGAGAUUUUUUUUUUUAUUUAUCACUUAAAAUCAUUGAAAAGCACAAAAAUUACAAAAAAUCUACCCUAUACAAGCUCAAAUAACAUGUGGUCGCACUUCUUGAUUGCGCCAAUCAACUGUGGUAGAAGCACCAUCCCCUAUCCCUGAAAAUAUGCAUCGUACAACUUAUUAUUCCUUUGAGUAUCGUAGCUCGUUAUUUCACCAUCAAUAAUCUUCAGUCCAGUCAUGAUGGCAAAACCCAAGUAUAGAGAAAUUAAUGACCUUGCCUUCGAGGUCGAAGUAGAGUGCAUCGCCAUUGACUUACCUAAGCAGUUGACAUAGUAAUGCAUCAAUGAUAUGUCUAGAAUACUUCACCUUUCUCAACUGAUACAGGGGCCACAUGAAGGACUUGCGCAGUAUAUCUCCAUGCUGGGUUAUCGAGCAACUCCAAUAUAGUAAUAAAACUGUCAAAAAUACUGUUUCAAGUACAUUUACCUGCCAUUUGUCUCAACUUAGCAUCGAGAUGGUACUCCAUCCUAAAAAAAUUCAAAUGUUAGAACAUUUUGAUAGAAAUAAUGGAAUAAAGCAUAAUUUUAGAAAUUUAAACGAACUGAAUUUUAACUAUUGUAAUCAAGAAAUAGAUUCAUUUUACAUCGAUACUAAUAAAAAAAGAAAUGAUUUAAUAAAUUAAAGGGGAAAAAAUAAGAAUUACAGAUAAAAAUAAAAAAAUUAAGUGAAUUAAAUAUACAAAAAAUUUAAAAUUAAAGAAAUAAAUAACAAAAAUAAUAAAAAUUAAAGAUCUAAUAUUAAAAAGUUGAAUGGAAAAAAAAAUUAAAUUAUGACAAAUAGAAAACAAUUAAGAAAUUUUUUUAAAAAAGAAGAAAAUAAUAAUAAAUUACAUUAAAUAAAAAUUAAAGACCAACAUAGAAAAGGAAAAAUAAAUUAAACAAAUUUUUAAAAUAUAAAAAUUAAAGCAUGAGUAUUAAAAAAAUCAAAAUGAAAAAAAAAUUAUAUAAAGAAGAAAAAAAUUAAGAAAUUUAAAAAUUAUUACAAAAAAAUUAAAUGAAAGGAAAUUAUAAAAUUAUAUAAAGGAUAUAAAUAUUAUUUAUUUAAAAUCGAAAAAUUAAACUUUAUCAUAAAGAAAAGAAUUAAAAAAUAUUCAAUUGAAAAAUAUUUAUUUAUAAUAUGAAGCAAACAAUUAAGAAAUUUUAAAACUAUUACCAAAAAUGUAAUAAUAAAACAAAAAAAAUAGACAAAAAGAAAUUAUAAAAAUUAAAUAAAGAAUAUGAAUAUUAUUUAAAAUUAAAUUAUCAUAAAGACAAAAAUACUAAUAAACAAUAAAAAAUCAAGAAAAAAAUAAAAAUUGGCCCAAAAAAAUUGGGUUUGCCCAAUUGAAUAUUAAACAAUCGGGUUCGACGAUUGUUAACAGUCGCUUUUUCCAUUUUUAGCCAAAAAUGAGGGGAUCACUGCCCCCCAAAAAAUCACUUAAAUCUAGUCUACACUCAAGCAUCUAUCUAAAUACUAAACAAUAAACUAAAUAGAUGUUAAAUUUAAUCUUUACUAUAUAUGAAAAAUCAAUUUCAUAAUCACAAAACUACCAUUGUUGAAGAUAACUUUGCUCAAUGACUGGGUUGUGUGGUAGCCGAAGCUGGGUUGACUGUGAGGAUGGUGUGUUCAACUGGAUCCCAAUUUAGUUUUUUCUUUUCCCUCCCUACUGUUUGCACAAGAUGAAGUGAGGGUAUUUUUUUGUUUUUGAUCUUUCACCUCAUAAUUUAACUUUUUACUCUUUUUUUAAUGGUCAAAGGCUUUAUUAGAAAUAUGCCUAGGUCAACCAGACAUUUCCAUGUAUUUCCUCGAUUAUAGUAUCACCACAAUAAAUGUUUGGUACACCACAAAAUUUCUUAUCUAUUUAAAUAAUUUUUGAGUAAAGUGACAUAAAUAUCAUAUAUUAUUAGCUUAUAUAUUCAUUCAUUCUGGUUAGGAGUAUGACUCAAAUAGGAGUCUUUUGAAAAGGCAUAUUCGAUUUGGACUAGGAGAAUAUUAACUUAGGGCUUAAUGAAACAAAAUCCUGUUGAAAUUGGGUCUCCUAAUAGUAAUGUAUUUUCUUGUCUUUUACGACUUUUCUAGGAUUGGCCUAUAAAUACGAGGCUCCUUUGGUCAAUUUCUAGAGAGUAACAUAGAAGCAGUAUGCUAUUCUAUCUUGUAUUCUCCAUACUAUUAAAUUAAUAAACAUCGUUCCUCUGUGUUUACCCCUUGUUUUCUUUUUUUACAAAUUCAAUCUUAUGUUUUCGUGGUACGAUCUAGUAUACUUCAAUAUUGUCAUUAAAUCUCGUUCUUUAAAAUUCGAUUUGGAAUCAAUGUGUGUUAUUGGAGCUUUCGCGCCCAAUAGGUGGCAUCAAAGCGAGGUUGUUGAUUUUCUGUGGAUUGGUUGAGAUUCUUUCAAGAUGGCUGGGUUGAAGUAUGAUGUUCCGUAGAUAGAUCGCAAUACAAGGUUCUCGUUGUGGCAAGUAAAGAUGAGGACUAUUUUGACAUAGUUGGAUUUGGAUGAUGCGUUGCUGGGUAUUGAGAGGAUGCCGGCUGGUUGGACAACGGAGGAGAAACAAUGAAAGGAUCGAAAGGCUAUUUCAUUGAUUCAUCUUCAUCUGUCCAACAAUAUUCUGCAUGAUGUCUUGAAGGAGAAAACAGCGGCUGCUUUGUGGUUGAAAUUGGAACAGUUGUGUAUGAUUAAGAGUCUUAUAAGUAAACUAGCUCUCAAUCAAAAGCUGCAUUCACAUCGCAUGGCAGAAGAAGGGUCGUUGGAAGACCAUGUUGCCAUGUUCAAGGAAAUAGUUGCAGAUCUGGAGACGUUGGAGGUUAAGUACGAUGAAGAGGAUCUUGCCUUGAUCCUGUUGUGUUCGCUGCCUGGAUCUUACGCGUCAUUUCGGGAUAUUAUCAUAUAUAGUCGAGAUACUUUAACUAUAGAAGAUGUCUAUGAUGCUUGGCACUCAAAGGAGAAAAUGAAGUAUUUGGUUGAAACUACAUCAAGGGAUGGGGAAGCUAUUGUAUCUUAAGGUGGUCGACAAAGAUGCAGAUCGAGAGUUAGAUUUAACAAUGUGACCUACUACUACUGCAAAAGGAAGGGACAUAGUCGGAAGGAUUGCGAUAUGUUGCAGGCUAAAGGUGAUUUAACUGUAAAUCGUGGGGUGCAACCUUUGAAUUCAGAUGAAACCAAUGUAGUUGAGAAUUGAUCAGGUAAUGAAGAGGUGAUGUUGAUCGUGGUAUCUGAUGUGGAGUCUAGGCCUAACGAGGAAUGGAUUCUUGAUUCAGCAUGUUCGCACCAUAUGUGUUCCGAUAGGAAUUUAUUUCAAAAACAUGAAAAACAUGAGGUUGUUCAGCAAUGUGGGGUUGUAAUGGGAAACAACCAAUUUUGUCGUAUUGCUUGGAUCAGUGAAGUCAGAUUGAAGCUGCAGGUUGGAACAUUUAGAACAAUUGAUCAAGUUCCACAUGUUCCUGACCUGAAAAGGAAUCUCAUUUCGUUAAGUACCUUGGAUGCAAAAGGGUAUAAAUUCUCUGGAAGAGGUGGAGUCUUGAAGGUCCGAAAGGGAAUCCGAGUUGUACUAGAGGGAUGAAAAAAAAUCCCAAUUGUACAUUUUGUAGGGGAGUACAGAACCAGUUAAGAGGAGACAUUUGGACAAGUUUAGUACCGUGGUGAAAGUUCAGUUUUGGUACAGUACUUCUUGUGUUAGGCCCUGAGUCGAUUCAGAAUAUUGCUAGGGAGAGCGUUGGUGAUUCCGCUUUGCCACCAAUUUCAGCAAAUAUACUGUGUUCAGUUACUGGGGUAGGACUCAUCAAGCAUAGGUAUUGUGGUGUUAGUAAUGUCUGGGAUGCUUCUAGAGACGUUGAAGGCGACAGUUCCAGCAAGGGCCCUUUUAAUCAAGUAUCUGGUUUGGUUCUUGCUACAGGGCAUGGUUCGGCCCUUUGUGAUCAGCAUUAAUUCCUUGGUGGAAUUGGAAACCCUAGGGAUUGGGUUCGAGUGUCGAUUGUGGACGCCAGGCAGAGGAUGAGUGUUUAGUUUAUAUGGAGUGGUUACUGUGUUGAGGAGAUUCGGCCAGUUAAUUUCGAUGCAGAUGAAUUUGAAAUCUAGAAGUUUCGUUCGUAGCACCGAAAUUUAAGUCAAGAUGGAGAUUGUUAGGAGUAUGACUCAAAUAGUAGUCUUUUGAAGAGGCGUAUUUGACUUGGACUAGGAAAAUAUUAACCUAGGGUUUAAGGAAACUAAGUUGAAUAAGGAAACAAAAUCCUAUUGAAAUUGGGUCUCCUAAUUAUAAUAUAUUUUCUUGUCUUUUAGGACUCUUCUAAAGUUGGCCUAUAAAUACGAGGCUCCUCUGGUUAGUUUGUAGAGAGUAACAUAGAAGCAGUAUUGUUAGUCCGUCUUGUAUUCUCCAUACUGUUGAAUUAAUAAACAUUGUUCCUCUACGUUUAACUUUUGUGUUCUUUCUUUAUAAAUUCAAUCUUGUGUUUUCGUGGUGUGAUAUAGUAUACUUAAAUAUUGUCAUUAAAUCUCAUUCUUUAUAAUUCGAUUUGGAAUCAACGUGUGUUAUUGGAGCUUCCGCGUCCAACAAUUCUCAGGUUUGCUUUGAUGCAACAACAGGAACAAGUGAUGUUGAUAAAUGAAUUGAAGGAGAAAAGGAUACAUUUGUUCCAUAGAAAUAAAAGGAGUACAGGCACAUUUUUAUAUACAAGAAAUUACAUAACUAAUUUACAUGAAAAUAUUUAACUGAACAAACUCCGUUAGUGAUAUCUAUUUUUUUGUUCGGAUUUGAUUCACAUAUUUCAAUAAGAAGUAACCUUUUUUUAUUAAAUGAGCAAGUAGUAACUUAGAAUAAAAUUUGGUGGGCAAUUAUUAAUUAACUCUAAAACAUACAUAAUUCUAAAAUACGUAAAGAAACAAUCGAUAAUUCUAAAAUACGUAAGGGAACAAUCGAUAGAGAAUAUGAACUUGCAUGGUGAAAAACCUAAAAGAAAAACCGGAAUUGGUAUUGGCUUUUGUGAAUUCAGAGGGCUUUUCUCUUCUUAAAUUGUGAGAGAGAGGGGAGAGAAUAUAAGAAACGUAAGCUAAAAGUGAGUCAACUUUUUGGAAAGCUUAGAAUGCGUUUGAUUUGCUAUUUUUAGUUUUUAAUUUUGUAAUACAUUUGGUAUAUCUGAAAAUACAAUUUUGAAAAUAAGGACAAAAUUAUAACAUAAAAUUCAAAACACAUUUUCCAUGUUUUGUCUGUUUUCAGUGAAAAUUAAAAGAUAUAAAAUUCUAACAAAUAAAAUUUUAUAUUUUAAAAAAUAUAAAAUAAAUAAUUUCUAAAAUUUAAAGUUAAAAGUUGAAAAAUAAAAUUGAAAAAAAUAAUUUUUUUUAAGCACUUAAUGAUUAUUUACAUAAAAAUUAAAAAAAAUUAAGUGAACACAUAUAAAAAUAUUCUUAGUCUACAUCAUUAAUCUUUAUUUUUAUUUUCUAUAUGUUAAAAUCAAUUUAUUAUUUAUUUUUAUUUUACUAUUAUAGCGAGACAAAACAUUGUAAGAUUCACCAACUUUAAAAUGUAUAUGUUACAUGAUAAUAAAAUGUCAUAAAUAAUUUUUCAAAAUUCAAAUCAAAUGUGUUUCUAGUUUUUUAUUUUGAAAAUUAAUUUUUCAAAAUGACAAACCAAAUGCGGUUUUAGUAAUUUUAAAAUAGACCCUCAAAACAAAUAACAGAAAAAUGAACUCAAAACUAAAAUACAAACCACUCUCAUGGAUGCAAAUUAUUCCUACGUUAUAUAAUUUUUUGUUAUUUCCCUUUUCUUCUUUGUUUGGCUAAGCUAAAAAAUUUUUAAAAAUUAAAUAAAAAUAAACGGAGGGUAAAAAAUAUUUUAAGCAAUAAUAUUAUAAAAGUUAUUUUAUCCUUGAGUAAAAAGAUCGAAGGCCUAUUCUUAGUUUAACCGUUCCAUCAAAAUCAUAAAAUCCACCACUUAUCGGCCUAUAUGCUCGAUCAACUCGAUGCAGCUGGGAUGUUUACCCCCAUACAAUCCAUCAGACUGACAAUUUUUUUCUUUCACUUUAUUUUGCUUACCCACACUAGAUUUAUAAAAUUAAUUAUAGGGUUACAAUAUGAAACAGUGCCAUUCCUCGUCCAUAAAGAGAUAUUUACAGAAUAUGAAUAUAAAUAAUUGUAUUUCUAUUUAGUUGAUAAUAGGGUUAACAUAUAUACAAAUGACAUUGUUAUUAAAGAUGCUAUAAUAUUGUCCAAAACUUCGUCCUUGCUCCUUUAUUUCCUUGUAAAUGCAGUCAUUUUUGCCAUUGGUUUUUAACAUAAAACAUUUUAUUUAAAGAUUACCAUAUGAGCUAAAUAGACGAUAUUUAAAAGCAUGUCCAUUGUAGGAUGACGUCCCACAAAAAAAUGGACAAUGUCUAGGUAAUGAUCUAGAUGCAGAGGCUUUGUUAAACAUUCUCGCUCAGCAAUUUAAUUGAUUAUGUUUCUCAUUUUAUUUUUUUUUAUAUAUAUCACAAUUUCUUUCCCUUUCACUCUAUUUUAUUAUUUGUAUUUUAAUGUUGAUAAAGGACAUUAUAUAUGCUAAAAUAUUGAAAUAUAGAUGAAACUCAUUAGAGAACAAUUAUAAACUUGAUGUCUAUUGUUAGAUAUCAAUUUCAAUUUUCAUAUCUACUAAAAAUCCAUAUAUUCAAAUGUCACAUGGGUCGCAAAUCACGAAAUGCAUUUAAGAUGCCAGAGUCAGUUCCAGUUGUCUCAAAUGGCUGAUGAGAUCCAGUAACUUAUUUUAACUUUAAAAUCAACUCAAUUAAUAGAGAAUAAUUAAAAAGGAGAAAGUAAACUGUAUAGAAGAUACGAUUAAAUAAUGAAAUACCUAAGCAUUAAUAUUUUUGUUCAUUUCUAGAACUGAAAAAUAAAAUAAAAUAUGGGAAAUCAACUCCUAGGCAAUAAUUAAAGACAGGUUAUAUUACCACCACAGUAAAUGGUACACCACAUUUUUCUUAUUUAUUUAAAUAAUAAUGAGUAAAAUAACAUAAAUAUUAUAUAUUAUUAGCUUAUAUAUUUAUUCAUUCCAUCACCAUCAUCCAUACACAUUGCAUUUUCAUUAUAAUAUACUAACGAUUAAUAGAUAUUAUUUUGCAAACAAUCUAAUGUAGUGUAUUUAGAUUACCUGUAAAUCUCAUUAGAAAUCUACAAAUAGGCUAGCUAAAACUUUGUUCAAACUUAAUUCAUUUUACUUAUAGUCAAUUGAUAUGGAAAGUUUCCUCAGCAAAAUUAUUUGAAUAUGAGUUUGCGUUCAACUUGUUCAAUUCAAACUCAUUCAAUAAGUCGUUAAUUUAUGAAACAAUUGAAAUCCGUAGUGAACACUGAAAUCCAAUCAAACUUUAAAUGACAAAUGAAAAAUUGAUGAAAAAGAAGCUGAACCUUUCCAGAUAAAACUCUACUUUCCAAAGAGUUCCAGUUGACUCAAUAACUCUUUAUAAAAUUGAUUAUUUUCUGCCAUAUACAUGUUCCUUAACAGAUUAAAAUUCAAACUAUAUGAACAUAAAUUUAUUUAAGCAACUAAAUUAAUUAUUUUUAUGCCAUAAUUAUAAUUCCACCUCAAGAUGGAUAUGAAGCUAACAAGGGCGCGGGUAUGCACGAAGAAUUCCUCCAUGCUCUUGCAUGCAAUUUAAGAAUUUCUCUGGCUCUCUCCUUUGUCUUUGAUCCUCGAUCAAAAACUUCCAGUACCAGGCACAAUUUUGCCACUGCUCCAAUCUGCAACAUUUCUUGUAAAACUCCAGGAGUUACUGAGAACUUCGAUAUCGAAUGUAGAAUUCUUAUUCCGCUCUCAUUUGCUGUAGAUGAAACCCUAAGAAUCGUCUUCGAAACAAUGGCUAAUCCUGCACUGUGAUUCAACAGUUCCGCUCUUCCCUCAGCGCAUUUGCAUAGCAAAUUCAGCGCCAUAAGCAUCAAUUCGGAAGCCCUUUUGUCAGAAGAAUCGAGUAAAAGGUGAAUCAACAAGGGCACUGCUCCAGCUUCCACUGCUUUAAUCCUGUUUUUUUCCCAUGGACAUACCUUGAUAAGAACUUUCAGUGUGACUUUUGAGACCUUCCGAGAGAUUUGAUCGUUCAAGAUAUCUACUAAUUCGUG